UUUUAAUAUUGUUAAUGAAAAAAUAGAAAGUAAUAUACUUUGUGCGAAUUAGCAGCACCUUCACUGACAAGCAACUCACUUGCUUUGGCCAUGGCCGCCGGUUCGCCGCUGCUAAACCUCCGAACAUUCGAAGAAGACAAAACCCAACAGAAGAAAAUGAACCCGAAGGGGCGGAGAAGCCGAAAAGUUGGACUCUCUCAAAUGGAACCCUCUUUCUCAGCCGAAGACAAUGACCUUUUGCCUUCCUCGUUGGCUCUAAUGAACUGGACGGAGGUCAAUUAACACUUUCCCCUUUUUGUUUUCUUAAUUUAUCAUUGUUCUUUAGUUUAGUUGUUGCCCACGCGUUUAAAUUUAAGGUUUAGUUUUUUUCCCCCUAUGCUGUAUGUGUUUUAAAGUUUAGAGAAAUAAUUAAUGUGGUAGUAUCAAUGAAAUGAGGUCAAUUUUUAGUUAAUUUGAGUGCAAAUCUUGUGUUCAAAGUUGUGUUUUUCUCUGAGAUUUUUAUUGGCAGUCAAUUGUAGCAUUGGGGUUUAUGGGGUUUAUAGGGUUUAAGCUUUGCUCAUAGUUUAUGUUUUUGUUUAUUAUGGUGAAUGCAGGUUUUCCUUCACUUGAAGAGAUUGAUGAAGCCAGUUAUAAUUUGAAAAUUCCAAAACCCGAGAAGGGAAAGCCUGGGAAGAAACUGAAUUCAAAGAAAAGGAAACGUAGUAGUGCCAAUGAGGAGGGUUCUGGUGUGGGGAUGGGGAUGAAGAUGGAAGUGGAGUGCAAAAGGAGGAAGAGAAGAAUUUGAAGAAUCAGAAAGGAAAGAAAAUUAAGAUAGUUGAGGAGUCUGUGCCUGGUUAGUGGUUUGUGUAUCUUAGAUUUGUUUGUUAUUGUUUUAAGCUACUAAGUUUUUAUUCUGGCUUGGUGUUAAGAGCAUUUUGAUGGAUUUUUAUUAUUGAGCUUGUUGCAGAUUUUCUGUCUAUUUUUUGGUGUGUAGUAAAUCUUCAACUCAGUUAUAUAUUUAUUCCUGAAUGUAUUAUUGUAACAUAUUUUUACACUCUGAAUUUCUCAAUUGAUUGGAGAGAGAGCAUAUAAUUUUUGAAAGGUUCAAGUUUGCCAGUCGUGUAGGGUCAACCUCUCUUCUUUUAUUCCUUUAUAGUUGAAUGAAUUGUUUGUCCUCUACUUCUUCCAUGUCAUCAUUUCUGUUAUCUCAGUAAGUGGGUAUUGUAUGUUAUUUGAUCGUGUAAAUGUGCAUCUGAAAAUUUAUGUGAGACUAAAAAGAUGUUUCAUACAAAUUGUGGGACUGUGGUUGUAGUUAGCAAUGGUCCGGAUGAUGCUGAAGAACAAUUAGUCAAUGAAGCUGAAAUUUCAACUGAAUUUGAUGCAUGGAAUGGAUUAAGGCGGCUUCCGAUGUGCUCAUAAUUUAUUUAUUAUUUUAAUGCUUCUAUAACUUAAUUUUAUGUUAAAUUAUAUUUUAUUAUAUUAAUUUUUAUCUUAAUUUUUAUAUUUUGUCAUUGUAGGAAUAUUGGGAAUAUUUAAGUGAAAGAAAGCAAAAAAAGAGGAAACAAAUUGGAGUUUAAUGGAAAUAAUUACGAUUGUGGAAGAAAAAAAGGGAAAGAAAUAAAAAUAAUAAUAAACCAAUGAAGAUUUAAUUAACUAAUUUUAAGCAUGCAUGCACGUGGGGAGCAUUAUAAAACUAAUUGGCAAUUCAAAUGGCAAGCACGUGCAUGGGCUUAAAAGUGGGCUGGAUUUGUUUGUUUUGAAAUCCUUUUCAUUUAAGGAUUUGGAAGUGGCGCAACAAUAUAAAAAGAAAAGUGAAGAGGGCAGCCGCACGAAAUUGGAGCCAAGAGAAAAAAAAUAAAAAAAAAACAGCAGCCGCAAGUCUUGAGAGAAAAACCGAGAGCAAGAAAAGAACAAGAGAAGCCGCUGUAAAUUCGGGAGCAACAAUUUAGAGAAGUCAAUUGCAGAGAUUGGAGAGAGAUAGCUUCUUGAGUUUUUCUUUCCCUCUUCUCUAUUAUCUUGUUUGAAUGUUCCCAAUUAAAUUAAUGGAUUCUCUUUAUAUUAUCAUGAACUAAUUUAUUUUACUAGGGCUACGAUGUAGCCUAACUAUUAAGAUUUAAUUUUACAAAUUUAUGUUAUUUUUAAUUUAUUAUUCUAUGGUUAAGUGUUUAUUAUUGUGUUUAUUGUUUUUAAAUAUCUGACCAAUAUUUGAAUGAUUUGAGAAUACACAGUGAGACAAAGAGGAAAUUUAUGUAUUUUUGAUUUGUCUAAUGGAUGCAAUGAAUUGAACGAAAGACAGAGAUGUGCCAACGUGAUUCAUGCAGUUUUUCUAAGAGUUUCCAUGGAGCUUAAUGAAUCUUUGCAUAUUUAAAUUCACAUAGAGAUAUAGUGGGUUGAUAUGUGAAAAUAUUUUUUAUAUUACUCGAGAGAGGAUAAUGAAUAAAUUAGGGAAAUUCACUGUCAACAUGGGUAAUAAACUUUAAUAACAUAGAUGGAGGAUUAAAUUGGAUUGGUUAUGGUGAAAUCAGAUGUCCUAGUAUUUUAAUCUUUUGGUAUUUUCUAUGACUGCCUGCAUCUUUAUUAAAUUUUUAAUUAUUUUAUUUUAAUCUAAAUACGCUUAUUCGAUUGUUCAAAUAAAUUAGGGUUAGAAUAAUUUUGGUAACUAAUAUGAUAUACAAUCUAUGUGGGACGAUACUCUACUCUUCAUUAUAUUAUUUAUGCCGACUAGUACACUUGCUAAUUUACGCAUCAAGUUUUUGGCGCCGUUGUCGGGGAUUGUUUGGAUUAGUAUCGAUACCAACUAACCUUAGUUUAAUUUGAAUUUUAUUUUUAUUGUUUUUAUUUUAAUUUUCGUUUUCUUGUUUAAUUUUAUGAGACGUCCAAGAAGUUUUGAUUUAUUGCCUUUUGAUCCAGAGAUUGACGCACUUGUAGAAGGCUUAAUAGAGAAAGGAGAGAAGCUUUAUAGGAGCAACAACUAAUCAUGGCUGAUGAAGCAUUACAUGGAAAUGAGGAUGCAAGACCUUUAAGAGAUUAUGUUGUGCCUACAGUUAAUGGUGCUCGCUCAAGCAUUGCACGCCCUACCGUUCAAGCCAAUAAUUUUGAAAUUAAGCCAGCAAUAAUCCAGAUGAUUCAGACGUCAGUACAGUUUGUUGGGAUGCCAAAUGAUGAUCCAAAUGCUCAUGUUGCAAAUUUCUUGAAAAUUUGUGACACAUUUAAGCAAAAUGGUGUUUCAAACAAUGCUAUCAGGUUAAGGCUUUUUCCGUUCUCACUAAGGGAUAAAGCAAAAGAGUAGUUGAACUUACUCCCUGCUGGAAUAAGCACUACAUGGGAUGGUUUAGCACAGAAGUUUUUAGCAAAGUACUUUCCUCCAGCAAAAAUAGCCAAGUUGAGAAAUAACAUCACAACCUUUGCUCAGUUCGAGAUGGAAUCAUUAUAUGAAGCGUGGGAAAGAUACAAAGACCUACUAAGAAAAUGCCCACAUCAUGGUCUACCAUUUGGCUUUAGGUGCAGACAUUUUACAAUGGUUUGGAAUGCAAUACCAGAACAAUGAUUGAUGCUGCAGUAGGAGGAAUGUUAAUGGGAAAAACACCAGAAGCAGCUUAUGAAUUAUUGGAAGAGAUGGCAUCUAAUAAUUACCAGUGGUCUUCAGAGCGACCAAUAUCAAGGAGAGCUGUAGGAGCCCAUAAUAUUGAUGUUGUCACUGUUUUAUCUGCACAAAUGAUUGCUUUAUCUAAUAAGCUAGAGCACCUAAAUGUCAGUGAUAUUCAAACUCAAGUAUGUGAAUUAUGCGGAGGGAACCAUACCAGUGUCAACUGCCAAGUUGAAAGUCCUUUUGCGUCGUCAUCCGCUGAACAAUUAUGAACAUGCAUGGUCACUUUAUCAUAAUGCCAUCUUUAAUAUGGCCUAUAUGCAUGGAGAAGAGUGUUGCAAUUAUGAACAAUUCAUCUUUGGUUGCUUGAGUUAUGACCUCAUAGUCAAAAUUUUGGAGGUAUAUUCUUAAGAAAUAAAAUAAGCUGUAGCUCUCAGUUGUCUGCCUUUGUCAUUUUCUUUCAUAUCAAAUUCUUCAUUUUAAUGAAUGGAUGACAGUUAACAAGGUCUAUAAGCUUCAUCGUUAAAAGUAAAUACACAGUCAUUUUAGAUUUCUUCAUCAUCUCUAUCAUUUUGUCUGCGAUUGUGUAAUGCCUCCUCAACUUUAAUGGCCCUUACUCUAUGAUUGGCUGCAGUUACAAGGAAGAAGAUAAAGAUGCCUACUUGUAUUAUAUUUUGAGUGUUCAUGGACAAGGUCGUGCAAUUGUUUUCUGUACGUCCAUUGCAGCUUUGCGCCAUAUUGCUUCCCUCUUGAAAAUUCUUGGCAUAGAUGUUUGGACACUUCAUGCUCAGAUGCAACAGCGAGCUCGUUUGAAGGUAUUUCAUGUGCUAAUGUCUGGUUCUUUACACUGUUGGAUGCUUGCUGAUGUUCAAAAUUUUAGUUUCCCUUGGUUUUUUUGGCCUAUUGGUUUGACAUUUCUGAGGCCUCUUUGAGACAUGAGCCUCUUACUGUCUUACAUAAUGACAAAAGUUAGUUAGGUUGCUUUUGGUAUUGUUUUUGAAACAAUGUUUUUAUUAUUUUGUUUUAGAAUAUAGAUACGAUUAGUUUUAAUAUAAAUGAAAACAUGUUUGGUGGUUUGUCUUGAAACUGAUAUCUAAAUAUGAAAUACCAAUACACAUUCAGUAAUUUGUUCGAAGAAAAGAAAACGGUGAAUAUGUGUUUGGUAUAAUUUUUAUGAAAAUUGAUUUUCAGUAACUAUAUUACGGGCUAGUUUGGGAAUGUUGUAACUUUUGAAAUAAUUAUUAUUAGUUGUGCUCUAGAAAUAAUUAGAUGUGAAAGGAAUUAAUUAAAUGUUGGUAAAUUUUGUUUUCAAAAGUACUAUGGAUUUUGAAAGCAGUUAUGGACAUUUGAUAAAUUUUACUGUUAAAUUGUUGAGAGAAAAUAAAUGAAUAAAAUGUAAAUAAUGUAAGACUAAAUUUACUUAUACAUGUAAAAAUAUGUACAUACAAUAUUUUUCAUUGUGUAUUAUAAUAAUUUUUAUUAAAAAUAAAAUUUAUAAUCUAUUGAUUUUAUUUUUAUUUUUUAUCUUAAAACAAUUGAUAAUUAAAUUUAUAAUAUAAUGAAACAAAUUUAAUAAUAAGUCGACCAACAAAUUGAUAUUGAUGAAUUAUAAUAAAAAUUUAUUCAAAUAUUGAUUGUGUUUUCAAUUUGAAUAAUGAUAAUUUUGGGUUUAGGUAAUAAUUUUAAAGAUAUUUAUGGAAUUGCAUUAAAUGAUAAAAUUGAUUUUCAAAAUCAGAAUAUAAAAUAUACCCCUUCUUUACUUUUCAAAGUCAACUGUAGGAGUGAUUUUGAUUCUUUUUUACCAAAUACUAAAAUUAACUUCUAGAUUUCCAAAAUCACUUUUAAGUUUCCCAACAAUUCCAAACGGGCCCUACAUGUGCUACUUUUAAAAAUUGUCUUUUAUUAUUUUUGAUGUUUUUAAAUAAACAAUUAAAAUACUAUAAAAAUAGCAUAAUGUAAUAAUAAAUAUAAAUAUAAGUACGACUUUUAUUUAAUAGUUGUUUAGCCAGAUGAUAACAAGGAUAAGAUAAGGAAAAGAGCAAAAGGGGAUAGAGAAAAAGAUUUUAAAUUCUUUGUAUCGAAAUACAAAACAGCCUUAUUUGUGAGUUGGAAGAUCAAACCAAGGAGACUUACUUUUCCAUAACAAACACCCCAUCAUUAGUGGUGUUGGGCCAUCCGGCAUGCUGUAAAAUGACUCCCUUCCUACCUUUAUAUUAUUAUAAAGUUUUAUUUAAGUAAGAUAAAUUAUUAUAUUUUAUUAAAUAUCUAUAAAUUUUUCAAAUAAUUUUUUUAUUUUAUAAAAUUAUUAUAUCUAUAAUCAUUUUUUCAUUGUUUUUCUAAUUAGCCAUAACCCAUAUAAAUUUAAGGACAAUUCUGUUAUUAUUUUUUAAUAAAUAAAUAAAUACUAGUAAUUUUAUAAAAUAAUAAUAUUUGAGUACUAACUUAAAUCUUAAUAUUAUGCAUCACUUUUGUAUUUCUUAUUAUUUUCUCCUAUUAUCUAAUAAAUAAAUAUAAUAUUAAUUGAAAUUCAAUUGGGGCUCAAUAUUGAAACUCUACUAUUACGCUAUUCAAAAUGAUAUCAAGCCAUCAACAAACAAUCUGACCAAUAAUCUAUAAAGUUAAAUUUAAAAUUUAAAAGCUCUGCUAUUACAAAGAAUCAAGUCAAUGUCAUUACAACAUUCUAAGCAACGUCACAUGCCAUACAAAUAUUUUUAUAAUUAAAUAUAGAAUUGUUAAGUCCAGCUUUUUUGUUUUAAAAUAAUGAUAUGUAACUUUAUAUGUAUGUAUGAAUGAAUGAAUGAAUGUAUGAGUGUGUGUCUAUAUAUAUAAUCAUUCUCAAAUGUGAACACCGUUAUUUUUUUAAAUACGAAUAUAUUGUUAAACUUUACGGUUUAAUAGUGUAUUUGAGCUAACUUUAUUAAACUGUAUGAUUUAAUAGUGUGUUCGUAUUAAAAAAAAAAGAGUGCAUCACGUGAGAGAAGAACUGUUAUUAUAGAGAGAGAGAAUAAGAUACCCCACUCUUAUCAUUCCAUGUUAAAUGUUUUUACUGAGCCCUUAAAGAACUAUUAUUAUAGAGAAGUCGGAACGUUCAAUUCUCUUCAAGAUUUACUCCUGUGGCAAUGUCCGGGCAUUCAAUUCUUCCCAGAAGAGGGGUUUAUCCACCAACCUAAGAUACCUUGGAAUUUCUGGUGAUAAUAUUUAUAAGCCACUAAUUAAGUGGGGCUUUCACGAGUUCACUUCUCCUACAGCUCUCUGCAUUAAUAUUUGCUCAGAUGCAGUGUCCUUUCCUGAUGAAGAGAAGGGAACGAUAUUGCCCACUUCUCUUAAUUAUAAUUUCGGAUUUCCCAAAACUGGAACUCCUAUCUUCCACGGGCUUCCGGAAUCUCACAUCUCUUGAAAGUUUAACUGUCAUGUCUUCCCCAAAUUUCACUUCCUUCCCUGAAGUGGGCUUUCCGUCCUCUGUUCCAAACAAAUGCAAAAAGGGCAAGGGACAAGAGUGCUCAAAGAUAGCGCAUAUUCCUUGCGUUAGCAAAGAUGGAAAAUUCAUUUACGAUCCGGAAGAGGAAGCAUUAUGUCUAUUUUGAUCUCAGAAAUAAAAGAAGAGCGAAAAAUCAGAUCAUGAUUUCGCCAACUAUUUAUUGUGUCAGGUCUAUCAACUUCUAUCCCCAGAACCAUUAUUCAGAUUGUUAUGGAUUCAUUUAAGUUGUUUUCAGUUUCACAGAAAAUACUAGUCUUAGAAUUCAGGUGUAUGUUCUAUUAUGCAUGAAAUUAGUCAAUGAAGGAAAGCUGCAUUAAUCUGAUAUGCAUUAUUUUAACAGUAAUUAUGGGAUGCCAAUGUGCAGAUUUUGCAGUUGAAUGCAGCAGAAGUCAGCAUAAAACUAGUUUAGAUCACAAAGUAUCAUCUUGUCUUAUUAUCAAGAGGAUAAUCAAGCUGGAUAUUCCUAUCUCAGUGUAUAAAUAAACUUCUUGCACUACCUUAUAUGCUGAGAUUAAUGGAAGGCGAUAUACUUUCGAGGAUGGCGAUGGAUAAUCUGGUGAAGGGACUUUUGUUAGAACUGAAAGAAAGUUGAAGAGCUGUCAGAGGAGCUGGUUGCAGUGUCUUCUUACUUCUCUGUAAGUCCUAUCUCCAUAAUGAAGAUAAACAAUCAAUUGUAUGUUACAUGUUAUCCUAGGAGUUAAAAGGAUUAAUAACAUUUUACUGACAAGAUUUUUGAAAAAUAAUUUUCCAUUAUUUGUUUGGGACCAAGUUAUCAGGUUUUUUUCUUAUGUACUGAAUCUAUAUAACUCAUUGCAAUGUUAUACGGCAGCUGCGCACUGCACACAUCCUGGUCUGCCAUGUCACAUUUGAGUCUUCAAUGGCAGGGUAUCUGUCUGGCAGCUCAUGCUUAUGUCAGCAUCGUCAAAGAAUGAAUGUAGAUGCUGAUUUUCAUAUUUUCAGAAAGGGAAAAGGGCUGCUUAUUUUAGCUUGCCUUGAUUGCAAUUUUCAGAUAUACACAGUUAAUUCUGUGAUUCUAGGCCCAUAAAGAUCAGUGCUGUUAUUUGUUGAGAGCAAGGCUCAAUACGAUGCUUCUAAUUUUUUUUUUAAUUUUAAUUCUUAUUCAAAGCGAUAAAAGAUUAUUUUUCUUUCAAAGAAAUAGAAAUUGCCUUCCGAUGCUUAUAUAGUUUUUGGUCUCCCAGCAUCUUAUUGUAAUUAAUGCUGUAGUAAAAAUUUUCCGGAUGCCUCAUAGGUCCUAAAGUUAAAGUCUCUGAUCUUGCAAGAGGAAGCCAUAUGGAUCAAGCAAUAGCCUGUUUGUUUCAUAUUUUUCAUCUAUGUAUGCUUAAAUGUUUCUGAUUUUUAUAAAAACCAGAAAUAAUUUUUUUAUAUUUUUUCUUAUAAAGAUGGAAGAUACCACCAGUUAAUCGUACGAUGAGCUUCUAAAUGUAUUACACAAGUACCUGUUGAAACAGUGGAUGGUAGCGCAAUUCACAUAUUCUUGCUGAUUUCCUAAAGCUUGCAGUAACAAACCUCUUAAUCUAUGCUGCUCUACUUUUUGGAUGAAUGUUAGGAUAUUUGAAAUAAACUGCAUUUCAGAGAGUUAGCGAUACUCAAUGAUGCGAAUUAACACUCGUAUCAUCUAUGGUUUGUGUGCAUCCUUCCAACUGCAGCCUUAUGAAGAGAUUGGCUUUUGGACUUUCUUACUGUUUCGGACUGGUAUCUGUUAUCAGCAUAACACUACUCUUAUAUAAUGUCAGUGUGUUGAGAUAUGCUCAGUGGGAGCUUGUUUUUUCUCCUCCUCUUUGUCGUGCUCAAAAAGUAAAGAUUCAUAGUUUUUCGCCUUCUCGAUGGGUUUGAUUAAAAGCUAAGUCGAUGGUGCUUAAAGCAAAAUACAGGCCUUACAGCAAAUGGGGUAUUUUUUGAGAUCAUGCAAGUAAAUUCUUUUGGGUGGAUUUCAGCAAUCUUUAGGCCUUCAAUAUAGUUUACUAUAUGGAAAUUAUGGGAGUGCUUGAUUUAAUCACCAAAGCAGCUUUUGAUCAAGGACUGAUGAAUCUUUGGCUCCUAGCUAGUUUGUUAAUAAAUUUUAGAUUUUCUCAAGCUUUAGAAAAACUGAUGUUGUAGAGCAGAUUUAUUUGGCCAAUAUUGGUCUUCUUCUUGCUGAUUUCACUUAAUUAGAAGAGCAUCCUGAUGCUAUCGUAGACUCCUAAAUGAUUAAAAUGAUUUUUCUUGAGUAGUUUUAAUUAAUUGUUAUUUUAUUUAUUUAUUUAUUAUUAUUAUGUUCUCUUUGAUAUCCGGACAGAAAUCAGGGCAUGAAUUUUGUGAUGAGUUUUGGGACUUUGAGAGAAAUUAAAGGAAAUGGGACAUAAACGAUCGUGAGACUAAGUUCAAUUUAUUUACCAGUUCAACUUCAAUAGACAAGUGCUGAUAUUAUAUGAAAUCUGUAAUUUGUAGCUUCUUCCCCCCUCCCUCUCUUAAAUGCUUAGUUGUGUCAGAUUCUACAAAUUGUAAUUGCUUUUAAAGCUUUUGAGUUCACAUAUCCUUGAUUUCUCGAGUUACUUUGUUGACGGGGAUUUCACUAAACUCUUUUUUUUUUUUUGUGACAAAAUGCGCAUCAAUAGAAAAUUACUCUAUAACACUGAUGGUACAAACAAUUAAUUAAACCUAAACUAUGCUAUAAAAAUCAUUUGAACUAUGAAGGAGUUUCUUGAUAGCAUGAGCAUCAGGAUGCUCUGCUCAUUAACUGGAAUCAGCGCAAAUCAGCAAAUGAAUCUGCAAUAGCAUCAGUUUCAUACAUCUAUUAAGGCUUGAGAAAUCUGAAGUUCAAUGAAGAAAUCUUGGGGCAAAAGUUCAACAAUCUACUCAAAGGAUGACAAUCAGCAGGAAGUCUCAUUGAUGCCGAUGAUUUAAUCACCCCCAUAGUUUGUGUAUAACAAACUGUAUUGUGGACUAAAGACUGCUAAAAGCCACCCAAAGAAAUUUAUCAGUAUGAUCUUGGAAAACUGCCCUUGCUGCAAGUGCAAGACCAGGAUUUCCUUUCAAAUUAGCACUAAUCGAAUCCACAGAGGAGACCAUCACAAACCCUGCCUCGAACAGCUGAUAUAAAUCACAUCAAACUAGAUUUCAUGCUUAUAGGAUUGCCUAGUGAUAAAACUACCGUGGCCGUAGAUACCAGUCGAAAAGCCAGUCACUCACACAACCAGCACACUUCGUAUCAUUGAGUAUUCCAACCCUUGGAAUCUCUGUUUCAUUUAACAGUCCUGACAUUCAUCCAAACCAUACAGAAAAACAGAUUAAAUGGAUAUUGUAUCCAAGAAAGAAGAAAAUGAUGCUUGGAAAAUAUAACCCAAGUCAAGUUUAGGUUAGGAAACAAGGUUAAUCACUCACCACAAGCUUGAGCAAAUCAGCAAGUAACCAAUGUUUUGGCAGAUAAUUCUUGCUCAAUAAGGAUAUGCAGAUGAUUCAGACGCUCUUUGCAUGGUUGAUUGGUGAUUACAGUUUAAUUAUCAGCUCCAGAUAUCUCUCGGUAUCUUCCAUCUCAAUAAGAAUGAACAGAAAUUUUUUCUGGCAUUGUCAAAUUCUAGUUAAUACCACCAGCACCUCUGAUUACAAAGCGAACAGCAGUUCCUUUUGGCUUUGCUUGCAUGAGACUCAUAGCUCUUGGACCUAAGAGGCAUUUUUGAAACUUUUACAGCGGAAUUAAAUUACAAUAAGAUGCUUGGGACACCAAAAAUGUCCAAGCACCAGAAGGCAAAUUCUAUUUUUAUCUUUAAAGAAAAAUACCUUUCUUAUAGCAUAUUGAAAAUAGAGAAGAAUAAAACAAAAUCUAUGAGAACAAAAUGAACCUUGCACCUUAACAACUGAUAAAACAAUAGCCAAAAAGAAAUAAAAAAAAUAAUAAUAACAAAAAUUCAUAAACCACACAUCAAAAUAACCAAUAAGAGGGAAUUCAUUAUGAAUCAAAUAAAAGCAAAGCAAUAAUUUCCAUGGGCUGCGAAUCAAAAAUAUUAAUUGUUAAUCUAAUUAUUGAUUAUUCCAAUCGAAGCUAACCAAAAUAUCAGUGGUCCUAUUACCUUCUUUGAAAGUAUGAGAAAUCAGUGACCGAAUUCCUUUCUUAGCGAUGCUGACACCUGCAUGAGCACCCAAAACACCCUGCCAUUGAAGACUCGCAUAGCAGAUCAAAAUGUGAAUUAAAUUGCAAUGAGUGAUAUAGAUCCAGAGCAUAAUAAGAACAUGAUAACAUAUUCCAGAACACAAACUGAAUUAUUUUUCAAAUUCCUUGAAAGUAAAAUGUUAUUAAUCUUUUAAUUCCAAGCGUAACAUGUAAUUUGUCAGUAUACUUAUUUGUCUUCAUUCUGGAGUUUGGACUUACAGAGAGGUAGAUGGCAUUGCAACAAGAUCCUGUGAGCUUUUCAACUUUCAGCCGCAACUUCAGUCCCUUGACCAGCUUGUCCACUGCCAUCCUCCAAGUAUCACCUUUCAUGAGCUUCAGAAUGUAUGGAUAAGCUGACCAGCUUCACUGUAAUUUUCAUUUGCACAUUGACAUACUGUGAAAAUUCAGCCUGAUUGUCCUCCAGAUAAUACAACAAGAUAAGCUGACUUGCGACUAAGGUGGCGUUUGUUUUUUUGUCUGAAAUCUGAAUAGACCUGAAUUAGUCUGAAUUCUGAAUAGAUCUAAAUGUCUGAAUCUGAAUAAUAUGUUUGUUUUUUCGUCUGAAUCUCGAAAAAUAAUUAUUAAGUUGUUUGUUUUUUUCAACUUAAAAAACUGAAAAGUAUGUACUUUUACAUUUGUAUCCUUAUUAAAUUUGAAUGUCAAAUAAAUAAUAUAUUAAAUACCACAAUAUUUUAACAUUUAUAAGUAAAAUUAUAUUCAAGUGAAUACAUAAUGAUUUUGGAAUUUUAAUAUAUAAAAUACCAUAAAUUUCAAAUUUUAUCGUAUAUAAUAUAAAAAAGAAAAAAAACUAAUAAGAUACCUGAAAUAGUUGAUUUGCCAUUUCAUCUCGAAAUUGUCGCAUGUAAUUUUGAUCUUCCCUAGUUGAGGAGUUGAUACCAAAGUGAGGAGGGAUUUCAUGACGGCUAAAAAAAUAAUGAUGAGAUUAUUAUAUGGGGUAAAUAUCUAUGGGUGAAUUUUGGGAUAGAUAUGAAAAAUAAAUUAUAAAGUAGGGAUAUUUUUGACAUUAGAAAGUAAUUGACUUAAUUCAGAUGUUUCUAUUAAGUAAAAAGCCAAAAAAAUUGGCUUAUUUUAUUAAGUCAAAAUUAUCUAAAAAGUCACUUUAAGUUAUAAAAACAAACAUCUCUAAUUAACUUAAUUAAUUAAGUUAAGUCACUUUAAGUCAUUAAGUUAAAAAACAAACGCCACCUAAGCCAGUUUGUGCAGAUUAUUGCUGCAUUCAACAGAAAAUUUGUCUCAUUGAAUGGCUGAUUGGUGGUUCAAUUUAAUUAGCAGCUGCAGACAUGUAGAUAGUAUCAGGUAUUAGCAUCUCCCGUCUCUAUAAGAAAAAACAAAAAGUUAUUUUUGGUCUUAUCAAAUUCAGUGACAUUUAUGGUUGAAAAAAACAGAAACAAAAGAGCUAUUGCUACAUCCUUUAUUAAAUAAACCUGCCAUUUUCACUACAGCAUUAAAUUACAAUAAGAUGCUGUGAGUUGUAAAGAAAUGGAAGGAAAAUUCUUUUUCUUUUUUUAAGGGAAGUACUUUUUAAUAGCCUUUAAUAAGAAAAAGAAGAACGAAAAAAAAAUUCGUAGUAAACUAAUGAGGCUUACUCUUAAACAAUUGAUAGAGAAAGCCAGAAAACCAGAGCUAAAACUUUAAAAGAAAACCAAACUAACUCAAGGUCAUCAACCAUAUCUCUAAACAGCCAAUAAUAAGUCAGUCAUUAUCAAUCAAAUAAAAACCAAAACACUAAUUCUCUGAACCAAUGUUGUAAGUCUAAAUUCUGCAACGUGCAAUCCAAGGUUAGCCAAAACAUGAGCAGCACUAUUACCUUCUUGGAAAGUAUGACAAAUCAGAAACUGAAUUCAUUCCUUGGCGAAUCCAACACCACCAUGAGCCGUCUGACGGCAACACUUCUUGAAGACUCAUAUGGCGGAUCAAGAUAGCAAAAAGCAGAUACUGAGAUCUGAACACGUAAACUGAAAGUUAUUUUUCAAAAGUCUUACGAGUUAAAAUGUUACAUCUCGUGAGUUACUAAUCAUUUAAUCUUUUGGGUAACAUGUAAUUUAUAGUUUACUUGUAUUCACUCAUUCUGGAGAUAGGACUUACAGAGAGGUAAGUUGAUAUUGCAACAAGAUCCUGUGAUAGCUCUGCUGCAACAGAAGUGCCUUCAACAGAUUAUCCAACCACCAUCCUCAAUGUAUUACCUUCCAUUAAACUCGGCAAAAAUCGAAGAGCAAGAAUUUCAUUUUUACAUUGAAAUAAUUGUCAAAUGAAUAAACAGCCUGAUAAUUGUCAAAUGAAUAUACAGCUUGAUUGUCGUCUUGAUAGUCAUAUCACUCGGGCUACCUUGUGAUGAAAGCCAGUUUUGUGCUAAUCAAUGCUGCAUUCAGCCAAAAAUCUGCACAUCAACAUUCCAGCAAUUACUGUUAAUAUAGAGGAUAACAGAAAAUGAAACUGAUUUCUGGAAAAUAUUUCAAUGAAUUUAUAACAGUAAUCUGAAUUGUUCAAGGGAUAGAAGUUGACAUGCCUGGCAUAUAAUAUAAGAUUGGAGAGAGCAUUUUCUGGUUCUAUGCUCUUCUUUUGUUUUGAAGAUCAAAAUAGACCUUAUGCUUCCUCUGAUGGAUCGCGAAUGAAUUUGCUAUCUAUCAAAGGGUAAGGAAUGCAGGCUAUCUUUGGCCACUCUUGUCCUUUGCCCUUUUUGCAUUUGUUUUCCAAUAAAGGACAACCUCGAAUUUCUAGAGACAAAAGAGAGGAUGGAAAGCCCGCCUCUGGGAAGGAAGUGAAAUUUGGGCAAGAGAUGACUCUUAAAUGCUCAAGAGAUACGAGGUACUGAAAACCCUUGGAAGAUAGGCGUUCCAAUUUUGGGAAAUCUGAAAUUCCAAUGCUGGUCAGUGUGGUGGGCAAUAUCACUCCCUUCUCUACCUCAGGAAAAGACACAGCAUCUGAGCAUCCAUGAAUGCUGAGUUCCCUAAGAGAUGUCAACUUGUGAAAGCCCCACUUGACGAGUGGCUUAUACAUAUUAUCACCCGAAAUUCCAACGGACGUUAGGUUGGUGGAUAAACCCUCUUCCGGAAAGAAUACAAUGCCUGGGCAUUUCUUUAGGAAUAAUCGUUGAAGAGAGCUGAGUUUGCCGGUUGGUAGUGGGGCUUUAAGUUUAUCACAGUCUUCGAUUGAAACGCCUACGAGAUUGCUGGGAAGCGCAUCUUCUGGGAGAGAAGCUAGAUUAUGACAACGUACGAUACGUAUCUCAUGAAGAUGGCUAAGAUUGCUCAACCCUUUUGGUAACGAUUUAAGACUAUCACAACCCAAUAUCAGAAUAGAUCUAAGACAUGCAUCAUCAUGGAAUCUCUCGGCUAGAUACUCUAUAUUUGAACAACUAAAAAUUGUCAGCUCUUCGACCGCCACAGGUAAUUGGCAUUCUGAUGUCAGCACCUUGAAAUUGUCACAAUUCUUAAUAUCAAAGCGUUUGAGUGUGACGGGUAACCGGCCUCCGCAUAAGCAAGUGAGCGAUGGGCAGUUGAAGACGGAUAAGCUCUCAAGGUCAAGAUACGUGCCGCUGCUGCUCUUGAUGUUUUUCUCCAGCACCGAAGAAGAAGUACAGCUAUUUUCUCUAUCAUCCAACACACUCUGCAGUGUCUUACAAUCUUCUACUUCAAUUGCUUUCAGAGAUGAAGGUAGAUGCUCUCUUGCAAUGGAUGUUAAAGAAUGACAUCCUUUGAUUCGCAAGACUUUAAGUUGUGCAUUGUUGUGUAUCACUCCAUCAGAUAAGGAUGUUAGAGCAUUGCAAUGUUCGAUGGUAAUUUCACUCAAACUAGAAAGAAAGCAGAUGUUCCGAAGCGAAACAAGAGUUGGACAAUUCCCGAUAAGCAGGUCUUUUAGGCAGGUGAAGCUGUGCAGCCCUUGUAGUGGCUUCCCCAGACGAAUCUCAUUUGCAAACCCUUCACAACCAACAAUCUUCAGUUGUUCUACUUUCUGAAACUUUUGACUCGACCAAUUUUCGAACACUGAAAUAUUGCAAAGAGUCAUUUUGUUCGGUGACUUGGACUCAGAUGGACCAUCGCACACCAACCUUUUGCAUCCAUCAAUUUCCAUUGUGCAGAGAGCUGGAAGGCUUGGUAAUGAUACCGCCAACUGCAUGCAUCCAGCAAUCACAAUUUCCUCCAAAGAAGGAAGAUGGUUAGGUAAUCGUCCAGAGAGCUUGGGGCAUUUUUUAAUGGAAAGCUUUCGGAGACGAGGGAAUGCCUGAACAUGCUCAUCAUUGUCUCUGUUAGGUUCCCAGUGCUCCCAUUCCUGCAAAUCCUCAAAAUAUAAAGUCUGCAAUGAUUGAAAAGGUUUUGAGCAACCUUCCCCAUAAAUCUCCGAACCUAUGCUUUUUAAUGCCGACAUGUCUCGGAUGGUGAGAUCUUUUAGUGAGCUCAAUUGUCCCAGCGGGGGCAAGGAUGUGAUGCUUAUGCAACUUUCCAAUAUUAGAACCGCAACAUCGGAAAAUGAUGGAUCCCCUACCCAAGAUGGGAACCUUGUACCACCGUAAGAAUCGAUUGCAAGCUUUUUAAUUUUACUGUGAGGCUUCAGCAUGUCGAGAAUAUUCUUUUCUCUGACCUCAUCUACUGAGUCGCCAUCCCGCCGUGCCGCCCAUUUUAACUUCAAGUCUUCUAGGUCUUCCUUCACUCUUAACAUAGCCUCAUUUGCUUCUUGUGAAUCGAUGACAUUCUCUAGUCCAGAAAUGGAGAGUUUUCCUCGAAGAAACUUCCAAUUCUUCAAAUCUCUCAAAGCACAGCCGCUAUCCUUGCCAACAAUGAAAUUAGUCAAAGUCCGAAGGCGUUUUAACUCCUUCAUUCCUAAUGGUAACUCACGUAACCGAUAUGCACUUUCAAUAUCAAGAUGAUGUAAAUUAACCAAAUUUCCGAUACUUGAUGGCAACUUCAAGAGAAACCAGCAAUUACUCAAGAUCAAAAUUUCUAAAUUGAAAAGUGAGGUGAUUGCCUCAGGUAAACAUUGGAUCCAACUGUUAGAGAAGUUGAGAUACCGUAGAUGUUUUAAACAUCCAAUUGAUACGGGAACCUCAGUUAUAAGGUAUCUUCCCAAAGAUAACACCCUCAACUUUUUACACUUCGGUAGCAAAUCAGAUAAAACCAUGGGACUUAUGUGGCGAAAAUAAAAUGAACCUUCUUCCACGGAUAUUGGCAAGAAUGUCCUCAAAUUCUCAACUUUGUCGAGAACUUUAAAUUUAUCCAUCCCAUGAAAAGGACCAUUGCUGAUGUACGAAGAAUGACGAACCUUUUCAAAUGCUUUUGACUGUCUAUCCACCGAAAAUUGAUCGUCCAAUCUAAACCAUGUCUCACCAGAAGCCCAUUGAGCCAAAUCAUGUACAAGGUCAUGCAUCACAUAUUUAGAUUCGCUGUUACUUGAUUUUUGGAACAUGGAUCUUGACAAGAGAUCAUGAAAAUACUUACUGCCCAAAUCUUCUAGUUCUUUACUGUCUUCAGAUUGUUGAAUUAGACCUUCUGCUAUCCAUAAAAGAACUAGUUCCUCCUCUUUGAAUUCAUAAUCCUUCGGCAAAAUUGCACAAUAGGCAAAACAUCUUUUUAAAUGCGAAGGCAGAUGGUGAUAGCUUAACUUCAAAACAGAAGGAAUCUCAGUUUUAUCCUGUAAGUUCCAAAUUUUACUGUCCAAUAUAGCUCUCCACUCAUCAACUCUCUCCUUAGAUCGAAGAAGACCACCAAGAGCCCUAGCUGCCAGAGGUAGACCUUUGCAUUUCUCAACAACCCUUUGACGAGCUGACUCGAAGUUUCCAUGCGUGCCAGCAUCUCUACCCUCAAAUGCAUGAUUUACGAACACCGACCAGCAGUCAUCAUCAGACAGAAGCUUCAGCUCCAGCUCAUAAUUUUUACCAGAUCCCAUUCUUGAGGCGACAUCCAUGCUGCGAGUGGUCACAAUUAUCCUGCUGCCGGGUGCUCCAGCCAUGAAGGGAGACUUUAGAGCUUGCCACAAGUCAUAUCUCUCGCUCCAAACAUCAUCCAAGACAAUCAAAAACUUCUUCUUAAACACAGCUUCCUUCAGCUUAAGCUGCACCGAAUUCAAAUCCUUCAGAUCACAAGGGGAGAGUGUGAUCGACUCCAGAAUAGCCUUGGAGAUCCUGAGAACAUCAAAGUCAUGAGAAACACAAACCCAAGCUUUGGGUUCGAAAGCUUCCGUUAACUUGUCGUUGUACACCUCCUGAGCAAGUGUUGUUUUCCCGAUACCUCCCAUACCCACAAGGGGUAUUACUCGAAAGUUGGCAGCAUCACUCGGAUCAUUCUCUAACACCAUAUCAAGUAUCCUCGCCUUGUCUUCAUCUCUCCCAUAAACAGCAGGUUCGCUUGUUAAGCAAGUGGUGGGCGGUCUUUGCCUUACUGCAGCAGCAUGCGGUGACCCUCCAGCAAUCUUUUCCAAUUGAAGAACAUCUGUCCUUUUACGGAGUUCUUCAAGCCGGCUACUGAUUUCUUUAAUCUUAGGCCUCAUGCUAAUACCGGACAUAACACUACUUGCACCAGAGGAAACACCUUGGAUGAGGCUGCGAACCCUGCUAGAGCUGGCUUCACGUUUCUUCAACAAUCUCAGCCCGGCUUCAGUAGCAAACUCAUCGAGUACGUCCUCUGCAUCGUAAGCCAAGUCUCGGAGAUCAUCCAGCCACAGCUUCACAGCCCUGUCAGUGAGCUGCUUCUCCUCUGCAUCGAUCAGCACUGCCUCAAUUGUUUUUAGCGUUUUCUGCCACUUUUUCAGCUUUGAACGGACACCCUCUUGGCCGGCUAACUUCAGCAACUCAGGGGACAUUAAUCUUUCGAACAGCACCUGAAGAAAGGCAGAAAGAAAGAGCUCCGCCACAGGCAUGGCUUCUUUUUUUUGGUUUGGGCUUUUGUAAGUCAAAAAAGAGAUAGAAAAUCAGAAGAAUUCAGACGGGUUAUCACACAAAAGAGAAUAAUGAAAGCAAUGAGCAAGGGAGACUGAGACUUCAAUAUUUGCAAAAGAAAGGUUAUCAGAAUCCAGAAACAGUAAAAUGGUUUUGAACUGUAUUUUUUACGAAUAAUGAGGUUUGUACAUCGUUAGUACAAUUUUUAUGAUAGACCAAAAAAAAAAAAAUUAUCUCGCCGAAAUUUUCUUUUAUCUUAUAAUUUUUUUUCUAUUUUGUAGUGAUGGUGUAUUAAUUAUAAUACUAACUGUAGCAAAUAUGUUGUUAUUGAUUUUUUUUAAUUAAUUUUUCAUUUAAUGGUAGCAUGUAUAAUUUUAAGUAUGCAUAAUUUUAACUUGUUGUUUUCAUUAUUUUUCUAAUUAACCAUAAGCCAUACAAUUUUAAGGAUGAUUCUAUUACCGUUUAAAAAAAUUCUGAAUUAAAUAUUAGUAAUUUUACAAAAUAAUAAUAUUUGAUAGUGUCACUCAUGUAUUGCUUAUCAUUUAUUACUUUAUUAUAUUAUCUAAUUAAUGAAUUUCAUAUGAAUUAGGACUUAAUUGGGACUCAAAUAUUGAAUCUCUACUAUUAUCCUUUGCAAAAUGUCAUCACUAGACAAUUACCAAUAAUCUAUAAAGUUAAAUUAAAAAUUUAAAAGCUUAACUCUAAGCAUCAAAUCAAUGUCAUUAAAACAUUCAAAGCAACUUCAUGCCAUACUAAUAUUUUUAUAAAUAAAUACAUAAUUGUUUAGUUCAUUUUUAAAAAAAAUAAUGAUAUGCAAUGAAAAUCUACUUAUAUUUCUACCCUAUUAGUAUUCAUGAAUAUAUCUAUCUUACUCAUUUUCGUAAGAUAUAGCAACAUGUAUGUGUGUGUGUAUAUACGGUACCCCACUCCUAUCAUCCCAUAUUAAAUGUUUCUGCUUGAACCCUUAAACCUUGAUAUCAAUCUGUCUUUAAGCCUUGUUUCUAAUAUUAUUAUAAGAUCUUUACUUCUAACUUUAAAUUUUUAGGUCUAACAAAUUUAUUAUGUAAUUUAUUUAUAUAAUUUCUUAGUGCCUAUUCCUUACACAUUUAAUAUAAAAUAAAAAUACAUAUUUUUUUAAUUUUUUGGUUCACUUUAAAGCUCUUAUUUUUCAACGAAUUCCUUUCUUAAUUCUUAAGUCAGCAUCUUAAAAAUUUUAUUAAAACUUAUUAAAUAUUAUUAUUAUUCUUUACCUAAUUUAGACACAAAUCUAUAGCUAUUAUGGGGACAAAAGAUUCUCGUUAUUGAAAAUUUACGACUCUCUUUUUCGAAGGGAAAAAAAAAAAAAAAAAAAAGAAGUUAUUUGGCACCUGUGUAAGUAAUGCGCUUAACACUCUUAUAUAUAAACAAUUUGUCAUGAUUGGAGCAGGUUCUUGGAAAUCAAUGGAUUUAAAAUUUUUCUUGUUAUAGGAAUCAUGUGGACUCCAGCACGGUCUAAAAUGACGGCCCUUGCAGCUUUUUUUUAUUACUUUUUAUUUAAAAAAAGAAAAAGAAAAUUGAGAAAGAGUAGUGAUAUUCUCCAGCGGCCCACACUUUUUCUAAACGGGUAAUUUUUAAAAGCCUCCCCUGAGGUUUGGACUUGUUGCAAGUAGAUGGUGAAAAUAUAUUUAUUUGUAAAAAAUUCUUUACAUUUUUGCUCUGUUUGGUUGCCGUUUGGGUAGUUGUGGGCAUUGUUGACAUUUUACAAUAAAACAAAUCUUUUGCAACUUUCGUUGCCUUGAGAACAAUAACUAGUCAUUUCAGUUACUGAUGUUCUGACACAAAUAAAAACCAAACUUGCAAAAAGAAGUUUGGUUUCGUUUCGUUUCAAACAAUGCAUCUCUUUGAUAUCAUUUUUUUUAAUAAUCUGAAAAACUAAAAACAAAAAACGAAAGUAAAAACAAAUAUGACCACCACCAUCAUCGUAUAAAACCCUGGAUACAAAGAUGAUUUCUGAUCAUCACAGAGGAUUACCGAAUUGAUGAGCAGCAGCUUACAGUGGCAACGAGUAGCAGCACAAACCACAAGCAUGAACCACUAGCCCACGAUGUAUCGCAGUGAGUUUCGCCGACGACCCACAAGCACGAACAUCUAUGUCAAAGCAAAUCAGAGGUGAGUUGUUUGAAUACACACUCUUAUCUACUUUUUAUUUGUAGAUAACUCAAAAAGAUAUUGUGAUUUAUAUACAUGGCUUAGGUAAAAUCAGAAUUGAAAUUAGAAAAAAUUGGCUCAGUAAUAACAGUAAAACAAGGCAAAAUUUGUUUGAUCUAUAUAUAACAUUUGUUGCGUACGGUCGUGGACUUACAAUGGUUAAGCCUUAGAGUUUACAGCUUAUAGGAGAAUUGGUUUUUGGUUUAAUAUUUGUGGAAGGAAUAAUAAGAAUCAAGCUAUUUGACACCGGACACUUGAUUAAUGUAAGAAAUUCUACUCAAAACUGAAAAGUCUGCACUUAACUGAUCAUAACUUACUAUAGAUAACUCCAAAUUUAUAUUAGUAAAAUUCAUUGGAAAGCUAAUAGAAAUAUCUUUCCAAUGAUGUAUGGCUCAAAAAUUAAUUCGAUCUCAUGCAGUACAGUUUAAUUUCCAAAGAUGACCCUUCUGCACAGAAAUUCUGCUCACUUGAUUAAUAUAAGAAAUUCUACUCAAAACUGAACAGUCUGCAUUUAAUUGAUCAUAACUUACUGUAGAUAGCUCCAAAUUUAGAUUAGUCAAAUUUAAUGGAAAGCUAAUAGAAAUAUCUUUCCAAUGAUGUAUGGGUCGAAAAUUAAUUUGAUCUCAUGCAGUACAGUUUAAUUCCCAAAGAUGCCCCUUCUGCACAGAAAUUCUGCUCACUUGAUUAAUGUAAGAAAUUCUAUUCAAAACUGAACAGUCUGUACUUAACUGAUCAUAACUUACUGUAGAUAGCUCCAAAUUUAGAUUAGUAAAAUUCAUUGGAAAGAUAACAGAAAUAUCUUUCCAAUGAUGUAUGGCUCGAAAAUUAAUUCAAUCUCAUGCAGUACAGUUUAAUUCCCAAAGAUGCCCCUUCUGCACAGAAAUUCUGCUCACUUGAUUAAUGUAAUUCUGCUCACUUGAUACCAAUCUGGUGGUGCUUGCUGGGUUAUCCAUUGUAAAAAUGGAAAAAAUGAAUGUAUUUCUUGCCUGUUGUGUGAAGGUUGUAUAGAGUGGCCAGAACUGAUACUACUGCUAUUGUACUAGUGCUGGAUGGUUUCAUUUGAAAAAAAAAAUUUAUUAAAUCUAGCUUUUGCAUGUGUGUUAUAUGUGAUGAUGAUGAAAUAUUGUGUGUUUUCUGUGAUGAUGAUGAGAAAUGUUGUGAAGAAUGACAACAUUUAGAAUAUAAGGGAAGAAGAAUGACAUGUUGAGAAGCAUAAAUUGUUUCUGUGUGCUGUGCAUAAGGCUUUAAAUUGCUUUAUAAUCUUAUAAAUAGCAGGAGACUUGCAAUAUGAUUGUUGGUUUGUAACGGUCAUAAUGCAACACCCUCUUUAUUUUUUUUCAAGUUUUUAAUUUUAUUUUUCUUGUAGGAAUUUUAAGGAAAUAUCAAUAAUUUAAAGAGGGUAAAAUAGUCAUAAUCCUUACUUAUGAUAUUGUAAAUCUUUGAAAUUAACAGGGAUAAAAUUGUCAAAAAAUAAGAUUUGUCCUUUUUGCGCCAACAAUUUCAGUUUUUUUUAGUUAUGUCAAUCUACAAACUGUUGUUAAGGGUAAUAUUAUCUUUGCAUAGUCAACUAACGGUCAAUGUAAAAAUUAAUUAAUGAUAGGGGAUUUUUUAUAAAUAAACAGAUUCUCGUCAUCUAUUUGCAAUAAGCCCAAACUUCAGGGGAGAUUUUUAAAAAUUACCCUUUCUAAACUCAUUUGUUCCACAAAAUAAUUAUAAUAAAUUUAUAUUAUUAAAGGAUGGUGAUAUUCAACUUUUUAAAAAGUUUGCGAUGCUCCUUUUUUCAAUUUGGAAAAAUAUUAUGCAUGAACAAAAAGGUAUACAUUGAAGAAAUUUAUUGUUAAAAGGUAAUUUUGGUAUUUAGAUAUAUUUUAAAUUGGGAUGUUAUCUAUGAAAUAAAAAGUGGGGCUAUUUAAGCCUAUUAAAUUUCUCUUUAUAUCUAUUUUAAAAAAAUAAAUUCAUUAUUUUGAUAUUCAUUAACUUUUAUAUUUAGUAAAAAUUAAUAUUUUGAUGCUUUUUAACUUAUAAGAAUUUGUUGAUGUUUAUUUUUAAAUGAUAAAUUGUGUUCCUCUUAGUUAAUGAUAUUAAUUUUUUAUAGAUAAAAGAAUUUAUCUAAAUAAAUUAAUGGGAAAUUAUGAAAUUAAAAAGAGGAAGAGAAGAAAGGGUUAAUUAAGUAAUUUUAAAAUUAUUUAAAUAACAAAAUUUUUAAUUAAUAAAAAAUAUAGGAAAAAAAUUAACGGAUUAAGUAGCCACAUCACAUAUAAAAAAGGAUAAAAAUAUUUCCUACCCAUUCCCCUUUACCUUGACGUAAAUUUCAUAUUAACCCCGUAUAGUUAUUUAGUUUUCUAGUUAUAGCCCCACCGUGUUUAUAAAAAUUUCAUUAUUGCCCGCCACAAGUUUUAUACUUUUAUAUAAUUACCCGCUAAAGUUUAUAUUUCCACUAUCAUGUAACCCUUUCAAACCAAAAUCCUAAUACUGCUUCUUGUUGUAAUUUGCACAAAAAAACAAAAAUUAAAAAAAAAAUCCUAAUGGAAUUUCAAUCUCAUUUGAAUAAGCAAUUCUCAAAGAAAAAUAAUUGAGUAAACAUUGUUGAUGCGAGAUUCUGGUUGUCCUCUUUCUACAACCAGGGUCUCUGCUCGAUCAACUCCACCACGAUCAGGAUCUCUCCUCGUAAGGCUUCUUCUCCAGAAGUUCCUGCGUACACAGAAGCAGGUCAGAGUAUGCCGGUUGUUUCCCCGGCGCAAACCCUCCGACGCUUAAGUCAGAAAUGAAGGUUCUGGGAACGCUAGCCACAAAUCUUAUGGCUUUUCUGUAGUUUCUGUUCUCUAGAGCUUUCUUUAUCUCUGUUAUAAUGUCAAAAUUGCUAACCCUUUUACCUUCGUUGGCUACCUUUUUAUAGGCCACCUCUGAACUCGGGCCUUCCCUCCAUUCGCGCUCGUUAUCCUCCCACCUCUCGAAAGUGGAUGCCCCAUUUCCGUAGUCGUGGGUGGUUGCGUGACCUUCGUGCCUUGAUUCUCGGACUGGAGAGCACGCCUCGCCAACUGUCGUUGACCGGGUCUCCUCGACUUAACCCUUAGCAGGAAUGUAGCAGGAAUGGCUUUAUGCUUCCAACAGGAGAUUGGCCUCGUGGAUGACGUGCUCGUGGAUGAGCAGGAUAUUCCUGCUCCUGCUCCUCCGAAUACCAGACUCUUACAAGAUAUACCUGCUCGAGGAACCCUAUUACCCGCUGUCUGCUCAUCACUACUGAUCUUCGUCGAAGCAUAUCCCACAAACACCGGUCCCCCAGUUUCUGGUGUUGGGUAACGUAGUAAGCCGACAGUAGAAACUUGACAGUUCUUGCUUGCGCGGGAUAGGAAAAAGGCUUCCAAGAGUCGUGUCGCAUUUAAUUGCGGACGAGGUGAUGUGGCAGAAAUCUACCCCUCUAUUUGAAUUUCAAACCAACGGUUACGAGACCCUCGGGAUUUGGUGCUGUUAAAUGCUGGCAACCCAAGAGUCCAUUCUCCAUUAGGAAAACCCAAAACCUCUCCCAAGGAAAAUUCGUCCUUUACUCCGUCUCUGUCCCUGUCUCUCCGGCAAAGAAGUUCUGGCAUAAAGGCCUCCAUCCAUGUCCUUCUCCGACUGAACCACUAUUUCAGGUAUUACUUUUAUCUCCUCGGUCUCGGAUAGCUGUAGAUAAUUUCUUUUCUCUUUGCUUUGCUUGGGUAGUAGUUGGUAGUGGUGUUCUGGUUAUAGCUUAGGGAAUGUCGAAAGGUAAAGAGAAGGUCAUUGAGGUUGAUGACGAUGAGUUGGACUUCAUGCCUAGUCUGCUCACCGAUCCUGCUUUUGACCCCGGGAUCCCAUUACAACCCAUCAGACCUAGUGUUGGUACUAGCACUAGGAGGAUGUCCCCCCAAACAACCUCCUCGAGCGGAAAUAGCAGUGAGGAGGGGUCUUCUGGCUCGGAAAACACCUUGAGUGAGGAUCGAGGAGGUGAUUCUGGUGAGGUGUCCCCAUCAGGAACAUCGCGACCAGAAGGGCGGAGUACAGUAGGAGGUAGAGCCCUAUCGCGGGAUUACGCUAUUGAUUACAUGACGUGCACGACCACGUUUGACGAGCUCACUGACCUCCGGCUUAGGUAUAGCAUUCCUGGUGAAAUACCUCUUAAGAUCUCAGGAAAGAAGGAUAUCCCUAGCCGGCCUCCUAGGGGAUACGUUACCCUGUUUCUAGAGAGCUUUAAGUAUGGGUUGAGGUGUCCCUUGCAACCCUACUUUGCCCGGAUACUUAACGGGCUAAAUCUAGCUCCUGGUCAGCUGAACCCCAACGGGUGGAGAGUACUCUCUGGUCUGUUCAUAUUGUGGGACAGAUGUUGCCAAAGCGAGCCCACAGUUUAUGAGGUGAAGCACCUGUACCAGCUAAAGAGCAGCCCCAAAGAUGCCGGCUGAUACUACUUCCAAUCUAGUACCAAGACCAGGAAACCCAUAACCGACCUUCCUACUGGUGGUGGUGGGAAUUGGAAGAAACAGUUCUUUUUUGCUGGGGGUCCUUGGGGUUAAGUUGCACAAAUUGACGGGAAUGAUUAUCGCGUCCCACCCCGUUUCGUGGUCCCAGAUUGCCUGCUCGCUUUAGAUGUCUUGUAUCCAUAAUUGUUCUCGCUAUACUGGUUUGUAUCUAACCAAGUGUCUGUUUGUGUUGCAGGUUCUUGGGGUGUUCACUUCCCGCUCCAACCUGACCAGCUCAAACGGGUCGAGGGUGUACUAGCCAAUUCCUGCUCGAGCCGAGAACUGAUAACUACUUAUAACUUGCUCGAGUCUUGUUUGGUGCCUCCCGGCCAUAAGAUGGAGGAUGCUGUGAUUGGGGCUUUGACUAGGAAAUGUUCUCGACCUCCAACGACCAAGCGGGACCAGAAUAAAGAUGCUCCUACUGCAAAGCGGGUGAACAUCGUGCAACAUGUUGCUCCCUUGCAGACUCUACCUCCUCCUCCUGCCAAAGUCGGAGAGACUAGUGGAGCUGCCACUGAUCAUGCUUCCUCUUCUCCUCCUGUCGGGCCUAGAUCUCGUUUAUCUGACCACCGAGCAGAACACUUGGUCCCUUAUCUCAAUGAGCUAUCUAAACUCGUGAGCAAGAAGGACCUGGAGGACUUUGAUGGCUGCACCGUGGGUGAGCUGGUGGGGGCCAUGCAAUAUAGCGCUUUCCACCUCCUCUGUAUGACCACUUACUAUAAGGCCAAGGUUGGCCGUUACGACCGGAAGAUGAAGGAGGACAUUCAAUCGGCGAUGACCAGAGCCGAUGCUGCCGAGAAGAAAGCGAGAGACUUGAAUCUCGAGAAUCUAAAGCUGAUAGAGCAAGAAUCUCUUGCUCAAGCAAAGGCCAUUACUCUCGAGGAAGAGCUGACUAAGGUUAAGGAGGAUCUGCAAAGGCAGAAGAUUAUGUACGAGGCUCAGCUCGAAUCUCUCCGCGAUUCCCACCGAGUUCAGGUCGAGAACUUGGAGAAGGAAACCGACAACCAGUACGACCAGGGACUUCGGCAUUCCUAUCGUUGUAUCAUGGCCGUCCUCGGGAAGCAGCAUCCUGAUCUGAAGAUGGAUGACCUUGCGGCUGGUGUUGCUAAACACAUGGACGAGGAGGCGGCAAAGGAGGAUGCCGAAGGGGUGGAGCCAAUCGUGGUUGAGGAGGAAAACUCUCCUCCUCGUGCAGUCCCUGCUAACGUUGGUGAGGCGAGUACCCCCCCGGACGCAACUGGUGACACCCCCCCUGCUUCUGAAGUGGACCAGCCAACCGAAGCUGCUCGGCUUACUGAUCCUCCGUCCUCCUGAACUUGUCUUGCGUUGUUAAUUGCUUUUUGAACAUUGUAUGUAACAACAUUGCAGACUUUUAAGGGCUUAAUAAAAUUGUUCUUAUUUGCUUUCUCGCAUUGGAAUUUUAAUUUAUUUAUCCAUUUGGCUUCUGACCUCGUCACAGAGGAGGCCUUGAGAGUUGACGAGCUUUCUCAUGCCUUAGAUAAUUUUCCCAGUGUUGGGGAGUCUGCUAGCCUUCACUUGGCCGAGCAGAUCCCGGUAUGCUUGGCUUCUGGUCUCGCCAUAAACAGGCUUUGAGACUUGAUGAGCCUUAGCAUGCCUUAGUAAAUUCUUCAAUGAUUGGGAUUCUGCUCGCCUUCGCGUGGUCGAGCAGAUCCUGGCACGCUUGGCUUCUGGUCUCGCCAUAAAUAGACUUUGAGACUUGGUGAGCCUUUGCAUGCCUUAGAUAAUUUUUUGAUGUUGGGGAGUCUGCUAGCCUUCACUUGGCCGAGCAGAUCCCGGCAUGCUUGGCUUCUGGUCUCGCCAUAAACAGGCUUUGAGACUUGGUGAGCCUUAGCAUGCCUUAGUAAAUUCUUCAAUGAUUGGGAUUCUGCUCGCCUUCGCGUGGUCGAGCAGAUCCUGGCACGCUUGGCUUCUGGUCUCGCCAUAAACAGGCUUUGACAUAAAAUAAAUAAUAGCAGACACGAACAGAAAUAACUUGAAAACAUGGACAAUUCUUACUGGAAAUAUUUCCUGAGGUGUGCUGCGUUCCAUGGGCGUUUCACCUCGUCGCCAUCCGAGCGAACCAGCUUGUAAGCUCCGGGUCCAACUAGCUGCUUGACCCUAUAUGGCCCCUCCCAAUUUGGUCCAAGUGCUCCCUGAGCCGAGUCUUUCGUGUUCUGAUUCACUCUCCUUAACACCCAAUCUCCGACCUUGAACUGCCGUACAUUUACCUUCUGGUUAUAAUACCGAGCAACCCUCUGCUGGUAAAUGGCUGAUCGCUUGGCUGCUUGCUCCCUCUUUUCCGUUAGCAGAUCUAGAUUCAAACACAUCUGCUCGUCGUUCUCCUGCUCAUUGAAAUGAUCUGUCCGGUGCGUGGUUGUUCCUAUCUCGGCUGGUACGACCGCUUCAUGUCCGAAGGCCAAGGCGAACGGUGUCUCCCCAGUUGCUGUUUUGUGGGUUGUCCUGUAUGCCCAUAGAACACCUGACAGCUCAUCAACCCAUGCACCCUUUUUUGCUCCAAGCCUGGUUUUCAAAAGCCUCUUGAUGGUCUUGUUGGCUGCUUCUACUUGUCCAUUAGAUUGAAGGUGAGCAGGCGAGCAAUACUUCAACUCUAUCCCGAGGUUCUGGCAGAAAUCCCUGAAGCUGUGAUUAUCGAACUGCCUGCCAUUAUUCGUUACCAAGGCAUAAGGGAUCCCGUAUCGGCAAACCAGGUUUCUCCACACAAAGUCUGUUGUUUUCUUCUCUGUGAUCCUGCUAAGGGCUUCUACCUCUAUCCACUUCGUGAAGUAGUCUAUUGCAACUAUUGCAUAUGUUGCUGCUCCUCGUCCCUUUGGCAACGGGCCGAUCAGAUCAAUUGCCCAUUGAGCAAAUGGCCAGGGGGAGGCCAUAGAGGUGAGCUUCUCUGGUGGUUGGUUGGAGAAACUCGUAAAUAUCUGGCAGCUUACACAGCUCCUGGUCUUCUCCUGCGCAUCCUGGUGCAUUGUCGGCCAGAAAUAUCCCUGCCUUAGAACCUUGUGGGCCAGGGACCUCCCACCAGAAUGAUUUCCGCAAAUUCCCUCAUGUACUUCUCUCAGUACGUAGUUCGCGUCGUCCUCAUCCAAACACCGAAGGAAAGGUAGCGUAUAUCCUCGCCGAUAUAGUACCCCAUCAAUCAUCGUGUAUCUCGAGGCCUGGGCUCUAAUCUUCCGAGCUCGCAGCUUAUCUGGUGGUAACACCCCAUCUCUGAGGUAUGAAAUUAUCGGGUCCAUCCACGAGCAUUUUUGUUCUAUCCGCAGUACCGCCAAAUUCUGCUCGUUGCUCGGGCUGGACUUCACCUCCAGAGGGAUCGACUUUGGCAUUUUUGGGUCUGCUACCGCUGCCAUCCUCGCCAAAAUAUCUGUUCGACUAUUCUGCUCCCUGGGGAUUUGUAGCACCUCAACCGCUUCAAAUUUCCCCAUCAUCUGCCUGACUAUCUUCAGGUACUGCUCCAUCUUCUCCUCUCUCGGUUGAAAUCUUUCACUGACAUGAUUUGCAACUAGCUGGGAAUCAGUUCUGAUCUUCACUCUAUCCGCUUUCACUGCCUUAGCCAAUUCCAAACCUGCUAGCAAGGCUUCGUACUCUACUUGGUUAUUUGUGGCUGCGAAUUCUAACUUUACAGCAUAAGAGAUCUCCUCCCCUUCUGGGCCUUCCAAAACAAUUCCUGCUCCUGAUCCCUGCUCCCCGGAUGACCCAUCUACAGACAUCUGCCAUACUCUGGCUUCGUUGCUGUCUGUAGCUACAUCUUGCUGGUCCAAACAUAUUUCGGGCUCUGUGAAUUCUGCUACGAAAUCGGCCAUCGCCUGAGCCUUUAUCGCUGCUCGGGGUUUGUAGUCUAUGUCGAACUCGCUCAGCUCUAUAGCCCACUUGACGAGCCGACCAGAAGCAUCUGGCUUGUGCAGAGUUUGACGCAAUUGCUGGUUUGUUAUUACCGAGACUGGGAAUGCCUGAAAGUAUGGCCUCAGCUUCCGAGCAGCAACCACAAGGGCAAGUGCCCAUUUCUCCAACGGUGGGUAUCUGGUCUCAGCGUCGAGCAGGGCCUUGCUGGUGUAGUAUAUCGGAUACUGAACCCCUUCUUCCUCUCUCACCAGAACAGAACUUACAGCCCGAUCUGAUACCGCCAAAUACAAAAAUAACUUGUCCCCAUCCUUCGGUGUGGACAGCAGAGGUGCUUGCUGCAAGUACUGCUUCAAGUUCUGGAAGGCUUCUUGUUUUCAUUAUUUUUUAAUUAAUAUUUCAUUUAAUGGUAGCAUGUAAUUUUAAGUAUGUAUAAUUUUAACUUGUUUUCAUUAUUUUUCUAAUUAACCAUAAGCCAUACAAAUUUAAGGAUGAUACUAUUACCAUUUGAAAAAAAUUUCAGAAUUAAAUAUUAGUAAUUUUGUAAAAUAAUAAUAUUUGGGAGUGUCAUUCAUGCAUUGCUUAUCACUUAUUACUUUAUUAUAUUAUUUAAUAAAUGAAUUCAUAUCAAUUAGGACUCAAUUGGGACUCAAAUAUUGAAUCUCUACUUUUAUCCUUUGCAAAAUGGUAUCGCUAGACAAUUACCAAUAAUCUAUAAAGUUAAAUUAAAAAUGUAAAAACUUAACACGUAAGAUCAAAUCAAUGUCAUUACAACAUUCGAAGCAACUUCAUGCCAUACUAGUACUUUUAUAAAUAAACACAGAAUUGUUUAGUUCUAUAUUUUUUUAAAAUAAUGAUAUGCAAUUAAAAUCUGUUUAUAUUUCUGUUCACAGGCUCGAUAUUUCUACCCUAUUAGUAUUCAUGAAUAUAUCUAUCUUUUGUCAUUUUAGUAAGAUAGAGCAACAUGUGUGUAAAAGUACUAGUAUGGCAUGAAGUUGCUUAAUUCUUAAGUCAGCAUCUUAAAAGUAUUAGUAAGAUGGUCCCAUUAGAUUCUUUCUUAAUUCUUAAGCCAGCAUCUUAAAAAAUUUAUUAAGACUUAUUAAAUAUUAUUAUUAUUCAUUACUUAACUUCAAAGUCAAAUAUUAUUAUUAUUCAUUACUUAACUUCAAAGUCAAAUAUUAUUAUUAUUCAUUACUUAACUUCAAAGUCUCGAAGACUCGAUAUCUUAGAUGCAAAUCUACAUAGCUAUCACUGGGGACAAAAGAAUCUCGUUAUUGAAAAUUUACAACUCUCUUUUUCGAAGGAAAAAAAAAAAGAUUGAAGUGAAAAAAAAAAAAAAAACCGUUAUCUAGUACUUGUGUAAGUAAUAAUAUAAACAAUUUGUCCUGAGCGGAGCAGGUUCUUGGAAAUCAAUGGAUUUAAAAUUUUAUAUUUUGAUGUUUAUUUACUUUUAUAAUUGAUAAGAAUUUUGUUGAUAUUUAUUUUUAAAUAAUAAAUUUUGUUCCUCUUAGUUAAUGAUAUGAUUUUUUUAUAGUUAAAAAAAUAUGUCUAAAUGAAUUGAUGAGAAUUUGUGAAAUUAAGAAGAGGAAGAGAAGAAAGAGUCAAUUAAGUAAUUUUUAAAAUUAUUUGAAUAAUAAAAUUUUUAAUUAAUAAAAAAAUGUUGGAAGAAAAUUAACGGAUUCAACUUUCAAGUAGCCGCAUCCUAUAUAAAAAAAGGGUAAAAAUAUUUACAACCUAUUCCCCUUUACCUUGAUGUAAAUUUCAUAUUAGCCCUGUAUGGUUAUUUAGUUUUCUAGUUAUUUAGUUCCCCCCCGGCGCAGGUUUUAUACUUUUAUAUAAUUGCCCUCUAAAGUUUAUAUUUCCACUAUCAUGUAACCCUUUCAAACCAAAAUCCUAAUACUACUUCUUGUUGUAAUUUGCACAAAAAAAAAAAAAAAAAAUCCUAAUGGAAUUUCAAUCUCAACUGAAUAAGCAAUUCUUAAAGAAAAAUAAUUGAGUAAACAUAACAUUGCUCAUAAUAUUUAAUCGAUGCGAUGAACAUCCACAAAUAUAGGGAUAAAACUACGUUGCAACAUGGGAACAUCCACAAAUAUAAACAUUAUAUUGAUAACAAAUGAGAAAUGUUUAUUUUUGUAAACAAAUUUUGGCUGGAGAUAUUUAUACCCAUAAUGAGGAUUUAAUUGGUUAAUCAUUCAUUUUUUUCUUUAUUUUAAAAUAUAAAAAAUAAUUCAAUUUUUUUUAAUUAAUUUUGAAACGGGGUGAGUUUGCACAAUUUGAGGGGUGGAAAUAUCACCACCCAAUGAUUAUAUAGCAAUUUAUAUAUAUAUUUUAAAAAUUUAAUCAUAUUUUAUGUUAAGAAUAAAAAUUAAAAUAAAAAAAUGGAUGCCAAACCUAGUUUAUAAUGUAUUGCACUUUUAUUAAAAAUACAUUAAAAUUUUUUUCUUUUGUAGUUAUCCAUAUGAGGUUUAUAAAGUGUAUUACUUUUUUACUUUUUAGUUAAAACUGUUAGAGGACUUAACAAAAUAUUUAAAAAAUGAUUAUUUGCCAUGAACGUAAGAAAAGAGGUAUUUAGUCUUGGCUAAAUGAUAAAAAAUACAUAUUUUAUUUUUGUAGCUUUUUAGGACCAAUAAUGCUACAAAAUUAAUAAUAUAAACUCAACGAACUUGUUAAUUUAAAUAAAUAAAAUUACUAAAAUAAGCACAUAAGUUACUUUUUGGCUCAUUUAUGUUAUAAAUCAGGAAUUCCUGCUCACAUAACCCAUCCUCAAUAAUUUUGACAACAAUAACAAAUCUUCAAUAAUAAUAAAUCACCCCUAGAAACAAUCAUAAUUAUCCAAAAUAUAUUCAAAAUAACUAUAAAAUCAAUUAUGGAAAACCUUUGAAUAUUAUAAUUAGUUCCCAUCAAUUAAAAAUAAAAACACAAAAUAAGUUAUGGUAGAACUUAAAGAUUAUAGUUUGUUCUCUUCAAUUAAAAAUAACAAAACAUUCUAAAAGUAUCCAAAAUAACAAUCAAUCAACAGUCUUUUUAUGUUUAAGGGUAAAAUAAUUUUUUUUGAUAUUCUGAUAAGUCUUCUAACGUUGUUACUGAAAAAGUAGAAAGUAAUAUGCUUUGUAAAGUUCAGGUUGAAAACAGUAAAAAAAAAUAUUUGAUAUACUUUUUAUAAAAAAAUAUUUGCCGUAAGAAAUUUGAGUACUACAAGCAGAAGCUAAAGCUACCGAGCGCCAAUUGGCAGCAUCUUCACUCACAGCCAACUCGCUUGCUUUGGCCAUGGCCGCCAGUUCGCCGACGCUAACCUCCGAACAUUCGAAGAAGACAAAACCCAACAGGAGAAAAAGAACCCGAAAGAUCCGAGAAGCCGAAAAGCUCGACUCUCUCAAAUGGAGCCCCUCUUUUUCAGCCGAAGACAACGACCCCUUUGCCUUCCUCAUUGGCUCCAACGAACUGGACGGAGGUCAAUUAACACUUUCACCUUUGUUUUUUUUGUCAUUCUUCUUUAGUUUAGUUGUUGCUGCCCACGUGUUUAAAUUUUAGAUUUUUUUUUAUGGCGUAUAUGUUUCAAAGUUUAGAGGAAUAAUUAAUGUGAUCGGAUUAAUGAAAUGAGGUUAUUUUUAGUUAAUUUGAGUACAAAUCUUGUAUUUAAAGUUUUGUUUUUUCUCUGAGCAUUUUGUCGGCAAUCAAGUGUAGGAUUGGGGGUUUAUGGGGUUUAUAGGGUUUAAGCUUUGCUCAUAGAUUAUGGUUUUUGUGUAUUAUGGUGAAUGCAGGUUUUCUUUCACUUGAAGAGAUUGAUGAAGCCAGUUACAAUUUGCAAAUUCCAAAACCUGAGAAGGGAAAGCCUGGGAAGAAACCGAAUUUGAAGAAAAGGAAACGUAGUAGUGCCAAUGGGGAGGAUUCUGGUGAUGGGGAUGGGGAUGAAGAUGGAAGUGGAGUGCAAAAGGAGGAAGAGAAGAAUUUGAAGAAUGAGAAAGGAAAGAAAAAGAAGAAGAAAAAGAAGGGAAAGAAAAUUAAGACAGUUGAGGAAUCUGUGGCUGGUUAGUGGUUUGUGUAUCUUAGAUUGAUUUGUUAUUGUUUUGAGCUACUAAGCUUUUAUUCUGGCUUGGUGUUAAGAGCAUUAUGAUAGAUUUUUAUUAUUGAGCUUGUUGCAGAUUUUCGGUCUAUUUUUUGGUGUGUAGUGAAUCUUCAACUUAGUUAUUUAUUGAUUCCUUUAUUUAUUAUUGUAAAAAAAUUUUACACUAUGUGAAUUUCUCAAUUGAUUGGAGAGAGAGCCCAAAAUAUUUAAAAGGUUCAAGUUUGCCAGUUGUGUAGGGUCAACCUCUCUUCCUUUGUUCCUUUAUAGUUGAAUGAAUUGUUUGUCCUCCACUUCUUUUGCUUCAUCAUUUCAGUUAUUGCAGUAAGUGAGUUCCGCAUGUUAUUUGAACUUGUAAAUGUGCAUCUGAAAAUUUAUGUGAGACUAAAAGAUGUUUCAUACAACUUGUGGGACUGUGAUUGUAGUUAGCAAUGGUCCGGAUGAUGCUGAAGAAGAGUUAGUCAAUGAAGUUGAAAUUUCAACUGAAUUUGAUGAAUGGAAUGAAUUAAGGCUUAAUCCUCUGCUUAUGAAAUCAAUUUACAGGCUUGGGUUCAAGGAACCAACCCCAAUUCAGAAAGCAGAUAUUCCUGCUGCAGCUCAUCAAGGGAAGGUUGUUAGAAGUUCCUUUAUAAGUAACUAUGUUUGAUUGAUCGAUGGCACUUGGUUUGAUACUCAUACUAUUUUGUUACAUUACAGGAUGUGAUUGGUGCGCUGAGACAGGAUAUGGUAAAACGCUUGCUUUUGGUUUGCCCAUUAUGCAACGUCUAUUAAAAGAAUGAGAAAAAGCUGCAAAGAUACUGGAAGAGAAAGGGACGAAGCAGAAAAAUAUGCUCCAAAAGGGCAUUUGAGAUCUCUUAUCAUUUCCCCUACAAGGGAAAUUGCGCUUCAGGUACUGAUAGUUGCAUCGUCAAGUCCUGCCUCUUAAUUUUAUGAUUGCUUGAGUUUGCAUGUAAAAGCUUUUCUAUACAUAUAUAUAACUAUAUUUGGUGAAUGUAUGGAAACCAUUGGCAGUAUGCAAAUUUUGCUGAUGUUUGUUUGGAACAUUGACAGCUUUCAGCAGUGUCUGCUGCAUUCUUUGCACAUAGUUUACCAAUUGCCAGUAAUCGUGUGCCGGGCAUUGUAGAUUGCUAUUGGCGAUCACUAAGCACAAUGUUUAGAGGCCAUCAUGGUUGUCAAUGAUUAUCAACUUAUCUUUGUUGGCUGUUGGCAAGUGUUUAGGUCUGCUGGUAGUGGUGAAAGAGUAGGAGUAUUUAUUUUAAAACAACUUGAGAGUUAAAACUUAAAAGGGACAAAUAAUAUGGAAUUUUAGGCUUGAGUUUCUUCAUUUACCAGGUAACAUUUUUAUCCAAUUUGAACAAAAUUUGCAGGUAUCUAUGAAUUUGAAAUCUUGAUCUAAGUGACACCUCUUUUAGAUUUGUUAAUUUAUUUCUCCAUAUGUUGGUGUUUUAUCUUCUAGGUCACCGACCACUUAAAGGAAGUUGCUAAGGGUAUCAAUGUUAGGGUGGUUCCUAUUGUCGGUGGAAUGUAAACAGAGAAACAGGAAAGACUUUUAAAAGCAAGGCCUGAGGUGGUUGUUGGAACUUCUGAGAGGUUAUGGGAACUUAUGUCAGGAGGAGAAAAACAUCUUGUUGAGGUUAGUGUUGAUAAAUAUUGGGGAUAAACUCCAUCCUGUCACUCCUCUUUCCUCGACCAAUUUGUUGUGUUUACUUAUUCAGUUACAUACACUAUCAUUCUUUGUGCUGGAUGAGGCUGAUCACGGUUGGAGGCAUAUUCUUUAGAAAUAAAAUAAGCUGUAGCUCACGGUUGUCUGCCUUUGUCAUUUUCCUUCAUAUCAAACUCUUCAUUUUAAUGAAUGGAUGACAGUUAACAAGGUCUGUAAGCUUCAUCGUUAAAAGUAAAUAGACAGUCAUUUUAGAUUUCUUCAUCAUCUCUUUCAUUUUUUUAGAUUUCUUCAUCAUCUCUUUCAUUUUUAUAUGCGAUUGUGUAAUGCCUCCUCAACUUUAAUGGCCCUUACUCUAUGAUUGGCUGCAGAUGCAAGGAAGAAGAUAAAGAUGCCUACUUUUAUUAUAUUUUGAGUGUUCAUGGACAAGGCCGUUUUCUGUACGUCCAUUGCAGCUUUGCGCCAUAUUGCUUCCCUACUGAAAAUUCUCGGCCCAGAUGUUUGGACACUUCAUGCUCAGAUGCAACAGCGAGCUCGUUUGAAGGCAUUUUGAUGUGCAAAUGUCUUGUUUUUUACACUAUUGGCUUGACAUUUCUGAGGCUUCUUUGAGACACGAGCCUGUUACAUAAUGACAAAAGUUAGUUUUUAGUAAGGCUGCUUUUGGUAUUGUUUUUAAAACAAUGUUCUUGUUAUUUUGUUUUAGAAUAUCGAUACGAUUAAUUUUAAUGUAAAUGAAAACAUAUUUGGUGGUUUGUCUUGAAACUAAUUUCUGAAAAUGAAAAUAGCAAAACACAUUCGGUAAUUUGUUCAGAGAAAGGAAAACAGUGAAUAAGCUUUUGGUAAAAUUUUCAUGAAAAUUGAUUUUUAGUAGCUAUAUUGCAUGUGCUAUUUUUAAAAAUUGUCUUUUAUUAUUUUCGAUGUUUUUAAAUAAACAAGUAAAAUAUUAUAAAAAUAGCAUAAUGUAAUAAUAAAUAUAAAUAUAAGUACGACUUUUAUUUAAUAGUUGUUUAGCCAAAUGAUAACAAGGAUAAGAUAAGGAAAAGACCGAAAGGGGAUAGAGAAAAAGAUUAAAUUCUCUGUACAGAAAUACAGAAUAGCCUUAUUUGUGAGUUGAAAGAUCAAACCAAGGAGAGUUCAUUUUCCAUGACAACCACCCACAUUAGCGGCCUUGGGCCAUCCAGUAUGCUCGUAAAAUGACUCCCAAAGAUUAGGGUUCCCUUUUCGAAGGAGUAGUUCCCAGAUACCGCACCACUAUGAGACUAUGAGUAGUUCUUCCAACCUUUAUAUUAUUAGAAAGUUUUAUUUGAGUAAGAUAAAUUAUUAUAUUUUAUUAAAUAUCUAUCAUUAUUUUCAAAAAAGUUUUUUAUUUUAUAAAAUUAUUAUAUCUAUAAUAAUUAUGUCUAUAAUCAUUUUUUCAUUGUUUUUCUAAUUAACCACAACCCAUAUAAAUUUAAGGAAGAUUAUGUUAUUAUUAUUUUUAAAAUAAAUAAAUACUAAUAAUUUUAUAAAACAAUAAUAUUUGAGUACUAACUUAAAUCUUAAUAUUAUACAUCACUUAUGUAUUGCUUAUUAUUUUAUCCUAUUAUAUCAUAUUAAUUGAAAUUCAAUUGGAGCUCACUGUUGAAUCUCUACUAUUACGCUAUUCAAAAUGACAUCAAGCCGUCAACAAUCAAUCUGACCAAUAAUCGAUAAAAUUAAAUUAAAAAAUUUAAAAGCUCUACUAUUACAAAGGAUCAAGUCAAUGUCAUUACAACAUUCUAAGCAACUCAAAUAUUUUUAUAAUUAAAUACAGAAUUAUUAAGUCCAACUUUUUUUUUAAUAAUGAUAUGCAACUUUAUAUGUAUGUAUGUAUGUAUGAGUGUGUGUUUACAUAUGUAAUCAUUCUCAAGUGUGAGUACCCUCAUUUUUUUAAAAAAAUACGGAUACAUUGUUGAACUCUACAGUUUAAUAGUGUAUUUGAACUAACUCUAUUAAACUGCAUAGUUUAAUAACGUAUCCGCAUAUAAAAAAAUGAAGGAACACGCAUGAGAGAAGAACUAUUAUUAUAAAGAGAGAGAGAGAGAGAGUAGAAUAAGACACCCCACUCUUAUUAUCCCAUGUUAAAUGUUUUUACUUGAGCCCUUAAAUCUUGAUAUUAGUGUUAUUAAACCUUUUUUUUCAAUAUUAUUAUUAGCCCCUUAUAAUCUUAAACUUUUGAGGCUAACAGUUUCUAAAUCCCCAAUUUUAUCAUAUAAUUGUAUUUAUGUAGUUUCUUAUUGUUUAUUCCUUACACAUUUGAUAUGGGAACAUUUGAUAUGGAGUGAAAAUAUUUGUGUAUAGAAUUAGGAUUAAUGUCAAGGUGUUACUAUGAUUUCCUAAACAUAUAAACCAGUGGCGAAGCUAUGGGUUGGCUAACCCGGGCUGCAUUUAAAAAAAUAAUAAUUUAUGAAUUUUUGUUUAUUAAUAUUUAUAAAUAAAAAUAACAAUAAAUUUAAUAGCCCACCCCAAAAUAUGGUGUUAGCUUCGCCACGGAUAUAAACUCUUUUAAUUAUUUUUUUGAUUUUCUGAUCCAGUUUAAAGCUCUAAUUUUUCAGCGAAUUUCUUUCUUAAUUCUUAAUCAACAUAAAAAAAAAAGAAGCUUGUUAAAACUUAACUUAAACGUUAUUAUUAAUCCUUACCUAACUUAAAGUUUUAAACUAUAUGAUUUCUUGAAGACACGGGGUCUUAGACCCCAAACUACAUGGAAUAAUGGAAUAAUGCAGAGAGAAAUAUAUAUAAACAAUUUGUCUUGAUUGCAGCAUGUUCUUGGAAGUCAAUGGAUUUAAAAUUUUUCUUGGCAUAGUAAUCAUGUGGACUCCAACGUGCCCUUGGAUUUUUUUUUUUUUUUGCUUUUUAUUACGAUGCUUCUUUUUUCAAUUUGGAAAAAUAUUAUGUGUGAAUAGAAGUUAUGCAAUGAAGAAAUUUGUUAUUGCAAGAGUAAUUUUAGCAUUUAGAUAUAUUUUAAACUGGGGUGUUAUAUAUUAUACUGUUGAUGCAGAGAAAUCCGGAUGAGUUGGUCAAAUCUCAGAUCCCUGCAUCAGCAUUAAAUUUGUUUGGUGGGAAGCUGCUGAUUAGUUAGCACCAUGAGUAGAUUUUCUAUGAGCAGAUGUUCUAUGAGCAGACAACUCAUGAGCAGAUAAUCCAUAAGCAGACGAUCCAUGAGCAGACAAUCCAUGAGCAAAGAACUCAUGAGCAGACAAUCCAUGAGCAGACGAUCCAUGAGCAGAGAACCCAUGAGCAGACAAUCCAUGAGCAGAGACCCCAUGAGCAGACAAUCCAUGAGCAGAUGAUCCAUGAGCAGAUAACAUGUGAGCUUGUGAGCACAACCAACAGUCAGGAGGUGCCAGAAGUUUUUCCGGCGAGAACCCUCCGACGCUCAAGUCAGCGAUUUGGGUCUUACUUGAAAAAACCCAUACCACAAUUCAUGUGGCUUAAUUAUGAUUGCUUUAAACAAAAAAGAUUUUAAGUAAAUUUAAAAGAAAAUAAUUGAGAAUAGUUAAUCUUAAAGAAAUCAUAAGCGAAAGAGAAAUUUCCCAGUUGUAGAGAGAGAAAAAGGUCCAAUGGGUUCAGUUGCCCAGAGAGAGAGAGAGAGAGAGAAGAAGAAGAAGGAGCCUCCUCCUUUCCUUCCCCUUCCUAGGGUUUUUAUAGGAAACUAUAGCGGUUUUUAUCCUCUCUCCUAUAAUUCUCAAGAAAACUACUAAUUUUCAGCCCACUAAGAAUAUGGUCCCUAAUAUUUCGAAGAAAAUGGUUUGACUGAAUCGUGCUUCCUGGUAACUUCCUGGUCGAGGUGACCAAUAACAUCCUGGUCGAGUUGAUGUGCUCGAGGUCACCACAUAUUAUUCUGGUUGAGGUGACCAAUAAUAUCCUGGUCGAGGUGAUGUGCUCGAGGUCACCACAUAUUAUUCUGGUCGAGGUGACCAAUAACAUCCUAGUCGAGGUGACCAAUAACAUCCUGGUCGAGGUGAUGUGCUCGAGGUCACCAUAUAUUAUUCUAGUCGAGGUGACCAAUAACAUCCUGAUCGAGAUGAUCUGCUCAACCAUUUGUUUACUUUUACUUUGGAGGAGAGCACGAUAAUGUAUGAGCAAACUCAUUUAUCUUGGUCACCCUAUUUCAUUCCCUAAACAUAUACAAAAGAGUACGGUUAUUUAAAACCAUCAAAUUUUUUUCUACACCCAUUUUAAAAAAUGAAUUUAUUAUCUUGAUAUUCAUUAGCUUUUGUGUUUGGUAAAAAUUAAUUUCUUAUUGUUCAUUAAUUUUUGUGGCCGAUAAAAAUUUGUUGAUGUUCAUUUUAAAACCAUUGGUUUUGUUUUUCGUAGUUAGUGAUAUCAAUUAUUUACAGUUAAAAGAAUAUAUUUCAAUGAAUUGAUAAAAAUUUAUGAAAUUAAGAAAAAAAGAAAAAAUGGUUAAUUAAGCAAUUUUUUCUAAAAUUAUUUAAAUAAUAAUAUCCUUAAUUAAAAAUCUAAGUAUAGAAAUUGAGGAGACCUUUUCCAAAUCCACCCCCCCCUCCCCAAAAAAAAAAAUUACUCUCUAUAACGCUGAUGUUACAAACAAUUAAUUCAACCUAACCUAUGCUAGAAAAAUCAGUUCAACUAUAUGAAGGAGUUUCUUUAUAGCAUGAGCAUCAGGAUGCUCUUCUCAUUACCCGAAAUCGGCGCAAAUCAGCACAUGAAUCUGCAAUAGCAUUAGUUUCAUACAUUUAUUAAGGCUUGAAAAAUCUGAAGUACAUUGAAGAAAUCUUGGUGCAAAAGUUCAACAACCUACUCAAAGGAUGGCAAUUAGCAGGGAGUCUCAUUGAUGCCGACGAUUCAAUCACCCCAAUAAUUUCUGUAUAACAAACUGUAUUGUGGACCAAAGUCUGCCAAAAGCCACCCAAAAGAAUUUAUCAGUAUGAUCUGGGGAAGGCACCCUACUUGCUUCGAGUGUGCAAGACACACGGUUUCCUUUCAAAUUAGCAUUAAUCCAAUCCACAAAGGAGGCCGCCACAAACCGUGCCUUAACACACUGACGUAAAUCCAUCAAACUAGAUAUUUCAAGCUUAUAGGAUUGUCCAGUGAUAAAACUAACCAAGCAAUCAAAGCAACACCGAGUUUCAAAAGGUAAGGUUGCUGUUGGAAAGAGGCACACAACCAGCACACUUCAUAUCAUCGUGUAUUCCAACUUUUGGAAUCUCUGUUUCAUUUAACGAUCCUAAGAGUCAUCCAAAACAUAGAGAAAAACAGAUUAAAUGGAUAUUGUAUCCAAGAAAGAGGAAAAAUGAUGCUGGGAAAAUAUAACACAAGUCAAGUUUAGAUUAGGAAACAAGGUUAAUCACUCACCACAAGCUUGAGGAAAUCAGCAAGUAACCACUGUUUUGACAGAUAAUUCUUGCUCAACAAGGAUAUGCAGAUGAUUCAGACGCUCUCUGCAUGGUUGAUUGGUGAUUAAAGAUUAAUUAUCAGCUCCAGAUAUAUAGAUGGCAUCGGCUGUCGGUUCAGGUGUCCGUAUCUUCCAUCUCUAUAAGAAUGAACAGAAAGUGUUUUUUUUUUUUUUUCGUUUUUUUCUGGUCUUAUUAAACUGCCAGCACCUCUGAUUAGAAAGCGAACAGCAGUCCCUUAUGACUUCUCUUGCAUGAGACUCAUAAUUCUUGGACCUCAGAGUCAUCUGUAAAACUUUUACUGCGGAAUUAAAUUACAAUAAGAUGCUUGGGAAACCAAACAUGUCCAGCAUGGGAAGGCAAAUUAUAUUUCUAUCUUUAACGAAAAAUACUUUAUUUUUUUUAGCAUAUUAAAGAUAAAGAAGUAUAAACAAAAUUUGUGAGAACAUAAUAAGCCUUGCACCUUGACAACUGACGGAACCAGAGCCAAAAUGAAAAAAGAAAAAAAAAUAAAAACUAACAAAAGCUCAUAAACCACAUAUCAAAAUUACCGAUUAAAGGAAAUUCACUGUGAAUCAAGUUAAAGCAAAGCAAUAAUCUUUAUGGGCAGCGAAUCUGGAUAUUGAUUGCAAAUCUGAAUAUCGAUUAUUUCAAUCGAGGCUAGCCAAAACAUCAACAGUCCUAUUACCCUCUUGGAAAGUAUAAGAAAUCAGUCACUGAAUUCCUUUCUUAGCGGUGCUGACACCUGCAUGAGCACCCGGAAAAAGACCCAGCCGUCGAAGACUCGUAGCAGAUCAAAAUGUGCAUGGCCAUCGUAUUAAAUUGCAAUGAGUGGUAAAGAUCCAGGACAUAACGACAUAACAAGAACCUGAUAACAUAGUCCUGAAUACAAACUGAAUUAUUUUUCAAAUUUCUUGAAAGUAACAUGUGAUUAAUCUUCUUAGACACUAUCUUGUACCUUUUUAAGUUAGCGGUACAUACAAAGAUUGGGACACAACCGAAAUGCUUACUGCUUAGCAGUUUACAUUAAAUAAUAAAAUUAUCUUCCCCAGGAAAAAAAAAACAUGUGAUUAAUCUUCUAACUCCAAGGGUAACACGUAAUUUACAGCAUACUUAUUUAUCUUCAUUCUGGAGUUUGGACUUACAGAGCCGUAAAUGACAUUGCAACAAGAUCCUGUGAGCUUUCCAGCUUUCAGCUGCAACUUCAGUCCCUUCACCAGAUUGUCCACGGUCAUCCCCCAAGUAUUAUCACCUUUCAUUAACUUCAGAAUAUAUGGAAGGGCAAGAACUUCAUUUGUACACUCAGAGACUAAGAAAAUUCAGCCUGAUCCAGAUAAUAAGACAAGAUGAGCUGACUUGUAGUCCAAGCCAGUUUGUGCAGAUUACUGCUGCAUUCAACCCAAAAUUUGUCUCAUUGAAUGGCCGAUUGGCGGUUAAAUUUAAUUAGCAGCUGCAGACAUGUAGAUGGCAUCAGAUACUUUUUAAUAGCUUUUAAUAAGCAAAAAGAAGAGUGAACGAAAAUUAGUAGUGUAACGAAUGAACAAAAAAAUACUGGAAGGAAUGAGGCUUAUAAUAAUAUUACAGCUCACACAAAGUGCUAGAAAACUUAUUUUAUUUACUUCAAAUUUUUUUAAAAAAUUUUAAAGAGAGUCGUAAAUUUCCAAAGAAACGAUUACAGAGACACAACGGGCCGUUCCUUUGAUAAUUAACUUUAAAUGGAAUAAUGCAGAGAGAAAUAUAUAUAAACAAUUUGUUUUGAUUGCAGCAGGUUCUUGGAAAUCAAUGGAUUUAAAAUAUUUCCAACACAGCCAAAAACGACGGCCCUUGGAGUUUUUCUUUUUUCUUUUUGUGGUUUGCUUUUUAUUACUUUUUGUAUUUAAAAAAAAUAAAAAAAAAGGAAAAUUGGGAAAGGGUGGCGAUAUUUCCCCACGGGCCCACACUUUUUGUAAACUCAUUCAUUCAUUCCACAAAAUAAUUAUAAUAAAUUUAUAUUAUAUUGACAAAUCUACAGUUACCAACUGUUUAUAACGUUUGCUAUGCUUUUUUUUUUUUUAAUUUGAAAAAGAGUCAUGAUACAACCACAAACUUGUAUAAAUUUAUUAUGUACAAACUGAUUUGUCAUUAAUUCAUUGGUUGAAUGAAAAUAUAAAAUAAUAAAAAUAAAUUAUAUGAGCCAAGAGAUAUUUAAUUCAACCAAUUUUAUCAUACAACAUUAGUUUAUGCAAAAUUAAUUUGUACAAUAGUUUGUGGCUCUAUUAAAAGGUAUACGUGGAAGAAAUUUGUUAUUAUUAAAAGGGUAAUUUUAGUAUUUAGAUAUAUUUUAAACUGGGGUGUUAUAUAUUAUCCAAAAGGGUAGGCUACUUAUACCUCGCAAAUUCAUCUCUAUAUUCAUUUUUAAGAAAAAAUGCAUUGUCUUAAUAUUCAUUAACUUUUGUGAUUGGUAAAAAUUAAUUUUUUGAUGUUUAUUAACUUUUAUGAUUGAUAAAAAUUUAUUGAUGUUCAUUUUCAAAACGUGAAUUUUGUUCCUCUUAGUUAAUGAUACCCAUUGUUUAUAGUUAAAAGAAUAUAUCUAAAUAAAUUAAUGAGAAUUUGUAAAUUAAGAAGAGGAAGAGAAGAAAGAGUUAAUUAAGUAAUUUUUUUAAAAUUAUUUAGAUAAUAAAAUUCUUAAUAAAAAAGAAGAUAUAGAGAGAAAAUUAACGGGUUCAAAUAACCACAUCCUUUAUAUAUAAAAAAAAAGGGUAAAAAUAUUUACUACCCAUUUCCUUUGACCUUGAUAUAAAUUUCAUAUUAUCCCCAUAUGGUUAUUUACUUUUCUUAUUUACAGCCCCACUAUGUUUAUAAAAAAUUUCAUUAUUGCUCCUUACAGGUUUUAAAGUUCAUAUUUCCUCCAUAAUGCAACCGUUUCAGACCAAAAUUGCUUCUUGUUGUAACUUGCAUGUAAUCUAUAUUGUUACCAAUAAUGCUAAUUCAAAAAAAGAAUCCUAAUAGAAUGUCUAUUAUGCUUGAAAUUAGGCAACGACGGCAAGCUGCAUUAAUAAGUUAUGCACUAUUUUAAUAGUAAUUCUGGGAUGCCAGCAUGCAGAUUUUCGGUUGAAUGCAGCAGUACAAAACAAGCUUAGAUCAGAAAGUUUCGUCUGGUCUUAUUAUCAAGAGGACAAUCAAGCUGGAUAUUCCAAUCUCAAUGUAUGAAUAAACUUCUUGCCCUUCCACAUAUGCUGAGAUUAGUGGAACGGUGAUGCUUUUGAGGAUGGCAGUCGAUAAUCUUUUGAAGGGAUUUUUGUUGGAACUGAAAGAAAGUUCAGGACAUGUCACAGGAGCUUGUUGCAAUGUCUUCUUACUUCUCUGUACGUCCUAUCUCGGUAAUGAAGAUAAGUAGUGAAUUGCAUGUUACAUGUUGUCCUAGGAAUUAAAAGAUUAUUAACAUUUGACUUGCAAGAUUUUGGAAAAAUAACUUUCCGUUCAUUUGUUCAGGACCAAGUUAUCAGAUUUUUGGUUAUGCAUUGGAUCUAUGUAACUCAUUGCAAUGUUAUACGACAGCUGCGCCCUGCACACAUCCUGGUCUGCCAUGUCACGGUUGAGUCUUCUGUUUGGGAGAAAUACGUCGACGAGACCAGGCAUGGUGAGCAGAUAUCUGAUGGCAGAGUUCUGCGAACCGGUGUGUUCCGUAAAAGCCUGGUGCGCGGGGGAACAGGAGCAGAAAUAUCCUGCUCGUCCACGAGCACGUCAUCCGCGAGGCCAAUUUCCUGUAAGAGGCAUAAGGCCAUUCCGGCUAGAGGUCGAGAGGCGAGGAGACCCGGUCGACGGCAGUUGGCAAGACACGCUCUCCAGCCCGAGAAUCUAGGCACGACAGCCACGCUUUCCCCAGAACCACGGCGGAACACGCAAGAUCCCACGUUUGCCCAUAACGCAGCAUAACGCAGUAGUCGGAGCCCCAUACCGUCCCCCAAAAAGCGGAAACAAGAUCUCACAGAACCACGACAGCCACGCUUUCCGCAGAACCGUGGCGUAACACGCAAGAUCCCACGUUUGCCCAUAACGCAGCAGUCAGAGUCCCAUACCGUCUCGAAAAAAGCGGAAAACUGGGAUUCAGAGGAAGCCUAUAAAAAGGUAGCCAACGAAGGUAAGGGGUGGGUAUUUUGGAGAUUAGAAAAGAAAUUCAAAAGAAGAGAAAACCACGAAAAAGCCAUAAGAUCUGUGGCAAGCGUUCCCCGAACCUUCAUAUCUGACUUGAGCGUCGGAGGGUUUGCGCCGGGAAAAUAACCGGCGCACUCUGACUUGUCUUUGUGCGCAGGAACCUCUGGAGAAGAAGCCUUGCGAGGAGACCUCCUGGUCGUGAUGAAGCUGAUCGAGCAGAGAUCCUGGUCGUAGAACGAGGAGAACCGGAAUCCUGCAUCAACAUUUUGGCGCCGUCUGUGGGGAUGAGAGCAAAAAGCUUCUGUUGAUAGCAAGAAGAGGGGUGAAGCAAGUGAAAAGCAAUGGAGACAGGAGGAAGUAGUGCACAAGGGGGUGAUAGGAGGCUUAACGAUUCCGUGACGCUGAGGGAGAUAGUCAGUGAAGCACGGGAAAAAGUCAUGUUCGACCGGAUGGAACGGAUGGAAAAGCAGAUGGAGACCUUGACAACCAUCCUGCAUGAGCUGCGGAGCGAGCGAAGUAUAACCCAAGAGGGAAGGGUGAGAGGCGGUGGAGUGGCACCAGGUCCCGAUAGUGCGGGGAGAAGUCAAACCACCGGGAGAUUUGGUGGUGAGAGAGGUAACGUACCUCUGCGGGGAGAAUUUCAUAGAGAAAGAGAGCAGUCCCCGGCAAGACAGACUGGUGACGAGGACGACGGGGUGGUGAAUGCAGAGGAAACAGAGUUGAGGCAACACUUGCAUGAUGUAGAGCAAGAGCGGGAUCAAGUUGCAGCACGUGACCCUGGUCGUGCAGUGCAGCUGGAGGAGGAAGUGCGCAGACUAGCGCAGAUAAUUGACGACAUGCAAGGAAGGAACAGAGCCCCUGGUUGGAGGAUAAUGCUGGACGGAGAAUCACCGCUCGCAGCAGAGAUCAUGAGGGCAGUUAUUCCGAGAGAUUUCCGCCUCCCAGACCUCAGAUACUCGGGAAGAACUGAUCCGUUGGUGCACAUAGAGCGCUUCAACGACAUAACUGGGGUACAAGGAUUAUCUCAAUCCCAAAGGUGCAGGGUGUUCCCACUAUCCCUUGAGGGACGUGCACGAGAAUGGUACAGGAAACUUCCUCGGGGCAGCAUUAAAACCUUCGAGCAGAUGUGCCAGGAAUUCGCGGAGCAGUUUAGUGGGGCAAUGGCGCCGGAAGAUGACAUGAUGGAGCUGAAAAGCAUGAAACAGGGGGAGCAAGAAACCCUUCGGGAAUUCAUCAAGAGGUUUCAUCGGGCUGUCCUCGACUUGGGAGCCUUCAACCACCCUCAGGCGUUAAGGGGAUUGAAAGAAGGGGUGAAGAUAGGAAGGCUGUGGUACAAUUUGAGAAGCCCAGCUAUUCAAACGUAUGCAGCCGCAUACGAACAGGCUAAGAGAGACAUCGAGAUUGAAGAGGAGAAGGCUGCACGGAUUAAGACAGACCAGUUAGAAGGGUUGGGGAGGAAAGAGAAGAAAGCAUUACCGGGGAAUGGGCCGAUCAGGAGGAGGGACCACCAGGCCUCCGGUAGUGGAGCAGGAGGUCGGGUAGCCGCUUACCAGCCUCAUCAAAGGCCACCACAGUAUCAGCGCAGCAGGGCGCAACCUCCUCGUUCCCCAGCCAGGGAGCCUUGGAGAAGGCAUGAGUCGGCAUCCGGUGAUCUUCAUCAACACCCCCACGGUAGCAGAGCGAGCAGACCAGAAGUACUUCCACCGCCCCCAACUCAGAGCGGGGCAAACAGAGAAAGAGCAGUGCACCUGAUCGACCAGAACCCGGACUAUGGGCGGUACACUUCCUUGAAGAUGUCCCUGGAUGAGGUGUACGAGGCCAUAAAGGAUCGAGGGCUGCUGCACCUCCCUACACCAAUAACAAAGCUACCCAACAGGAGGGAUAGAGGACGUUAUUGUAAGUUCCAUGGCACCCAUGGCCAUACCACAGCAGAGUGUAGAGAUCUCAAGACCCAGGUCGAAGAUUUGGUGAGAAAUCGGUACCUGGACGAGUUUAUGGAUGGGACUUUCCCGAUGGUGGCCACAACAGGUGAAGGGGAGCAGAGUGGCGGAAACGUGAGGCGCGAGCAGCCCGCAGUAAGGGUGAUAGCUGGGGGCCCGACAUUGGCCGGAGAUUCCAACAGAUCGAGAAAAAAUUAUGCUAGGUACGCCAUGACCAGUAAAGAGGUACUCCUCAACACCCCAGCAGCCAAACGAGCAAGGGUCAGGCAAGUGCCAAUCAUGUGGACGGAUGAGGAUGAGGAAUGGAUUCUAUACCCCCACGAGGAUGCUUUAGUCAUCAAGGCUACUGUCGCUAGCAAGAAGUUUGACCGGAUACUGAUUGAUACAGGGAGCUCAGUUGAUGUGUUAUUUAAGUCAACCCUGGAAGAGAUGGGAAUAGCCGACCGGAAGUUGGAAUACACCAAUACCUCCUUGAAGGGGUUCGGAGGAGGGAAGUUGGUCCCUCUGGGCGUGGUCGAGCUGCCUAUCACAAUUGGGAGCUCCCCGACAGAAAGAACAAUGAUACUGGACUUUGUCGUAGUGGAUGAGGAAGGUCCUUACCAGAUGAUCCUAGGUCGGCCAUUUUUAAGGAUGAGCAAAGCGGUGUUGUCCAACCAUUAUCUGGCUCUGAAGUACCGGGUGAAUGGGGUAGUAGGAGUGGUACGAGGAGACCAGAGGAUCGCAAGAAGCUGCUACUCCUCGGCAGCAAGGGAAGCAAUGCAGAUAACAUCCCUCGAUACCCGAGUGGAAAACAAGAAGGGCAGACAAGAACCUGUAGAGGAUCUGGAAACAGUAAGUCUGGGACCAGAGAACCCGGGAAAGACGAUCAGAAUCGGGUCGAGACUUAAGGGAGAGCAAAAGCAGGAGUUGGUGAAAUGCUUACAGGCUCAUGCUGAUGUGUUUGCUUGGACACAUGAAGACAUGCCAGGGAUUGACCCUGAGGUAGCAUGUCAUAAGCUGGCAAUAAAGAAAGGUGCUCGGGCAGUAAGGCAGAAGAGGAGGUGCUUCAACCAGGAGAGGUAUGAGGCUAUAAAUGGCGAGGUGGAGAAGCUCUUGAGAGCAGGGUUCAUUCGGGAAGUCAGUUAUCCUGAGUGGAUAUCGAAUGUGGUGUUGGUAAAGAAGGCAAACGGCAAGUGGAGGAUGUGUGUGGAUUUCACAGACCUCAAUAAGGCGUGCCCAAAAGACAGCUUCCCUUUACCAAAGAUCGAUCAGCUAGUAGAUUCAACGGCUGGACAUGGUCUGCUUAGCUUCAUGGACGCGUUCUCGGGAUAUAACCAGAUCCCCAUGUACGAGCAAGAUGAGGAGAGCACGGCUUUCAUCACUAACCAAGGUUUAUUCUGUUACAGGGUAAUGCCAUUCGGUCUCAAAAAUGCUGGGGCCACCUAUCAAAGGCUGGUGAACAAAGUCUUUAAGCCGUUGAUUGGGAAAACCAUGGAGGUGUACGUGGAUGACAUGAUCACCAAGUCCAAAAUCCCGAAGGAACAUGUCAGACACCUCGAGGAGACAUUUGAGCUUUUGAGGAAGUAUAAGAUGAAGCUCAACCCGGAGAAGUGUGCUUUUGGGGUCGAGUCAGGGAAAUUCCUUGGAUUCAUGGUGAGCCAUAGGGGGAUUGAAGCAAAUCCCGAGAAAAUCCAGGCGAUUGUGCAAAUGACGUCUCCUCGUAACCUGAAAGAGAUGCAGAGCCUCACGGGGAGGUUGGCGGCGUUGAGCAGAUUCAUAUCCAAGGUUACAGAUAAGUGUCAGCCAUUCUUUCAAGUGAUAAGGAGGGGAAAGAAAACAGAAUGGACCCCAGAAUGCGAGGAAGCCUUCCGGAACUUGAAGCAAUACUUGCAGCAAGCUCCGCUGCUGUCCACACCGAGGGAUGGGGACAAGUUGUAUCUGUAUUUGGCGGUAUCGGAUCGGGCCGCCAGUUCUGUUCUGGUGAGAGAGGAAGAAGGAGUUCAGUAUCCGAUAUACUACACCAGCAAGGCCCUGCUCGACGCUGAGACCAGAUACCCACCGUUGGAGAAAUGGGCACUUGCCCUUGUGGUUGCUGCUCGGAAGUUGAGGCCAUAUUUUCAAGCAUUCCCGGUCUCGGUGAUAACAAACCAGCCAUUGCGUCAAACUCUGCACAAGCCAGAUGCCUCUGGUCGGCUCGUCAAGUGGGCUGUAGAGCUGAGCGAGUUCGACAUAGACUAUAAACCCCGCGCAGCGAUAAAAGCCCAGGCAAUGGCCGAUUUCGUAGCUGAAUUCACAGAGCCCGAAGUAUGCUUAGAUCAACAAGAUACAGAUAUAGGCAAUGACGAAACUCAAGUAUGGCAGAUGUCUGUGGAUGUGUCAUCAGGGGAGCGGGGUUCAGGAGCAGGGAUUGUCUUGGAAGGCCCAGAGGGGGAGGAGAUCUCUUAUGCUGUAAAGUUGGAAUUUGCAGCCACGAAUAACCAGGCAGAGUAUGAAGCCUUGAUAGCAGGUCUGGAAUUGGCUAAGGCCGUGAAAGCAGACAGAGUUAAGAUCAGAACUGAUUCCCAGCUGGUUGCGAAUCAUGUCAGUGAAAGAUUCCAACCAAGAGAGGAGAAGAUGGAGCAGUACCUGAAGAUAGUCAGGCAGAUGAUGGGGAAGUUCGAAGCAGUGGAGGUGAUACAAAUCCCCAGGGAGCAGAAUAGUCGAGCAGACAUUUUGGCUAGGAUGGCAGCAGUAGCCGACCCAAAAAUGCCAAAGUCGGUCCCUCUGGAGGUGAAGUCCAGCCCAAGUAUCGAUCAGAAUUUGGGGGUGUUGCGGAUAGAACAAAAAUGCUCGUGGAGGGACCCGAUAGUUUCAUACCUUAGAGAUGGGGUGUUACCACCAGAUAAGGGGCGAGCUCGCAAGAUUAGAGCCCAGGCCUCGAGAUACACGAUGAUUGAUGGGGUACUGUAUCGGCGAGGAUAUACACUACCGUUCCUUCGGUGUUUGGAUGAGGACGACGCGGAUUACGUACUGAGAGAAGUACAUGAAGGAAUUUGCGGAAAUCAUUCUGGCGGGAGGUCCCUGGCCCACAAGGUUCUAAGGCAGGGAUAUUUCUGGCCGACAAUGCACCAGGAUGCGCAAGAGAAGACCAGGAGUUGUGUAAGCUGCCAGAAUUUUGCAAAUUUCUCUAACCAACCACCAGAGAAGCUCACCUCCAUGACCUCCCCCUGGCCAUUUGCUCAAUGGGGAAUUGAUCUGAUCGGCCCAUUGCCAAAGGCACGAGGAGCAGCAACACAUGCAAUAGUUGCUAUAGAUUACUUCACGAAGUGGAUAGAGGUAGAAGCCCUUAGCAGGAUCACAGAGAAGAAAACAACAGACUUCGUGUGGAGAAACCUGGUCUGUCGAUACGGGAUCCCUUAUGCCUUGGUAACGGAUAAUGGCAGGCAGUUCGAUAAUCACAGCUUCAGGGAUUUCUGCCAGAACCUCGGGAUAGAGCUGAAGUAUUGCUCGCCUGCUCACCCUCAAUCGAAUGGACAAGUAGAAGCAGCCAACAAGACCAUCAAGAGGCUUUUGAAAACCAGGCUUGGAGCAAAAAAGGGUGCGUGGGUUGACGAGCUGUCAGGUGUGCUAUGGGCAUACAGAACAACCCACAAAACCGCAACUGGGGAGACACCGUUCGCUUUGGCUUUCGGACAUGAAGCGGUCGUGCCGGCUGAGAUAGGAACGACCACACACCGGACAAAUCAUUUCAAUGAGCAGGAGAACGACGAGCAGAUAUGUUUGAAUCUUGAUCUACUAACGGAGAGGAGGGAGCAAGCAGCCGAGCGAUCAGUCAUUUACCAACAGAGGGUUGCUCGGUAUUAUAACCAGAAGGUGAACAUACGGCAAUUCAGGGUCGGAGACUGGGUACUGAGAAGAGUGAAUCAGAGCACCAAAGAUUCGACUCAAGGAGUGCUGGGACCGAAUUGGGAAGGGCCAUAUAGAGUCAAGCAGAUAGCGGGACCCGGAGCUUACAAGCUGGUUCGCACGGACGGCCACGAGGUGAAACGCCCAUGGAACGCAGCACACCUCCGAAAAUACUUCCAGUAAGACUUGUUCACAUGUGAAAGCUAUUUUUGCUCAUGUUCAUUAUCGUUUAUCUUUCACGCUUUAUGUCCGAACAAUUUCAUGUAAGUCGAAUCCUGCCAUUAAUGGAACGUCGAGGAAUUUCUUUCGCUUGAAACCGAGAAAAUCUCCUAAGGCAUGCAAAGGCUCGACAAAGUCUCAAAGCCUGUCUUAUGGCGAGACAGAAGCCAAGCAUGCCAGGAUCUGCUCGGCCACGAGAAGGCAAGUAGAAUCCCAAUCCUCGAAGAAUCCAAGGCAUGCAAAGGCUCGACAAAGUCUCAAAGCCUGUCUUAUGGCGAGACAGAAGCCAAGCAUGCCAGGAUCUGCUCGGCCACGAGAAGGCAAGCAGAAUCCCAAUCCUCGAAGAAUCCAAGGCAUGCAAAGGCUCGACAAAGUCUCAAAGCCUGUUUUAUGGCGAGACAGAAGCCAAGCAUGCCAGGAUCUGCUCGACCACGAGAAGGCGAGCAGACUCCAAAGCAUUCGAAGAAAUUCCUAAGGCAUGCAAAGGCUCGACAAAGUCUCAAAGCCUGUCUUAUGGCGAGACAGAAGCCAAGCAUGCCAGGAUCUGCUCGGCCACGAGAAGGCAAGCAGAAUCCCAAUCCUCGAAGAAUCCAAGGCAUGCAAAGGCUCGACAAAGUCUCAAAGCCUGUUUUAUGGCGAGACAGAAGCCAAGCAUGCCAGGAUCUGCUCGACCACGAGAAGGCGAGCAGACUCCAAAGCAUUCGAAGAAAUUCCUAAGGCAUGCAAAGGCUCGACAAAGUCUCAAAGCCUGUCUUAUGGCGAGACAGAAGCCAAGCAUGCCAGGAUCUGCUCGGCCACGAGAAGGCAAGCAGAAUCCCAAUCCUCGAAGAAUCCAAGGCAUGCAAAGGCUCGACAAAGUCUCAAAGCCUGUUUUAUGGCGAGACAGAAGCCAAGCAUGCCAGGAUCUGCUCGACCACGAGAAGGCGAGCAGACUCCAAAGCAUUCGAAGAAAUUCCCAAGGCAUGCAAAGGCUCGACAAAGUCUCAAAGCCUGUUUUAUGGCGAGACAGAAGCCAAGCAUGCCAGGAUCUGCUCGACCACGAGAAGGCGAGCAGACUCCAAAGCAUUCGAAGAAAUUCCUAAGGCAUGCAAAGGCUCGACAAAGUCUCAAAGCCUGUCUUAUGGCGAGACAGAAGCCAAGCAUGCCAGGAUCUGCUCGGCCACGAGAAGGCAAGCAGAAUCCCAAUCCUCGAAGAAUCCAAGGCAUGCAAAGGCUCGACAAAGUCUCAAAGCCUGUUUUAUGGCGAGACAGAAGCCAAGCAUGCCAGGAUCUGCUCGACCACGAGAAGGCGAGCAGACUCCAAAGCAUUCGAAGAAAUUCCCAAGGCAUGCAAAGGCUCGACAAAGUCUCAAAGCCUGUUUUAUGGCGAGACAGAAGCCAAGCAUGCCAGGAUCUGCUCGACCACGAGAAGGCGAGCAGAAUCCCAAUCCUCGAAGAAUCCAAGGCAUGCAAAGGCUCGACAAAGUCUCAAAGCCUGUUUUAUGGCGAGACAGAAGCCAAGCAUGCCAGGAUCUGCUCGACCACGAGAAGGCGAGCAGACUCCAAAGCAUUCGAAGAAAUUCCUAAGGCAUGCAAAGGCUCGACAAAGUCUCAAAGCCUGUCUUAUGGCGAGACAGAAGCCAAGCAUGCCAGGAUCUGCUCGGCCACGAGAAGGCAAGCAGAAUCCCAAUCCUCGAAGAAUCCAAGGCAUGCAAAGGCUCGACAAAGUCUCAAAGCCUGUUUUAUGGCGAGACAGAAGCCAAGCAUGCCAGGAUCUGCUCGACCACGAGAAGGCGAGCAGACUCCAAAGCAUUCGAAGAAAUUCCCAAGGCAUGCAAAGGCUCGACAAAGUCUCAAAGCCUGUUUUAUGGCGAGACAGAAGCCAAGCAUGCCAGGAUCUGCUCGACCACGAGAAGGCGAGCAGACUCCAAAGCAUUCGAAGAAAUUCCCAAGGCAUGCAAAGGCUCGACAAAGUCUCAAAGCCUAUUUUAUGGCGAGACAGAAGCCAAGCAUGCCAGGAUCUGCUCGACCACGAGAAGGCGAGCAGACUCCAAAGCAUUCGAAGAAAUUCCUAAGGCAUGCAAAGGCUCACCAAGUCUCAAAGCCCGUUUUAUGGCGAGACAGAAGCCAAGCGCGCCAGGAUCUGCUCGACCGCGCGAAGGCGAGCCGAAUCCCAGGCAUUGAAGAAUCUUCAAAGGCAUGUGGCAAAACCAUGAGCCAAGCCGGAAUCUGCUCGUCUAGACAAAGACAAGCAGAUUCUCAAACGAAAAUUAAUUCGUAAUUACAACACAAGAAAGUAAUCAAAAAAUAUUUUUUAUUAAUUUGUUAAUAAUUAACAGAGGGGAUAAUCUCCAUGAACAUUGUUCAUUACAAUACAAGAAAUAUAUCAAGAAGAUGGUGGAUCAGUAAGCCCAGCAGCGUCGGUUGGCUGGACCUCCUCAGGUGCAGGAGGGGUAUCACCAGUUGCGUCCGGGGGGGUGCUCGCCUCGCCAACAUCAGCAGGGACUGCACGAGGAGGAGAGUUUUCCUCCUCAAUCACGAUCGGCUCUACCCCUUCGGCAUCUUCCUUGGCCGCCUCCUCGUCCAUAUGUUGAGCAACACCAGCUGCAAGGUCAUCCAUCUUCAGAUCAGGGUGUUGCUUCCCGAGGACGGCCAUGAUGCAACGAUAGGAAUGCCGAAGUCCCUGGUCGUACUGGUUGUCGGCCUCCCUCUCCAAGUUCUCGACCUGAGCUCGGUGGGAGUCGCGGAGAGAUUCGAGCUGAGCCUCAUACAUAGCCUUCUGCCUUUGCAGAUCCUCCUUGACCUUGGUAAGCUCCUCCUCGAGGGAAAUGGCUUUUGCUUGAGCAAGUGAUUCUUGCUCUACCAGCUUCAGAUUCUCGAGAUUCAGCUCCCCUGCUUUCUUCUCGGCAACGUCAGCUCUGGUCGUCGCCGAUUGAAUAUCCUCCUUCAUCUUCCGGUCGUAGCGGCCAACCUUAGCCUUGUAAUAGGUGGUCAUGCAGCUCAGGUGGAAAGCGCUAUGCUGCAUGGCCCCCACCAGCUCACCCAAGGUGCAGCCGUCAAAGUCCUCCAGGUCCUUCUUGCUCACGAGUUUAGAUAACUCAUUGAGGUAGGGGACCAGGUGUUCUGCUCGACUGUCAGGUAAGCGAGAUCGAGGCCCGACAGGAGGAGGAGAGGAAGCAGGAUCUGUGGCUUCUCCACUAGCUUCCCCGACUUUUACAGGAGCAGGAGGUAAAAUCUUCAAGGGUGGGACCUGCUGCACGAUGUUGGCCCGCUUUGCAGCAGGGGCAUCCUUACUCUGGUCCCUCUUCGUGGUUGGAGGUCGAGAACGUUUUCGGGUCAGAGCCCCAAUCACAGCGUCCUCCAUCCUAUGGCCAGGAAGUAUCAAGCGAGACUCGAGCAAGUUGUAUGUAGUUAACAGUUCUCGGCUCGAGCAGGAAUUGGCUAGCACAGCCUCGACCCGUUUGAGCUGGUCAGGUUCAAGCGGGAAGUGGACACCCCAAGAACCUGCAACACAAACAAACAUUUGAUUAGAGACAAACCAGUAAAGCGCAAACGGCAAGGGAGACAAGACAUCUAAUACGAGCAGGCAACCUGGGACUACGAAACGGGGUGGGACGCGGAAGUCCUCCCCAUCAACCCGUGCAACUUGACCCCAGGGACCCCCUGCGAAGAAGAACUUCCUCUUCCAAUUCCCACCACCACCAGUAGGGAGAUCGGUUAUGGGUUUCCUGGUCUUGGUACUUGAUUGGAAGUAAUACCAGCCGGCAUCUUUUGGGCUGCUUUUCAGCUGGUACAGGUGCAUCACCUCGUCGACCGUGGGCUCGCUCUGGCAACAUCUGUCCCACAGUAUGAACAGACCAGAGAGCACUCUCCAACCGUUUGGGUUCAGCUGACCAGGAGACAGAUUCAACCCGCUAAGUAUCCGGGCAAAGUAAGGUUGCAAGGGACACCUCAGCCCAUACUUAAAGCUAUCCAAAUACAGGGUAACAUAUCCCCUGGGAGGCCGGCUAGGGGUAUCCUUCUUGCCUGGGACCUUGAGAAGUAUUUCACCAGGAAUGCUGUACCUAAGACGGAGGUCAGCGAGCUCGUCAAAUGUGGUCGUGCACGUCAUAUAGUCGAUGGCAUAAUCACGCAACAAGGCUCUACCCCCUACUGUACCCCGUCCUUCUAGUCGUGACGUUCCAGAUGGAGACACCUCACCAGAGUCACCUUCGUCGUUCUCACUCAAAGUAUCCUCGGAGCCAGAAGAACUCUCCUCACCAUUACUUCCGCUCGUAGAGGUUGUUUGGGGAGACAUCCUCCUAGCACUAGUCCCGACACUAGACCUAAUGGGCUCUAAGGGGAUCCCGGGGUCGAAAGCAGGAUCGGUGAGCAGACUAGGCAGGAAGUCCAACUCGUCGUCAUCAACCUCAAUGACCUUCUCUUUGCCUUUCGACAUUCCCUAAGCUCUAACCACAACACCACCAACUACUACCCAAACAGAAGAGAAGAGAAAUUAUCUACAACUAUCCGAGACCAAGGAGAUAGAAGAAAUACCUGAAGUAAUGGUUCAGUCGGUGAAAAUCAGAGAUGGAGGCCUUUUAUGCCGGAACUUCUUUGCCGGAGAGACAGAGACGGAGACGGAGUGAAUGAUGAAUAUGCCGUUCGAGAGGAUUUGGUUUUCCUAAUGAGGACGGAUUCUUGGGUUGCCAGCAUUUAACAGCGCCGAAUCCCGAGGGUCUCAUAACCAUCGGUUUGAAAUUCAAAUGGAGGGGGGGAUUUCUGCCACGUCACCUCGUCCGCAAUUAAAUGCGACAUGACUCUUGGCAGCCUUUUCCAAUCCCACGCGAGCGAGUACUAACGAGUUUCUACUGCUGGUCCACUACAUUACCCAACACCAGAAACUGGGGGACCGGUGUUUGGGAGAAAUACGUCGACGAGACCAGGCAUGGUGAGCAGAUAUCUGAUGGCAGAGUUCUGCGAACCGGUGUGUUCCGUAAAAGCCUGGUGCGCGGGGGAACAGGAGCAGAAAUAUCCUGCUCGUCCACGAGCACGUCAUCCGCGAGGCCAAUUUCCUGUAAGAGGCAUAAGGCCAUUCCGGCUAGAGGUCGAGAGGCGAGGAGACCCGGUCGACGGCAGUUGGCAAGACACGCUCUCCAGCCCGAGAAUCUAGGCACGACAGCCACGCUUUCCCCAGAACCACGGCGGAACACGCAAGAUCCCACGUUUGCCCAUAACGCAGCAUAACGCAGUAGUCGGAGCCCCAUACCGUCCCCCAAAAAGCGGAAACAAGAUCUCACAGAACCACGACAGCCACGCUUUCCGCAGAACCGUGGCGUAACACGCAAGAUCCCACGUUUGCCCAUAACGCAGCAGUCAGAGUCCCAUACCGUCUCGAAAAAAGCGGAAAACUGGGAUUCAGAGGAAGCCUAUAAAAAGGUAGCCAACGAAGGUAUGGGGUGGGUAUUUUGGAGAUUAGAAAAGAAAUUCAAAAGAAGAGAAAACCACGAAAAAGCCAUAAGAUCUGUGGCAAGCGUUCCCCGAACCUUCAUAUCUGACUUGAGCGUCGGAGGGUUUGCGCCGGGAAAAUAACCGGCGCACUCUGACUUGUCUUUGUGCGCAGGAACCUCUGGAGAAGAAGCCUUGCGAGGAGACCUCCUGGUCGUGAUGAAGCUGAUCGAGCAGAGAUCCUGGUCGUAGAACGAGGAGAACCGGAAUCCUGCAUCAACAUUUUGGCGCCGUCUGUGGGGAUGAGAGCAAAAAGCUUCUGUUGAUAGCAAGAAGAGGGGUGAAGCAAGUGAAAAGCAAUGGAGACAGGAGGAAGUAGUGCACAAGGGGGUGAUAGGAGGCUUAACGAUUCCGUGACGCUGAGGGAGAUAGUCAGUGAAGCACGGGAAAAAGUCAUGUUCGACCGGAUGGAACGGAUGGAAAAGCAGAUGGAGACCUUGAUUACCAUCCUGCAUGAGCUGCGGAGCGAGCGAAGUAUAACCCAAGAGGGAAGGGUGAGAGGCGGUGGAGUGGCACCAGGUCCCGAUAGUGCGGGGAGAAAUCAAACCACCGGGAGAUUUGGUGGUGAGAGAGGUAACGUACCUCUGCGGGGAGAAUUUCAUAGAGAAAGAGAGCAGUCCCCGGCAAGACAGACUGGCGACGAGGACGACGGGGUGGUGAAUGCAGAGGAAACAGAGUUGAAGCAACACUUGCAUGAUGUAGAGCAAGAGCGGGAUCAAGUUGCAGCACGUGACCCUGGUCGUGCAGUGCAGCUGGAGGAGGAAGUGCGCAGACUAGCGCAGAUAAUUGACGACAUGCAAGGAAGGAACAGAGCCCCUGGUUGGAGGAUAAUGCUGGACGGAGAAUCACCGCUCGCAGCAGAGAUCAUGAGGGCAGUUAUUCCGAGAGAUUUCCGCCUCCCAGACCUCAGAUACUCGGGAAGAACUGAUCCGUUGGUGCACAUAGAGCGCUUCAACGACAUAACUGGGGUACAAGGAUUAUCUCAAUCCCAAAGGUGCAGGGUGUUCCCACUAUCCCUUGAGGGACGUGCACGAGAAUGGUACAGGAAACUUCCUCGGGGCAGCAUUAAAACCUUCGAGCAGAUGUGCCAGGAAUUCGCGGAGCAGUUUAGUGGGGCAAUGGCGCCGGAAGAUGACAUGAUGGAGCUGAAAAGCAUGAAACAGGGGGAGCAAGAAACCCUUCGGGAAUUCAUCAAGAGGUUUCAUCGGGCUGUCCUCGACUUGGGAGCCUUCAACCACCCUCAGGCGUUAAGGGGAUUGAAAGAAGGGGUGAAGAUAGGAAGGCUGUGGUACAAUUUGAGAAGCCCAGCUAUUCAAACGUAUGCAGCCGCAUACGAACAGGCUAAGAGAGACAUCGAGAUUGAAGAGGAGAAGGCUGCACGGAUUAAGACAGACCAGUUAGAAGGGUUGGGGAGGAAAGAGAAGAAAGCAUUACCGGGGAAUGGGCCGAUCAGGAGGAGGGACCACCAGGCCUCCGGUAGUGGAGCAGGAGGUCGGGUAGCCGCUUACCAGCCUCAUCAAAGGCCACCACAGUAUCAGCGCAGCAGGGCGCAACCUCCUCGUUCCCCAGCUAGGGAGCCUUGGAGAAGGCAUGAGUCGGCAUCCGGUGGUCUUCAUCAACACCCCCACGGUAGCAGAGCGAGCAGACCAGAAGUACUUCCACCGCCCCCAACUCAGAGCGGGGCAAACAGAGAAAGAGCAGUGCACCUGAUCGACCAGAACCCGGACUAUGGGCGGUACACUUCCUUGAAGAUGUCCCUGGAUGAGGUGUACGAGGCCAUAAAGGAUCGAGAGCUGCUGCACCUCCCUACACCAAUAACAAAGCUACCCAACAGGAGGGAUAGAGGACGUUAUUGUAAGUUCCAUGGCACCCAUGGCCAUACCACAGCAGAGUGUAGAGAUCUCAAGACCCAGGUCGAAGAUUUGGUGAGAAAUCGGUACCUGGACGAGUUUAUGGAUGGGACUUUCCCGAUGGUGGCCACAACAGGUGAAGGGGAGCAGAGUGGCGGAAACGUGAGGCGCGAGCAGCCCGCAGUAAGGGUGAUAGCUGGGGGCCCGACAUUGGCCGGAGAUUCCAACAGAUCGAGAAAAAAUUAUGCUAGGUACGCCAUGACCAGUAAAGAGGUACUCCUCAACACCCCAGCAGCCAAACGAGCAAGGGUCAGGCAAGUGCCAAUCAUGUGGACGGAUGAGGAUGAGGAAUGGAUUCUAUACCCCCACGAGGAUGCUUUAGUCAUCAAGGCUACUGUCGCUAGCAAGAAGUUUGACCGGAUACUGAUUGAUACAGGGAGCUCAGUUGAUGUGUUAUUUAAGUCAACCCUGGAAGAGAUGGGAAUAGCCGACCGGAAGUUGGAAUACACCAAUACCUCCUUGAAGGGGUUCGGAGGAGGGAAGUUGGUCCCUCUGGGCGUGGUCGAGCUGCCUAUCACAAUUGGGAGCUCCCCGACAGAAAGAACAAUGAUACUGGACUUUGUCGUAGUGGAUGAGGAAGGUCCUUACCAGAUGAUCCUAGGUCGGCCAUUUUUAAGGAUGAGCAAAGCGGUGUUGUCCAACCAUUAUCUGGCUCUGAAGUACCGGGUGAAUGGGGUAGUAGGAGUGGUACGAGGAGACCAGAGGAUCGCAAGAAGCUGCUACUCCUCGGCAGCAAGGGAAGCAAUGCAGAUAACAUCCCUCGAUACCCGAGUGGAAAACAAGAAGGGCAGACAAGAACCUGUAGAGGAUCUGGAAACAGUAAGUCUGGGACCAGAGAACCCGGGAAAGACGAUCAGAAUCGGGUCGAGACUUAAGGGAGAGCAAAAGCAGGAGUUGGUGAAAUGCUUACAGGCUCAUGCUGAUGUGUUUGCUUGGACACAUGAAGACAUGCCAGGGAUUGACCCUGAGGUAGCAUGUCAUAAGCUGGCAAUAAAGAAAGGUGCUCGGGCAGUAAGGCAGAAGAGGAGGUGCUUCAACCAGGAGAGGUAUGAGGCUAUAAAUGGCGAGGUGGAGAAGCUCUUGAGAGCAGGGUUCAUUCGGGAAGUCAGUUAUCCUGAGUGGAUAUCGAAUGUGGUGUUGGUAAAGAAGGCAAACGGCAAGUGGAGGAUGUGUGUGGAUUUCACAGACCUCAAUAAGGCGUGCCCAAAAGACAGCUUCCCUUUACCAAAGAUCGAUCAGCUAGUAGAUUCAACGGCUGGACAUGGUCUGCUUAGCUUCAUGGACGCGUUCUCGGGAUAUAACCAGAUCCCCAUGUACGAGCAAGAUGAGGAGAGCACGGCUUUCAUCACUAACCAAGGUUUAUUCUGUUACAGGGUAAUGCCAUUCGGUCUCAAAAAUGCUGGGGCCACCUAUCAAAGGCUGGUGAACAAAGUCUUUAAGCCGUUGAUUGGGAAAACCAUGGAGGUGUACGUGGAUGACAUGAUCACCAAGUCCAAAAUCCCGAAGGAACAUGUCAGACACCUCGAGGAGACAUUUGAGCUUUUGAGGAAGUAUAAGAUGAAGCUCAACCCGGAGAAGUGUGCUUUUGGGGUCGAGUCAGGGAAAUUCCUUGGAUUCAUGGUGAGCCAUAGGGGGAUUGAAGCAAAUCCCGAGAAAAUCCAGGCGAUUGUGCAAAUGACGUCUCCUCGUAACCUGAAAGAGAUGCAGAGCCUCACGGGGAGGUUGGCGGCGUUGAGCAGAUUCAUAUCCAAGGCUACAGAUAAGUGUCAGCCAUUCUUUCAAGUGAUAAGGAGGGGAAAGAAAACAGAAUGGACCCCAGAAUGCGAGGAAGCCUUCCGGAACUUGAAGCAAUACUUGCAGCAAGCUCCGCUGCUGUCCACACCGAGGGAUGGGGACAAGUUGUAUCUGUAUUUGGCGGUAUCGGAUCGGGCCGCCAGUUCUGUUCUGGUGAGAGAGGAAGAAGGAGUUCAGUAUCCGAUAUACUACACCAGCAAGGCCCUGCUCGACGCUGAGACCAGAUACCCACCGUUGGAGAAAUGGGCACUUGCCCUUGUGGUUGCUGCUCGGAAGUUGAGGCCAUAUUUUCAAGCAUUCCCGGUCUCGGUGAUAACAAACCAGCCAUUGCGUCAAACUCUGCACAAGCCAGAUGCCUCUGGUCGGCUCGUCAAGUGGGCUGUAGAGCUGAGCGAGUUCGACAUAGACUAUAAACCCCGCGCAGCGAUAAAAGCCCAGGCAAUGGCCGAUUUCGUAGCUGAAUUCACAGAGCCCGAAGUAUGCUUAGAUCAACAAGAUACAGAUAUAGGCAAUGACGAAACUCAAGUAUGGCAGAUGUCUGUGGAUGUGUCAUCAGGGGAGCGGGGUUCAGGAGCAGGGAUUGUCUUGGAAGGCCCAGAGGGGGAGGAGAUCUCUUAUGCUGUAAAGUUGGAAUUUGCAGCCACGAAUAACCAGGCAGAGUAUGAAGCCUUGAUAGCAGGUCUGGAAUUGGCUAAGGCCGUGAAAGCAGACAGAGUUAAGAUCAGAACUGAUUCCCAGCUGGUUGCGAAUCAUGUCAGUGAAAGAUUCCAACCAAGAGAGGAGAAGAUGGAGCAGUACCUGAAGAUAGUCAGGCAGAUGAUGGGGAAGUUCGAAGCAGUGGAGGUGAUACAAAUCCCCAGGGAGCAGAAUAGUCGAGCAGACAUUUUGGCUAGGAUGGCAGCAGUAGCCGACCCAAAAAUGCCAAAGUCGGUCCCUCUGGAGGUGAAGUCCAGCCCAAGUAUCGAUCAGAAUUUGGGGGUGUUGCGGAUAGAACAAAAAUGCUCGUGGAGGGACCCGAUAGUUUCAUACCUUAGAGAUGGGGUGUUACCACCAGAUAAGGGGCGAGCUCGCAAGAUUAGAGCCCAGGCCUCGAGAUACACGAUGAUUGAUGGGGUACUGUAUCGGCGAGGAUAUACACUACCGUUCCUUCGGUGUUUGGAUGAGGACGACGCGGAUUACGUACUGAGAGAAGUACAUGAAGGAAUUUGCGGAAAUCAUUCUGGCGGGAGGUCCCUGGCCCACAAGGUUCUAAGGCAGGGAUAUUUCUGGCCGACAAUGCACCAGGAUGCGCAAGAGAAGACCAGGAGUUGUGUAAGCUGCCAGAAUUUUGCAAAUUUCUCUAACCAACCACCAGAGAAGCUCACCUCCAUGACCUCCCCCUGGCCAUUUGCUCAAUGGGGAAUUGAUCUGAUCGGCCCAUUGCCAAAGGCACGAGGAGCAGCAACACAUGCAAUAGUUGCUAUAGAUUACUUCACGAAGUGGAUAGAGGUAGAAGCCCUUAGCAGGAUCACAGAGAAGAAAACAACAGACUUCGUGUGGAGAAACCUGGUCUGUCGAUACGGGAUCCCUUAUGCCUUGGUAACGGAUAAUGGCAGGCAGUUCGAUAAUCACAGCUUCAGGGAUUUCUGCCAGAACCUCGGGAUAGAGCUGAAGUAUUGCUCGCCUGCUCACCCUCAAUCGAAUGGACAAGUAGAAGCAGCCAACAAGACCAUCAAGAGGCUUUUGAAAACCAGGCUUGGAGCAAAAAAGGGUGCGUGGGUUGACGAGCUGUCAGGUGUGCUAUGGGCAUACAGAACAACCCACAAAACCGCAACUGGGGAGACACCGUUCGCUUUGGCUUUCGGACAUGAAGCGGUCGUGCCGGCUGAGAUAGGAACGACCACACACCGGACAAAUCAUUUCAAUGAGCAGGAGAACGACGAGCAGAUAUGUUUGAAUCUUGAUCUGCUAACGGAGAGGAGGGAGCAAGCAGCCGAGCGAUCAGUCAUUUACCAACAGAGGGUUGCUCGGUAUUAUAACCAGAAGGUGAACAUACGGCAAUUCAGGGUCGGAGACUGGGUACUGAGAAGAGUGAAUCAGAGCACCAAAGAUUCGACUCAAGGAGUGCUGGGACCGAAUUGGGAAGGGCCAUAUAGAGUCAAGCAGAUAGCGGGACCCGGAGCUUACAAGCUGGUUCGCACGGACGGCCACGAGGUGAAACGCCCAUGGAACGCAGCACACCUCCGAAAAUACUUCCAGUAAGACUUGUUCACAUGUGAAAGCUAUUUUUGCUCAUGUUCAAUAUCGUUUAUCUUUCACGCUUUAUGUCCGAACAAUUUCAUGUAAGUCGAAUCCUGCCAUUAAUGGAACGUCGAGGAAUUUCUUUCGCUUGAAACCGAGAAAAUCUCCUAAGGCAUGCAAAGGCUCGACAAAGUCUCAAAGCCUGUCUUAUGGCGAGACAGAAGCCAAGCAUGCCAGGAUCUGCUCGGCCACGAGAAGGCAAGUAGAAUCCCAAUCCUCGAAGAAUCCAAGGCAUGCAAAGGCUCGACAAAGUCUCAAAGCCUGUCUUAUGGCGAGACAGAAGCCAAGCAUGCCAGGAUCUGCUCGGCCACGAGAAGGCAAGCAGAAUCCCAAUCCUCGAAGAAUCCAAGGCAUGCAAAGGCUCGACAAAGUCUCAAAGCCUGUUUUAUGGCGAGACAGAAGCCAAGCAUGCCAGGAUCUGCUCGACCACGAGAAGGCGAGCAGACUCCAAAGCAUUCGAAGAAAUUCCUAAGGCAUGCAAAGGCUCGACAAAGUCUCAAAGCCUGUCUUAUGGCGAGACAGAAGCCAAGCAUGCCAGGAUCUGCUCGGCCACGAGAAGGCAAGCAGAAUCCCAAUCCUCGAAGAAUCCAAGGCAUGCAAAGGCUCGACAAAGUCUCAAAGCCUGUUUUAUGGCGAGACAGAAGCCAAGCAUGCCAGCAUCUGCUCGACCACGAGAAGGCGAGCAGACUCCAAAGCAUUCGAAGAAAUUCCUAAGGCAUGCAAAGGCUCGACAAAGUCUCAAAGCCUGUCUUAUGGCGAGACAGAAGCCAAGCAUGCCAGGAUCUGCUCGGCCACGAGAAGGCAAGCAGAAUCCCAAUCCUCGAAGAAUCCAAGGCAUGCAAAGGCUCGACAAAGUCUCAAAGCCUGUUUUAUGGCGAGACAGAAGCCAAGCAUGCCAGGAUCUGCUCGACCACGAGAAGGCGAGCAGACUCCAAAGCAUUCGAAGAAAUUCCCAAGGCAUGCAAAGGCUCGACAAAGUCUCAAAGCCUGUUUUAUGGCGAGACAGAAGCCAAGCAUGCCAGGAUCUGCUCGACCACGAGAAGGCGAGCAGACUCCAAAGCAUUCGAAGAAAUUCCCAAGGCAUGCAAUCUCCAUGAACAUUGUUCAUUACAAUACAAGAAAUAUAUCAAGAAGAUGGUGGAUCAGUAAGCCCAGCAGCGUCGGUUGGCUGGACCUCCUCAGGUGCAGGAGGGGUAUCACCAGUUGCGUCCGGGGGGUGCUCGCCUCGCCAACAUCAGCAGGGACUGCACGAGGAGGAGAGUUUUCCUCCUCAAUCACGAUCGGCUCUACCCCUUCGGCAUCUUCCUUGGCCGCCUCCUCGUCCAUAUGUUGAGCAACACCAGCUGCAAGGUCAUCCAUCUUCAGAUCAGGGUGUUGCUUCCCGAGGACGGCCAUGAUGCAACGAUAGGAAUGCCGAAGUCCCUGGUCGUACUGGUUGUCGGCCUCCCUCUCCAAGUUCUCGACCUGAGCUCGGUGGGAGUCGCGGAGAGAUUCGAGCUGAGCCUCAUACAUAGCCUUCUGCCUUUGCAGAUCCUCCUUGACCUUGGUAAGCUCCUCCUCGAGGGAAAUGGCUUUUGCUUGAGCAAGUGAUUCUUGCUCUACCAGCUUCAGAUUCUCGAGAUUCAGCUCCCCUGCUUUCUUCUCGGCAACGUCAGCUCUGGUCGUCGCCGAUUGAAUAUCCUCCUUCAUCUUCCGGUCGUAGCGGCCAACCUUAGCCUUGUAAUAGGUGGUCAUGCAGCUCAGGUGGAAAGCGCUAUGCUGCAUGGCCCCCACCAGCUCACCCAAGGUGCAGCCGUCAAAGUCCUCCAGGUCCUUCUUGCUCACGAGUUUAGAUAACUCAUUGAGGUAGGGGACCAGGUGUUCUGCUCGACUGUCAGGUAAGCGAGAUCGAGGCCCGACAGGAGGAGGAGAGGAAGCAGGAUCUGUGGCUGCUCCACUAGCUUCCCCGACUUUUACAGGAGCAGGAGGUAAAAUCUUCAAGGGUGGGACCUGCUGCACGAUGUUGGCCCGCUUUGCAGCAGGGGCAUCCUUACUCUGGUCCCUCUUCGUGGUUGGAGGUCGAGAACGUUUUCGGGUCAGAGCCCCAAUCACAGCGUCCUCCAUCCUAUGGCCAGGAAGUAUCAAGCGAGACUCGAGCAAGUUGUAUGUAGUUAACAGUUCUCGGCUCGAGCAGGAAUUGGCUAGCACAGCCUCGACCCGUUUGAGCUGGUCAGGUUCAAGCGGGAAGUGGACACCCCAAGAACCUGCAACACAAACAAACAUUUGAUUAGAGACAAACCAGUAAAGCGCAAACGGCAAGGGAGACAAGACAUCUAAUACGAGCAGGCAACCUGGGACCACGAAACGGGGUGGGACGCGGAAGUCCUCCCCAUCAACCCGUGCAACUUGACCCCAGGGACCCCCUGCGAAGAAGAACUUCCUCUUCCAAUUCCCACCACCACCAGUAGGGAGAUCGGUUAUGGGUUUCCUGGUCUUGGUACUUGAUUGGAAGUAAUACCAGCCGGCAUCUUUUGGGCUGCUUUUCAGCUGGUACAGGUGCAUCACCUCGUCGACCGUGGGCUCGCUCUGGCAACAUCUGUCCCACAGUAUGAACAGACCAGAGAGCACUCUCCAACCGUUUGGGUUCAGCUGACCAGGAGACAGAUUCAACCCGCUAAGUAUCCGGGCAAAGUAAGGUUGCAAGGGACACCUCAGCCCAUACUUAAAGCUAUCCAAAUACAGGGUAACAUAUCCCCUGGGAGGCCGGCUAGGGGUAUCCUUCUUGCCUGGGACCUUGAGAAGUAUUUCACCAGGAAUGUUGUACCUAAAACGGAGGUCAGCGAGCUCGUCAAACGUGGUCGUGCACGUCAUAUAGUCGAUGGCAUAAUCACGCAACAAGGCUCUACCCCCUACUGUACCCCGUCCUUCUAGUCGUGACGUUCCAGAUGGAGACACCUCACCAGAGUCACCUUCGUCGUUCUCACUCAAAGUAUCCUCGGAGCCAGAAGAACUCUCCUCACCAUUACUUCCGCUCGUAGAGGUUGUUUGGGGAGACAUCCUCCUAGCACUAGUCCCGACACUAGACCUAAUGGGCUCUAAGGGGAUCCCGGGGUCGAAAGCAGGAUCGGUGAGCAGACUAGGCAGGAAGUCCAACUCGUCGUCAUCAACCUCAAUGACCUUCUCUUUGCCUUUCGACAUUCCCUAAGCUCUAACCACAACACCACCAACUACUACCCAAACAGAAGAGAAGAGAAAUUAUCUACAACUAUCCGAGACCAAGGAGAUAGAAGAAAUACCUGAAGUAAUGGUUCAGUCGGUGAAAAUCAGAGAUGGAGGCCUUUUAUGCCGGAACUUCUUUGCCGGAGAGACAGAGACGGAGACGGAGUGAAUGAUGAAUAUGCCGUUCGAGAGGAUUUGGUUUUCCUAAUGAGGACGGAUUCUUGGGUUGCCAGCAUUUAACAGCGCCGAAUCCCAAGGGUCUCAUAACCGUCGGUUUGAAAUUUAAAUGGAGGGGGGAUUUCUGCCACGUCACCUCGUCCGCAAUUAAAUGCGACAUGACUCUUGGCAGCCUUUUCCAAUCCCACGCGAGCGAGUACUAACGAGUUUCUACUGCUGGUCCACUACAUUACCCAACACCAGAAACUGGGGGACCGGUGUUUGGGAGAAAUACGUCGACGAGACCAGGCAUGGUGAGCAGAUAUCUGAUGGCAGAGUUCUGCGAACCGGUGUGUUCCGUAAAAGCCUGGUGCGCGGGGGAACAGGAGCAGAAAUAUCCUGCUCGUCCACGAGCACGUCAUCCGCGAGGCCAAUUUCCUGUAAGAGGCAUAAGGCCAUUCCGGCUAGAGGUCGAGAGGCGAGGAGACCCGGUCGACGGCAGUUGGCAAGACACGCUCUCCAGCCCGAGAAUCUAGGCACGACAGCCACGCUUUCCCCAGAACCACGGCGGAACACGCAAGAUCCCACGUUUGCCCAUAACGCAGCAUAACGCAGCAGUCGGAGCCCCAUACCGUCCCCCAAAAAGCGGAAACAAGAUCUCACAGAACCACGACAGCCACGCUUUCCCCAGAACCGUGGCGUAACACGCAAGAUCCCACGUUUGCCCAUAACGCAGCAGUCAGAGUCCCAUACCGUCUCGAAAAAAGCAGAAAACUGGGAUUCAGAGGAAGCCUAUAAAAAGGUAGCCAACGAAGGUAAGGGGUGGGUAUUUUGGAGAUUAGAAAAGAAAUUCAAAAGAAGAGAAAACCACGAAAAAGGCAUAAGAUCUGUGGCAAGCGUUUCCCGAACCUUCAUAUCUGACUUGAGCGUCGGAGGGUUUGCGCCGGGAAAAUAACCGGCGCACUCUGACUUGUCUUUGUGCGCAGGAACCUCUGGAGAAGAAGCCUUGCGAGGAGACCUCUUGGUCGUGAUGAAGCUGAUCGAGCAGAGAUCCUGGUCGUAGAACGAGGAGAACCGGAAUCCUGCAUCAACAUCUUCAAUGGCAGGGUAUCUGUCCGGCAGCUCAUGCAUGUGUCAGCAUCAUCAAGAAAAUGAAUGUAGUUGCUGAUUUUCAUAUUUUCAGAAGGUGAAAAGGCUGCUUAUUUUAGCUUGCCUUGAUUGCGAUUUUUAGAUUUACACACUUAUUGCUUUCUUUGAAUCAUAACAGCUACCCUGCUAUUGGCUAUUUGGUCCUCUUAAAAAUGUGGUUUAUGAGCUUCCUUAGUUUGUCUUUCUUUGUAAGUUUUUUACCUCUGUUUCUGUGUCAGUUGUUAUUUGUUGAGAGCAAGGCUCAUUGUGAUGCUACUGAUCAUUUUCUUUUAAUUCUUAAUUGAAGCUAUACAAAACUAUUUUCCUCUAAAAGAAAUAGAAAUUGCCUUCCAGUGCUUAUAUAUUUUUGGUCUCCCCACAUCUUAUUGUAAUUAAUGCUGUAGUAAAAGUUUUCCGGAUGCCUCAUAGACCCUAAACUUAAAGUCUCUGAUCUUGCAAGAGGAAGCCACACGGAUCAAGCAAUAGCACUUUUCUUUCAUUUUUUUUUUCAUCUAUCAAGCAAUAGGCUUAAAUGUUUCUGAUUUUGGUAAGACCAAAAAUAACUUUUUUGUUUUUUUCUUAUAGAGAUGGAACAUAGCACCAGUUAACCAUACAAUGAGCUUCUAAAUGUACUACACAAGUACCUGUUGAAACAGUGGAUAGUAGUGCAAUUCACAUACUCUUGCCGAUUUCCUAAAGGUUGCAGUAGUAAACCAUUUAAUCUAUGCUGCUUUAUUUUUUGGAUGAAUCUUAGGAUUUUUGAAAGACAUUGAGCUUCGGAGAGUUAAGAGAUACUCAUGAUGCGAAUUAACACUCAGUAUCUUCUCUGGUUGUGUGCAUCCUUCCAACAACCUUAUGAAGAGAUUGGCUUUUGGAUCUUCUUAAUGUUUCGGAUUUAUCUAUUAUUACCAUAGCACCACUCUUAUAUUAUCAGUGUGUUGGGUAUGCUUUGUGGGGGCUUGUUUAUUCUCCUCCUUUUGGACGGGCUUGUAAAGCAAAGAUCUAUAGUCUGUUGCCUUCUCGACGGGUUUGAUUAAAAGCUAAACUGAUGGUGUGUUUUAAAGGAAAUCCAAGCCUUACAGCAAAUGGGGCGAUUUCUCCAGAUCAUGCUGGUAAAUUCUUUUGGGUUAAUUUUCGCGAUCUUUAGACCUUUAAUACAGUUAAUUAUGUGGAAAUUAUGGGAGUGGUUGAUUUAAUCUCCAAAGCAGCUAUUGAUCAAGGACUGAUGAAUCUUUGGCUCCUAGAUAGUUUGUCAAUGAACCUUAGACUUUAUCAAGCUUUAGAAAAACCAAUGUAAUGUCGUAGAGCUGAUUUAUUUGCUCAAUGUUGGUCUUCCAUGUGCCAAUGUUUGUUUAAGAAAAUGGGACAUAAACGAUCACGAGACAAAGUUCAAUUUAUUUACCAGUUCAACUUCAAUAAACAAGUACCGAUAUUAUAUGAAAUCUGUAAUUUGGAACUUCUUUCCCCCUUCCCGCUCUUAAAUGCUGUUGUGUCACAUUCUGCAAAUCUGUAAUUUGGAACUUGAUUCCUCGAGUUACUUUGUUAACAAGGAUUUCACCUACUUUUUUCUUUUUUUUGGACAAAAUGCACAGAACCACAAUCUCAAGGCAUCAAAAGAAAAUUACUCUACAACAGUGAUGGUACAAACAAUUUACUAAACCUAACCUAUGCUAACAAAAUCAUUUGAACUAUGAAGGAGUUUCUUGAUAGCUCGAGCAUCAGGAUGCUCUUCUCAUUAACCGGAAUCAGUGCAAAUCAGCAAAUGAAUCUGUAAUAGCAUUAGUUUCAUACAUCUACUAAGGCCUGGGAAAUCUGAAGUUCAUUGAAGAAAUCUUGGUGCAAAAGUUCAACAAUCUACUCAAAGGAUGACAAUUAGCAGGGAGUCACAUUGAUGCCGACGAUCCAAUCACCCCCAUAAUUUCUGCAUAGCAAACUGUAUUGUGGACUAAAGACUGCCAAAAGCUAACCAAAGAAAUUUAUCAGUAUGAUAUUGGAAAAGCGCCCUUCUUGCUGCAAGUGCAAGACCAGGAUUUCCUUUCAAAUUAGCACUAAUCGAAUCCACAGAGGAGACCGUCACAAACCGCGCCUCAACAGCUGAUAUAAAUCCAUCACACUAGAUAUUUCAAGCUUAUAGGAUUGCCUAGUGAUAAAACUGCCGCGGCCGCAGACACCAGUCCGAGAGCCAAUCACUUCAGAAGGAUGUUGUCGGAAAGAGGCACACAAGGAGCACACAUCGUAUCAUUGACUAUUCCAACUCUUGGAAUCUCUGUUUCAUUUAACAAUCCUGAGAUUCAUCCAAACCAUAAAGAAAAACGGAUUAAAUGAAUAUUGUAUCCAAGAAAGAAGAAAAAUGAUGCUGGGAAAAUAUAACAAGUCAAGUUAAUCACUCACAGCAAGCUUGAGCAAAUCAUCAAGUAACCACUGUUUUGGCAGAUAAUUCUUGCUCAAUAAGGAUAUGCAGAUGAUUCAGACGCUCUUUGCAUGGUUGAUUGGUGAUUACAGUUUAAUUAUCAGCUCCAGAUCUCUCAGUAUCUUCCAUCUCGAUAAGAAGGAACAGAAAGUUUUUUCUGGUAUUAUCAAAUUCCAGACCCUAAUACCUACAGCAGCUCUGACUAGAAAGCGAACAGCAGUCCCUUAUGGCUUCUCCUAGCACGAGACUCAUAACUCUUGGACCUAAGAGUCAUCUGUGAAACUUUUACUACAGAAUUAAAUUACAAUAAGAUGCUCGGGAUACCAAAAAUGUUCAAGCACCGGAAGGCAAAUUCUAUUUUUAUCUUUAAAGAAAAAAUACAUUUUUUAUAGCAUAUUAAAAAUAAAGAAGAAUAAAGCAAAAUCUAUGAGAACAUAAUGAGCCUUGCACCUUAACAACUGAUAAAACCAGAGCCAGAAUAAAAAAAAGCUCAUAAACCACACAUCCAAAUAACCAAUAAGAGGGAAUUCAUUAUGAGUCAAUGAAAGCAAAGCAAUAAUCUCAAUGGGCUGCGAAUCUCAAUAUAAAUUGUAAAUCUGAUUAUUGAUUAUUCCAAUCGAGGUUAACCAAAAUAACAGUGGUCCUAUUACCUUCUUUGAAAGUAAUGAAAUCAGUGACUAAAUUCCUUUCUUAGCGAUGCUGACACCUGCAUGAGCACCUGGAAAAGACCCUGCCGCUGAAGAUUCACAUAACAAGAACCUGAUAACAUAGUCCAGAACACAAACUGAAUUAUUUUUCAAAUUUCGUGAAAGUAAAAUGUUAUUAAUCUUUUAAUACCAAGGGUAAUAUGAAAUUUACAGUGUACUUAUUUGUCUUCACUAUGGAGUUUGGACUUGCAGAGAGGUAGAUGACAUUGCAACAAGAUCCUGUGAGCUUUCCAACUUUCAGCCACAACUUCAGUCCCUUCACCAGAUUCUCCACUGCCAUCCUCCAAGUAUAACCUUUCAUUAUCUUCAGAAUGUGCGGAAGGGCAAGAACUUCAUUUGUGCAUUGAGAUACUAUGAAAAUCCAGCCUGAUCGUCCUCCAGAUAAUACGACAAGAUAAGCUGAAUUGUGACUAAGCCAGCUUGUGCAGAUUACCGCUGCAUUCAACCGAAAAUUUGUCUCACUGAAUGUCUGAUUGGUGGUUAAACUUAAUUAGCAGCUGCAGACAUGUGAUAGUAUCAGGCAUUAGCAUCUUCUGCCUCUAUUGCUGGAUCCUUUAUUAAAUAUACCUGCCAUUUUCACUACCGCAUUAAAUUACAAUAAGAUGCUGUGAGACCAAAAUUUUAAAAGAAAUGGCAGGAAAAUUCUUUUUCUUUUUCAAAGGAAAAUACUUUUUAAUAGCCUUCAAUAAGAAAAAAGAAGAAUGAAAAAAAAGAAAUUAGUAGUAAACUAAUUACGCUUACUCUUUAACAAUUGAUGGAGAAAGCCAGAAAAGCAGAGCUAAAACGUUAAAAGAAAACCAAACUAACUCAAGGUCAUCAACCAUAUCUCUAAACAACCAAUAAUAAGUCAGUCAUUAUCAAUCAAAUAAAAACCAAAACACUAAUUCUCUGGACCAAUGUUGUAAGUCUAAAUUCUGCAACGUGCAAUCCAAGGUUAGCCAAAACAUGAGCAGCACUAUUACAUUCUUGGAAAGAAUGAUAAAUCAGAAACCGAAUUCAUUACUUUGCGAAUCCGACACACCAUGAGCCGUCUGACGGCAACACCUCUUGAAGACUCAUAUGGUGGAUCAAGAUAACAAAAAACCAGAUAACUGAGAUAUGAACACAUAAAGUAAAAGUUACUUCUCAAAAAUCUUACAAGUUAAAAUGAUACAUCUUGUAAGCUACUAAUCAUUUAAUCUUUUGGGUAAGAGGAAAUUUAUAGUUUACUUGUAUCUACUCAUUAUGGAGAUAGGACUUACAGAGAGGUAAGAUGAUAUUGCAACAAGAUCUUGUGAUAGCUCUGCUGCAACAGAAGUGCCUUCAACAGAUUAUCCACCACCAUCGCCAACGUAUCACCUUCCAUUGAACUCGGCAAAUAUCGAAGAGCAAGAAUUUCAUUUUUAUAUUUAAAUAAUUGUCAAAUGAAUAUACAGCUUGAUAAUUGUCAAACGAAUGUACAGCUUGUCGUCGUAGUCAUAUCAGUCGGGCUACCUUGUGAUGAAAGCCAGUUUCGUGCUAACUAAUGCUGCAUUCAGCCAAAAAUCUGCACGUCAACAUUCCAGUAAUUACUGUUAAAAUAGAGAUAACAGAAAAUGAAACUGAUUUCUGGAAAAUAUUUAAAUGAAUUCAUAACUGUAAUCUGAAUUGUUCAGGGGAUAGAAGUUGACAUGCCUGGCAUAUAAUAUAAGAUUGGAGAGAGCAUUUUCUGGUUGGACGCCCUUCUUUUGUUUUGAAGACCAAAAUAGACCUUAUGCUUCCUCUUAUGGAUCGUGAAUGAAUCUUAAACUAUCUCAAAGCAAGGAAGGUGGGCUAUCUUUGGCCACUCUUGUCCUUUGCCCUUUUUGCAUUUGUUUUCCAGUGAAGGACAAUCCUGAAUAUAUAGAGACAAAAGAGAGGAUGGAAAGCCUGCCUCCGGGAAGGAAGUGAAAUUUGGGCAAGAGAAGACUUCUAAAUGCUCAAGGGAUACGAGGUACAGAAAACCCUUGGAAGACAGGCGUUCCAAUUUCGGGAAAUCUGAAAUUGAAAUAGAGGCCAGAGAGGUGGGCAAUAUCACUCCCUUCUCUACCUCAGGAAAAGACACUGCAUCUGAGCAUCUAUCAAUGAAGAGAUGCCUAAGAGAUGUCAUCUUGUGAAAGCCCCACUUGACGAGGUGUGCAGUAUCACCUGAAAUUUGAAGGGACGUUAUGUUGGUGGAUAAACCCUCUUCUGGAAAAAACACAAUGCCUGGACAUCCCCAUACGGUUAAUAGUUUAAGAGAGCUGAGUUUGCCGGUUGGUAGAGAGGCUUUAAGUUUAUUACAGUCUUUGAUUGAAACGUCUACGACACUGCUGGGAAGCGCAUCCUCUGGGAGAGAAACUAGAUUAUGACAAUGUGCGAUAGUUAUCCAAUCAAGAUGGCUAAGAUUGCUCAAUCCUUUUGGUAAGGAUUUAAGAUUAUCACAAUACGAUAUCUGAAUAGAUUUAAGACAUGCAUCAUCAUGGAAUCUCUCGGCUAUAGACUCUAUAUUUGAACAACUAUCAAUUGUCAGCACUUCGACCGCCACAGGUAAUUGGCAUUCUGAUGUCAGCACCUUGAAAUUAGAACAAGACAAAAUUUCAAUUGCCUUCAGAGAUGAAGGUAGAUGCUCUCUUGCAAUGGAUUUUAAAGAAUGACAACUGAUGAUUCGCAAGACCUCAAGUCGGGCAUUGUUGUGUAUAAUUCCAUCAGUUAAGGAUGUUCGAGCAUUGCAAUUUUGGAUGGUAAUUUCACUCAAAUUGGAAAGAAAGCAGACCUUCGGAAGAGAAACAAUAGUUGGACAAUCCCCGAUAAGUAGGUCUUUGAGGCAGGUGAAGCUGUGCAGCCCUUGUAGCGGCUUCCCCAGGCAAAUCUCAUUUACAAACCCUUCACAACCAACAAUCUUUAGUUGUUCUACUUUCUGAAACUUUUGACGCGACCAAUUUUCGAACUCUGAAAUAUCGCAAAGAGUCAUUUUGUUCGGUGACUUGGACUCAGAUGGGCCAUCGCACACCAACCUUCUGCACCCAUGAAUCUCCAAUUUGCAGAGAGCUGGGAGGCUUGGCAAUGAUACCGCCAAGCGCAUGCAUCCAGCAAUCACAAUUUCCUCCAAAGAAGGAAGAUGGUUAGGUAAUCGUCCAGAGAGUUUGGGGCAUCCUAUAAUGGAAAGCUUUCGGAGACGAGGGAAUGCCUGAACAUGCUCAUCAUUUUCUCUGUUAGGUUCCCAGUGCUCCCAUUCUUGCAAAUCCUCAAAACAUAAAGUCUGCAAUGAUUGAAAAGGUUUUGAGCAACCUUCCCCAUAAAUCUCCGAACCUAUGCUUUUUAAUGCCGACAUGCCUACGAUUGUGAGAUCUUUUAGUGAGCACAAUUGCCCAAGCGAGGGCAAGGAUGUGCUUCUUUGGCAAUUUCUCAAGAUUAGGACCGCAACGUUGGAAAAUGAUGGAUCUCCUACCCAAGAUGGGAACCUUGUCCCACCGUAAGAAUUGAUUUCAAGCCUUUUAAUAUUACUGUGAGGCUUCAGCAUGUCAAGAAUAUUCUUUUCUCUGACCUCAUCUACUGAGUCGCCCUCUACUGAGUCGCCAUCGAGUCCUGCCCUCCAUUCUAACUUCAAGUCUGUUAGGCCUUUCUUCACCCAUAACAUAGCCUCAUUUGCUUCUUGUGAAUCGAUGACAUUCUUCAGUCCUGAAAUGCAAAGUCUUCCUCGUAGAAACUUCCAAUUCUUCAAAUCUCUCAAAGCACAGCCGCUAUAUUUGCCAACAAUAAAAUUAGUCAAAGUCCGAAGACAUUUUAACUCCUUCAUUCCUAAUGGUAACUCACGUAACGCAAUUGCACCUUCAAUAUCAAGAUGAUGUAAAUUAACCAAAUUUCCGAUGCUUGAUGGCAACUUCAAGAGAAACCCGCAAUAACUCAAGAUCAAAAUUUCUAAAUUGAAAAGUGAGGUAAUUACCUCAGGUAAACAUUGGAUCUCACUUCUAGAGAAGUUGAGAUACCGCAGAUGUUUUAAACAUCCAAUUGAUAUGGGAAACUCAGCUAUGUUGUAUUUUUCCAAAGAUAACACCCUCAACUUUUUACACUUCGGUAGCAAAUCAGAUAAAACCAUGGGACUUAUGUAGUAAAAAUCAGAAAAAUCUUGUAUGAGUACUGGCAAGAAUGUCCUCAAAUUCUCAACUUUUUUGAGAACUUUAAAUUUAUCCAUCCCAUCAGAAAAACUGCGGACGUAUGAAGAAUGACGAACCUUUUCAAUUACAUUUGACUGUCUAUCCACCGAAAAUUGGUCGUCCAAUCUCAAGCAUGUUUCACCAGAAGCCCAUACAGCCAAAUCGUGUACAAGGUCAUGCAUCACAUAUUUAGAUCCGCUGUUACUUGAUUUUUGGAACAAGGAUCUUGACAAGAGAUCAUGAAAAUACUCACUGCCCAAAUCUUCUAGUUGUUUGCUGUCCUUAGAUUGUUGAAUAAGACCUUCUGCAAUCCACAAAAGAAUGAGUUCCUCCUCUUCGAAUUCAUAAUCAUUCGGCAAAAUUGCACAGUAGGCAAAACAUCUUUUUAAAUGCGAAGGAAGAUGGUGAUAACUUAACUUCAAAACAGAGGGAAUCUCAGUUUCAUCCUGUAAGUUCCAUAUUUUACUGUCCAAUAUAGCUCUCCACUCAUCAACUCUCUGCUUAGAUCGAAGAAGACCACCGAGAGCCCUAGCUGCCAGAGGUAAACCUUUGCAUUUCUGAACAACCCUUUGACGAGCUGACUCGAAGUUUCCCUUUGUGCCAGCAUCUCUGCCCUCAAAUGCAUGAUUUACGAACAGCGACCAACAAUCAUCAUCAGACAGAAGCUUCAGCUCAUAAUUUUUACCAGAUCCCACUGUGAAGGCGACAUCCAUGCUGCGAGUAGUCACAAUUAUCCUGCUGCCCGGUGCUCCAGCCAUGAAGGGCGACUUAAGAGCUUGCCACAACUCAUAACUCUUGCUCCAAACAUCAUCCAAGACAAUCAAAAACUUCUUCUUAAACAAAGCUUCCUUCAGCUUAAGCUGCACCGAAUUCAAAUCCUUCAGCUCGCAAGAGGAGAGUUUGAUCGACUCCAGAAUAGCCUUCGAGAUCCUGAGAACGUCAAAGUCAUCAGAAACACAAACCCAAGCUUUGGGUUCGAAAGCUUCCGUUAACUUGUCGUUGUACACCUCCUGAGCAAGUGUUGUUUUCCCGAUACCUCCCAUACCCACAAGGGGUAUUACUCGAAAGUUGGCAGCAUCACAAGGAUCAUUCAUUAACACCAUAUCAAGUAUCCUGUCCUUGUCUUCAUCUCUCCCAUAAACAGCUGGUUCGCUUGUUAAGCAAGUGGUGGGUGGUCUUUGCGUUACUGCAGCACUAUGCGUUGACCCUCCAGCAAUCUUUUCCAAUCCAAGAACAGUUCUUCUUUUACAGAGAUCUUCAAGCCGGCUACUGAUUGCUUUAAUCUUAGACUUCGUGCUAAUGCCGGACUUAACACUACUUGUACCAGAGGAAAAACGUUGGAUAAGGCUGCGAACCUUGCUAGAGCUGGCUUCUCGUUUCUCCAACAAUCUAAGCCCGGCUUCAGUAGCAAACUCAUCGAGUAUGUCCUCUGCAUCGUAAGCCAAGUCUCGGAGGUCAUCCAGCCACAGCUUCAGAGCCCUGUCAGUCAGCUGCUUCUCCUCUGCAUCGAUCAGCACUGCCUCAAUUGUCUUGAGCGUUUCCUCCCACUUUUUCAACUUUGAUUGGACACCCUCUUGGCUGGCUAACUUCAGCAACUCAGGGGACAUUAAUCUUUCGAACAACACCUGAAGAAAGGCAGAAAGAAAGAGCUCCGCCACAGGCAUGGCUUCUUUUUUUUUUUUUCUGGGGCUUUUGUAAGUCAAAAAAGAGAUAGAAAAUCAGAAGAAUUCAGAGCGGUUAUCACACAAAAGAGAAGAAUGAAGGCAAUAAGCAAGGGAGACUGAGACUUCAAUAUUUGCAAAAGAAAGGUUAUCAGAACAGUAAAAUGGUUUUUGAUACGUUUUUUGUAAGAAAAAUGAUAAAACAAAAAAAAUUAUCUCGUAGAAAUUUCCUUUUAUCUUAAAAUAUAUUUUUUUUAAUUUUGUAGUGAUGGUAUAACAAUUAUAGCGCUUACUGUAGUAAACAUAUUAUUAUUGAUUUUUUAAUUAAUUUUUCAUUUAAUGUUCAAACGUAUAAUUUUAACUUAUUUUUUCAUUAUUUUUCUAAUUAACCUUAACCCAUAUAAUUUUAAGGAUGAAUCUAUUACCAUUUAAAAAAAAAUUGUAUCAAUAUUAGUAAUUUUACAAAAUAAUGACAUUUAAGAUUCUUAUAUUUUAUUGCUAACUUGAUUUUUAAUAUUAUAUGUCACUCAUGUAUUAUUUAUUCUAUUAUGUAAUUAAUGAAUAGCACAUCAAUGAGAAUGGAACUCAAAUAUUGAGUUUCUAUUAUUACCCUUUGCAAAAUGGCAUUACUAGAUAAUAUCUUAUUUUUCAGUAAAUUUCUUUCUUAAUUAUUAGUCAACAUCUUAAAAAAAUUAUUAAAACUCAUUUUAAAUAUAAUUAUUGUAACUUACCUAACUGAAAGUUUCAAAUUAAACCGUUGCUCGAAGACACAGUGUCUUAGACACCAAUCUAUAUAGCCAUCACUGGGGACAAAAGAAUUCUUAUUACUAAAAAUUUACGACUCUCAAAAAUCAAAAACAAAAAAAAAAAUUGAAGUUAAAAAAAAAAAAAACAAGUUAUUUAGUGCUUGCGUAAGUAAUGCGCUUAACGCUCUUAUAUGAACAAUUCGUCUCGAUUGGAGCAAGUUCUUGGAAAUCAAUGGAAUUAAAAAUUUUCUUGUUAUAGGAAUCAUGUGGGGGAAAUUUACGAAAAUAACCAUAAAACUUUUACUAUUUUUACAAUUAAUCCUCUUAACUUUUUUCUAUCAACAUUAGCCAAACACACGUUUUUCUCCCCAAAUUACCCUUCUUUACAAACCAAAAGUAACUUUCUUUCUCCCCUUUCGUUAAACCAAAGGCAGCUUUCCACUCUUGAAUCAUCAACUAACGGCGACGACAAAAGGCAACGAUAAAAGUGAAAUCCGAUCAUAAUCUAUUCGGAUCCAACACUAAUCGACAUCACAUAGUGAUAUGAGUUAUUUUCUGAACUUGCUCGAGAGUUUCAGUGAACUGCAAGUCGUGGGUGAAUCUGGCGACAAGCUGCCUGUCGCACGAAGCUUGGUGCGACAGGCUUGGGCGACAGGUGCUUGUCGCACCAAAACUUGGUGCGACAGGCACCUGUUGCACCAAACCUUGGUGCGACAGGCAAAACUUGGUGCGACAGGCACCUGCCGCACCAAACCUUGGUGCGACAGGCACUUGUCGCCCAAGCCUGUCGCUCCAAGUUUCGUGCGACAGGCAGCCUGUCGCCAGAUUCACCCACGACUUGCAAUUCACUGAAACUCUCGAGCAAGUUCAGAAAAUAAUUCAUACCACUAUGUAUUAAUGAAAAUAAAUAAAAUGGCUAACUUAGGUUUUGUUGAAAACUGUAGAUGGUAGAUCAGACACCGAUGAGGGAUGAAGCCGCCGCCGACGAGGGCUGAUGUUACUGCCGAUGAUGGGAGUUUUUUCGGUUUGGGAGAGAUGGGUGAAAGAGAGUGUUGGGGGAGAGAUGAGAGAGAGGGGUAUUUUGGUCUCAAAGGUUCUUUUAUGGCUAAUGUUGAUAAAAAUUUAUUUAAGGAGUUAAGAUGAAAAAAGUCCAAAUUUUUAUGGCUAUUAGUGUAAAUUUCCCAUCAUGUGGACUACUGGACUCCAGCAUGGUCUAAAACAACGGCCCAUUGGAGCUUUUUUUUUGUUUUGCUUUGUAUUAUUUUUUGCUUUAAAAAAUUGAAAAAUAAAUUGCGAAAGGGUAGAUGUUUCCCACAGGCCCACACGUUUUCUAAUAAAUUUAUAAUAUUUUGACAAAUCUACAGUUUCAACUUUUUAAAACGUUCGCGAUGCUUCUUUUUUCAAUUUGGAAAAAUAUUACGUGUGGAUAAAAGGUAUACUUAAUAAAAGGUAAUUUUGGUAUUCAAAUAUAUUUUAAAUUGGAGCGUUAUAUAUUAUAUAAAAAGUGGGGCUAUUUAAAUCUGUCAAAUUUCUCUCUUUAUCUAUUUUUAAAAAUAAAUUUAUUAUCUUAAUAUUCGUUAAUUUUGUAUUUAGUAAAAAUUAAUUUGUUAAUGUUCAUCAACUUUCAUAACUGAUAAAAAUUUAUUGACAUUUAUUUUUAAAUAGUGAAUGUUGUUUCUCUUAUUUAGUGAUACCAAUUAUUUAUAAUUAAAAAUAUAUGAGUAAUGAUAUAGCCACAAACUCUUGUACAAACUUAUUUUGUACAAACUAAUGUGGCAUGAUAAGAUUGGUUGAAUUAAAUAUCACUUGGCCCACAUGAUUUAUUUUUAUUAUUUUAUAUUUUCAUUCAACCAAUGAAUUAAUGCCACAUCAAUUUGUACAAAAUAAGUUUGUACAAGAGUUUGUGGCUGUAUCAUUACUCAAAAUAUAUAUAUAUAUAUGAAUUGAUGAAAAUUUGUGAAAUUAAUUGGAGGAGGAGAACAAAUAGUUAAUUAAGUAAUUUUAAAAAAAUUAUUUAGAUAAUACAAUUUUUAAUUACAAAGAAGACGUUAGAGAGAAAAUUAAUUGAUUCAGGGUGCGUUUGGGAGUGAGAUGUUAUAUUCUUUAAAAGGUUGCUUUGAAAUAAAAGUUAUAGAUGUGGAGUAAAUGAUGAUGGCAUUUGGUAAAAGUGCUAUAACUUUUAAGCUGCAACUACUGAUGGUGUUUGAUAAAUUGUAAUAGUUGUGGAGUAGAUGAAUAUUUGUAAAAAUUAAUUUUAUUAUUUUUAAUUGUUAACAAAUUAAAUUAUUUUUCAUACUUCGAAGAAUUAUAUUGAUUAAAAAAUUAUUUAGAUAAUAAAACUUUUAAUUACAAAGAAUACAUUAGAGAGAAAAUUAAUGAAUUCAGGGUGCGUUUGAGAGUGAGAUGUUGUACUCUUUACGAAGCUGCUGUGAAAUAAAAGUUAUAAAUGUGGAAUAGAUACUGAUGACAUUUGGUAAAAAUUCCAUAACUUUUAAGUUGUAGCUACUGAUGGUGUUUGAUAAGUUUUAAUAGUUGUGGAGUAGAUGAAUAUUUGUAAAAAUUAAUUUUAUUAUUUUUAAUUGUUAACAAAUUAAAUUAUUUUUCAUACUUCGAAGAAUUAUAUUGAUUAAAAUUACGAUUUAUUACUUUACAAAUUAAAUUAAUAUUAUUUAAAUCAAUUUAUUUUUCUGCACAAGUUGUAAUAAAUAAAUUUUAAAACAAAAUACUUUAAAAAUGAAAAUAAAUAAAUUCUGGUUUUAAAUAUUUAUUGAAGAAAUAAAUUAUACCAAAUACGUCUAAUAAAGAACAUACAACAUAAAUGUAAUUAAUUACAAAAUUCGUAUAAAUAUUUCUAUUGUAGUGCCUCCUUUAAACUCGCACAAUGCCAUCUCUCAAGAUUAUUAUAUCUUAAGCUGUUAUCAAUUGUAUCAUAACUUUCUUCGUGAUAUGCAAUAUUGUUCGUACGUUCGCUAAUAUGAUGCCUCAUCCAUUGUUUCAUCAAAAUGAUCAUGAUUUUGUUAAUAUCUUUUGGUCGCAAUUGUUGAAAAAAUAGCAUAACAUGCUAUUUUGAGGGCACAUUUUGAGUGGGUCCCACUUAAACGAAAGUGGAAAAUAUUGUGAGGUUCAGAUUCUACUCCAUUGAUACUUCAAUAGUAUAAUCUUAUUUUCUCAAAAUGGUGCUUGGGUGAAUGAGAAAUUUGAAAUAUAAGUGUGCAACCCAAGAGGGGGGGUGAAUUGGAAAUUUAAAAAAUAUCCUAGCAAAAUCCACACAACAAGCAAUCUAAUGUCUUAAUAAAAAUUGAAAGCAAUAAGUUCAAUAAAGGCACAAUAAUUAAAAGAGUAAGGGAAGAGAAAAACGAACACAAUGAUUUUUACGUGGUUCGGCUAUCCCCGCCUACGUCCACGCCUCCAAGCACACCGGGCUUGAGGAUUUCACUAUCCAAGCCUUUCCAAGGCUUCAACAAUUACAAUUGACUUCGAGGUGUCAAUAAACCUUUACAACAAAGAGAUUAUCUCACAAUCUCUUCACUCAAGUGUCUCACACACUCAAACUCUUACAAAUGAAAUGAAGAAAUGAAAGUUACAAUCAAACUCACUCAAUGAGUAGAUAUUCAAAGAUGAAGAACAAUGAAUGAUUCAAUGUUUUGUGUUUUGCAAGUUGCAAGCUCAAGAUAUCAUGUGUGCCUUUUGUUUUUGCUUGUUGGAGAACUUAAAAAAGAGUUGGAUUUGAGUUCUUAUAGCUUGAGCUCGAAAACUAGCCGUUACUCACAUUCUGGGCUAUCCGGUUUGCCGUUUAAUGGAAUCCGGUAAGCCGGAUUUAUGUUACCGUUAAGGCAAAAUUCAAGCACUACUUGUUUAUUUCAAAGUUUUCAAAAUUCUUUCAAUUAAACCAUAAACUUUGAAAAACAACCAAUUUCAUAAAAUCAUUUUUUCAUUAAAUAUGAAACAUUUAUAAAGUGAAAAUAAUGAUUUAUUCAAAAGGAAUAAAAACAAUCAAUUGCAUAAAAUCAUUUUUCCAUUAAAAUAUAAAACAUUUAUAAUGUGAAAAAAAUGAUUUAUUUAUUUUUUUGUUAAUUUUGUUUGUUAUCAUCAAAAUCAACAUUAUGGAAACAUAUAUGUUAACAAAAUUGUCUCUCAAAGUUCACCCUUGAAGUGAGAAAUUUGAAAGAAAAUGAGGUUUAUCCCACAUGGGAAAAAGAAGCCUAGGAAGUAGUGUAUAUAUAUAAACACUUAACCAUGCAUGGGUAAGGAUUAUAAGGAUAGAGGCUCUCUUCACACGCGCGUGCGCAGGGGGGGUGCAAAUCCAAGACCGAUUUGGUCGAACUCGUGUGCGCCCGCACAUCCUGCAUACGCGAAUGUCAGCCCAAAAUCAUCCAUGCAAGCUUGGCACGUUUUUAAAUUCCUUUUGAAUUUUUUAUUGUAACAGUUUGAUGUUUUGAAUUCAAAGAAUGUGUAACAACUUUUACAACUAUUUUUAGCUGUUGUUCACGUUUUUUAAUUCAAUUUUGAAAUCAAUUCAUUGAAUUGAUUUAGCUAUUAUAGCAAUUAAAUAAAACAUAUUGAAUUCGAAAAUUCAAUACACAUCAGCUGUUACAUCCUCACAUGAUUAUAAAAAGGCAUCUCCUCGUCUGUUUUUGAACACUUGAAAAAAUCAGCACAAAGCACACUUGUUUGUUCUUUCAUCCUUCUUCGUCUUUCUCUUAUGGAGUUACCUGUUGUGGUUCGUCGGAAUUUCCAGCCUGUGCUUGACUGGAAAUUCGUACUUGUUGUAUCCUGGGAAUCAGAUACCAGCAGACCUUAAGCACUCCGAAGAGGUGGUAAAUCUGUUUUAAGGAAAUUGCCUUGUGCAGGCCUCGGGUUUAUAUUUCUUAUUCCGUUUCAUUUCUCUUCUGUUCUUCAUUUGCUGUUUUCGAUUGCUGGUUUACAUUUUUUUUCAAUUAAUAGCAAUUUAAAUUGUCAACUCACUGUGUUCGUUUUUUCUAACAAUCUUAAAACAGAAUUUUUAUUAUCAUUGAGAUGGCAACUGAAACCAGUGAUGAUGUUCCGUAUGUCCCAGUUUCUGCACCAACUGUUGUGAAGGAACCAGCCUCUGUGGCGAUUCCUGUCAAUCAUGCGGAAAGGCCUGAAAAGUUCAAUGGCUAGAAUUUCAAACGGUGGCAGCAAAAGAUGUUCUUUUACUUGACCACGUUGAACCUUGUGAGGUUCUUGACCGAGGAUGCUCCUAAACCUAAAGAGGGUGAAACGGAUUUUCAAGUUGCAAGUGCAAUUGAUGCAUGGAACCAUUCUGAUUUUUUAUGUAAAAAUUAUGUAAUGAAUGGCCUUAGUGAUUCCUUGUAUAACAUAUACAUAGGAAAGAAAACCGCCAAGGAGCUAUGGGAAUCCUUAGAUCAGAUAUAUAAAACUGAGGAUGCGGGUACCAAAACGUUUAUUGUUGGUCGCUUCCUAGAUUAUAAAAUGGUGGAUUCUAAAACUGUAAUAAGUCAAGUACAAGAGCUUCAAAUUAUAUUAUCUGAUAUCCUUGCAGAAGGGAUGCAUUUAAGUGAAACUUUUCAAGUGGCCGCAAUUAUUGAAAAAUUGCCUCCUGCUUGGAAAGAUUUCAAGAGCUAUUUGAAGCAUAAACGCAAGGAGAUGAAUAUUGAAGGGCUGGUUGUUAAGCUCAUAAUUGAGGAAGAUAACAUAAAUGCAGAAAAAAAAGAGGGGCUAUUUUUGUGGCUAAGGUAAAUUUUGUUGAACAUGGACCUAAAAAUAAAAAUAAAAAAUUGGGUCCGAAAGGAGGAAUUUCCAAGAAGCAAACAAAGUUUCAAGGAAAAUGUUUUAAUUGUGAUAAGAUAGGUCACAAGGCUUCGGAUUGCAGGUUGCCUAAAAAGAAGCGAGAGGCGAAUGUCGUGAAAAACAUCACUCAACAUGUUUCAGACAUAAACCUCUCUGCAGUGGUUUCAGAAGUGAAUCUGGUUAGCUCUAAUCCGAGAGAAUGGUGGAUUGAUACGGGAGCAACCAGACAUGUUUGCUCGGACAAAGGGAUGUUCACUUCAUUUGAAGCAGUGAGCAAUGGAGAGAAGCUAUUCAUGGGGAAUUUUGCUACGUCUGAGAUUGAGGGUCAAGGGAAGGUGAUUUUGAAGAUGACUUCUGGGAAAGAGCUGACUCUGAAUGAUGUGCUUUAUGUGCCAGAAAUUCGGAAGAACUUGGUGUCUGGAUCGCUGCUGAACAAACAUGGUUUCCGAAUGGUGUUUGAGUCAAAUAGGGUAGUUUUGUCAAAAAAUGGGAUGUAUGUGGGAAAGGGUUAUGUUAAUGAUGGGCUAUUUAAACUCAAUGUAAUGACUCUUAAACCAACAAUUAAUAAUAAAGCUAGUUCUUCUGCUUAUUUGCUUGAGUCUUCUAAUAUUUGGCAUGGUAGAUUAGGACAUGUUAAUUUUAAUUCUUUGCGUAAAUUAAUUAACAUGAAGCAUAUUCCCAAUUUCCAAAUUAAUUUGAAACAUAAGUGUGAAACUUGUGUUGAGGCAAAACUAACAAGGUCAUCUUUCCAAAUAAUUAAAAGAAACACCGAACCACUUGAUUUAAUACAUAGUGAUAUUUGUGAUUUUAAAUCCAUUCAAACAAGAGGCGGUAAUAAAUAUUUUAUUACCUUUAUAGAUGAUUGCACAAAAUAUUGCUAUGUAUAUUUACUGAAAAGCAAAGAUGAAGCUUUGGAAAAGUUCAUUCUCUACAAAAAUGAAGUUGAUAAUCAACUUAAUAGGAAAAUCAAAGAAUUAAAGAGUGACCGUGGUGGUGAGUAUGUUGUUCCGUUUAUGUCACUAUGUAAACAAAGUGGAAUCAUACAUCAAGUCACGGCUCCAUAUUCACCUCAAUCUAAUGGGAUUGCAGAACGAAAGAAUCGGACUUUAAAGGAAAUGAUGAAUGCAAUGUUGAUAAGUUCUGGGUUACCCCAGAAUAUGUGGGGAGAAGCUGUUUUGUCAGCUAAUUAUUUAUUAAAUAAGAUACCCCGAAAGCAAGAAGAUAAAACCCCGUAUGAGCUAUGGAAAGGUAGAUCACCUUCAUAUAAAUUCUUACGAGUGUGGGGGUGUCUUGCUAAAGUAGUGGUUCCUUUAAAUAAAAAAGUAAAAAUAGGACCAAAAACUGUUGACUACAUUUUCAUUGGUUAUGCACAAAAUAGUAGUGCAUAUCGAUUUUUGGUGCAUGAGUCUAAAAUUCCAAAUGUCCACAAAAAUACAAUAAUAGAAUCAAGAAAUGCAUCGUUUUUCGAACAUGUGUUUCCUUGCAAUUCUAGAGUGGAAUCGAGAGAAUUGGAACAAUUUCAUGAAACAACACUUGAAAAUGAAGAAAAUGAUCAAGCACCAGAAGAAGAAGAAGAACAAGAAAUUGAGGUUAGACGUAGCAAAAGAGCUAGAAUAGAAAAGUCUUUUGGUCCAGACUUUCUGACGUAUUUGCUAGAAAAUGAACCUCAAAGCUUCAAAGAGGCUGUAACUUCAGCUGAAGGCACUUUAUGGAAAGAAGCCAUUAACAGUGAAGUUGAAUCCAUAUUACAAAAUCAUACUUGGGAGCUAGUAGAUCUUCCUCCAGGAUGUAAACCUUUGGGGUAUAAGUGGAUUUUCAAAAGGAAAAUGAAAGCCGAUGGAUCAAUCGAUAAGUACAAGGCUAGGCUUGUAAUUAAAGGUUAUAGGCAACAAGAAGGCCUUGAUUAUUUUGAUACUUAUUCUCCUGUUACGAGAAUAAAUUCCAUACGGAUGAUAAUAGCAAUUGCAGCUUUGCGCAAUCUCGAGAUACAUCAAAUGGAUGUAAAGACGGCCUUUCUAAAUGGAGAUUUAGAUGAAGAAAUCUAUAUGGAGCAACCUGAAGGUUUUAUAGCUCCAGGGCAAGAAAAGAAAAUUUGUAAAUUGGUUAAGUCAUUAUAUGGCUUGAAACAAGCACCGAAACAGUGGCAUGAGAAAUUUGAUCAUAUGAUGAUCACAAGUGGCUUUAAGAUCAACGAGUGUGACAAAUGUGUUUAUGUCAAAGAAACAGAAAAUGGCUAUGUCAUUUUAUGUUUAUAUGUUGAUGACAUGCUCAUUGUUGGGAGUAAUGAUGACAUGAUUAAAUCUACCAAGAAUAUGUUGAAGUCUAAGUUUGACAUGAAAGACAUGGGUCUUGCAGAUGUCAUUUUGGGAAUUAAAAUCUCAAGGGCUUCUAAUGGACUUAUUUUAAGUCAAACUCAUUAUGUAGAUAAAAUUCUUGGGAAAUUUAAUAAAGAGUAUAAUACUAUGUCUAAAACUCCAUUAGAUACUAGUAUUCAUCUAUCGAAAAACAGAGGAGAGGGUAUUUCUCAAGUUGAAUAUGCUAGAAUAAUAGGUAGUCUGAUGUACUUAACAAAUUGUACCAGACCAGAUCUAGUCUAUACAGUAAGCAAACUUAGUAAAUAUACGAGUAAUCCAGGAAGUGAUCACUGGAAAGCUAUCGUAAGAGUACUUAGGUAUCUUCGAUACACUCGUAAUUAUGGACUGCACUAUACUAGGUAUCCAGAAGUAUUAGAAGGAUUUAGUGAUGCUAACUGGAUAUCAGAUGUAAAAUAUUCAAAAUCUACUAGCGGCUAUGUGUUUACACUAGCAGGUGCAACUGUAUCAUGGAGAUCUUCUAAACAGACAGUAAUUGCUAGAUCUACAAUGGAAUCUGAAUUCAUUGCAUUAGAUAAAUGUGGUGAAGAAGCAGAAUGGCUACGCAAUUUUUUAGAAGGUAUUCCAAAAUGGCCAAAGCCUGUGCCUACGAUUUGUAUACAUUGCGAUAGUCAAUCAGCUAUCGGUAGGGCACAAAGCAAUAUGUAUAAUGGUAAGUCUAGACACAUACGUCGUAGACAUAAUACCAUUAGACAACUUAUUUCUACUGGAGUUAUUUCUAUUGACUAUGUAAGGUCAAAGGAUAACAUAGCGGAUCCGCUAACCAAAGGGUUAAAUAGAGAGCUAGUAGAAAAAUCAUCGAGGGGGAUGUGAUUAAAACCUAUAGAUUGAUUAGUCAAUAACGAAGGAAAACCUAACCUAGUAGACUGGAGAUCCCAAGAUCUAGGUUCAAUUGGACAACCUAUUUAUUAAAGACUAAAGAUGGAUCACUGUGGGGGUCAUUCUCUUGAGAGGAUUACCUCAUUGACCAUUCCUAUGAUGAAACAGUGAUGCCCGUGGGGAAUAAGGUUGAGCUAGGCUCUUAAUGAUUCUUAUGCGUCGAAAAUUCGAGCGGAGUAAUACGGGUUACUCUUAAUUAAGAUAUCACCUAUGUGAGAGAGAAGUGGGGCCGCUUCAAAGGGAGAUAUAAAGGGUUCAGCUCUUAGAAACUCUUGUAGAAGUAAGCAGAUGUUCAAGGCCAAAACGAACAUAAUCAUGAGAACUCAACAGUGUUAGGAGAAAAACCUAUGUGUAGUAUAUGAUCCUUUACACUAAUGGCAUAAUAGUUCAAAGACAUCGCGUCUAUUGAUCAAAUAGUAAAGUAAUUAUACUAUUACAAGGAAAGGUUCAAAGGAUAACACCUACCUAUCCUGUGCUAGGUAUCAAUCCAAUAAACUCGAUCAUUAAGAGUCAAAAAUGGUUUUGAUGUCAAAAUUUAGCGGUUUUCUUGUUUUUACUGCCAAUUUUCAUUCAUGUGGGGGAUUGUUGAAAAAAUAGCAUAACAUGCUAUUUUGAGGGCACAUUUUGAGUGGGUCUCACUUAAACGAAAGUAGAAAAUAUUGUGAGGUUCAGAUUCUACUCCAUGAUACUUCAAUAGUAUAAUUUUAUUUUCUCAAAAUGGUGCUUGGGUGAAUGAGAAAUUGUCUCUCAAAGUUCACUCUUGAAGUUAGAAAUUUAAAAGGAAAUGAGGCUUAUCCCACAUGGGAAAAAGAAGCCUAGGAAUUAGUGUAUAUAUAUAAACACUUAACCAUGCAUGGGUAAGGAUUAUAAGGAUAAAGGCUCUCUCCACACGCGCGUGCGUAGGGGGGGUGCAAAUCCAAGACCGAUUUGGUCGAACUCGUGUGCGCCCGCACGUCCUGCGUACGCGAAUGUCAACCCAAAAUUAUCCAUGCAAGCUUGGCACGUUUUUAAUUUCUUUUUGAAUUUUUUAUUGUAACAGUUUGAUGUUUUGAAUUCAAAGAAUGUGUAACAACUUUUACAAUUAUUUUUAGCUGUUGUUCACGUUUUUUAAUUCAAUUUUGAAAUCAAUUCAUUGAAUUGAUUUAGCUAUUAUAGCAAUUAAAUAAAACAUAUUGAAUUCGGAAAUUCAAUACACAUCAGCUGUUACAUCCACACAUGAUUAUAAAAAGGCAUCUCCUCGUCUGUUUUUGAACACUUGAAAAAAUCAGCACAAAGCACACUUGUUUGUUCUUUCAUCCUUCUUCGUCUUUCUCUUAUGGAGUUACCUGUUGUGGUUCGCCGGAAUUUUCAGCCUGUGCUUGACUGGAAAUUCGUACCCGUUGUAUCCUGGGAAUCAGAUACCAGCAGACCUUAAGCACUCCGAAGAGGUGGUAAAUCUGUUUUAAGGAAACUGCCUUGUGCAGGCCUCGGGUUUAUAUUUCUUAUUCCGUUUCAUUUCUCUUCUGUUCUUCAUUUGCUGUUUCUGAUUGCUGGUUUACAUUUUUUUUUUCAAUUAAUAGCAAUUUAAAUUGUCAACUCACUGUGUUCGUUUUUUCUAACAGCAAUAACUAUCUUCACCUACUUCUUGAGUAGGUAUCUUAGCAUAACAUGUUAAAGCACCUACUUACACUUCCAUCAAGUAUUUCUACCAACCAUUUAUGCCAUGUUUGAGUAGAAUUCAUACAAGACUCCUUAUGGAUAAAUGUCAAAUAAUAAUAAUGUAUCAAAAAAGCCAUUACACAAACAAGCAAGUCAAACUCCUCUUCAUCAUUAUCCAUAUUCUUAGAUCGAAUCUAUAAACGGUUAUCUAAAAUUAUAAUGAGAUAAUUCAAACUACAAACUGGUCAAAUUCAGACUCCUUCACUCUCAAAGCAUAUUCAUGAUUAGCAAUAAUCUUUUGAAUUUCAUUAUGCAUUGUUCACAAAUAUAUAUAUAUAUAGGGGAAUAGUAAAAUAGUUGCAAAGUAAUUGGAUUCAUUUUUGAAAUAUGAAACGCCAUUCAAUAAAAGAGUUAAAAAAAAACAUGAAAACACAUGGAUCAGGGUUGGCUGAAUAAUAAUAAUAAGGGAUAUUAUCAUUUUACUAUCAAAGUUUAACUGACAUAUCAUGUCAGUAUCAAAGUUUGCCGAAAAGUGCAUUUUACUACCAAAGUUUUGCGCCGUUAUCAAUUCAUUACCAUUCCGUUAACAACAUUAAAAAUUUGUCGAUGUCAUAAGGGCAUCAAAGCCAUUUCCAGUUGUAAGAGUAAAAUUAUUUGUUAAUUUAAUAGAUAAAUUAUCAUUUUACUACCAAAUUUUUAGGAGAAUUAUCAUUUUACUACCGAAUGUUUAGGGGAAUUAUCAUUUUACUACCAAACUCUCAGGGGUAAAAUCGACUUUUAACUCAAUUUUUGUUAAACAUUAAGUAUUUCUUAAUGGAAUGGUAGUGAAUUGAUAACGGCGCAAAACUUUAGUAGUAAAAUGCACUUUUCGGUAAACUUUGGUACUGACAUGAUAUGUCAGUAAAACUUUGGUAGUAAAAUGAUAAUUUCCCUAACAAUAAUUGUCACACUAGCUAAUGAAAUGAUGAAUAUUACGAUAGUAAAUUCUGGGAAUAUACUCUGUCACUUUCCUGAACUCUUUCAAAGAAAUUCAUACAUCAACACAAACAAUUUAAUUUGAAGAAAUUGAUCUACUCUUUCAAAGAAAUUCAUGCACUAGGGUCCUACGUGUAUAAAAAAAUACAAGUGGAAUGAGGUCUUAUAUUUCUACAAGAAAAAUUCCACACACAACAAAAAAUCAAACAAUACGGGUCCACAUGACGGAAAUUAAGAAUAAAAUAGAAUAAAAUAACUAAAUGAACUUUUACCCGACUUUGAAAAUUUGACACAACUUUUUCACAUUGACCAGAAGUCUCUGCAUGUAUGAAUGUCAAGCUGCUGGUCUUUAAUUUAUGCAAGCAAAAUUUCCCACACAGCAAACAAAUAUCAAUCGUACAGGACAUGGAAACAAUGAAAAAUAUGCUUUACGAAGUAGCAUUGAAACGGAGUAUGCCCACCUUGUUAGAAUUGCUUCAACAUGAUCCAUUAGUUAUGUCUGCUUGAGCAUGUGGAUUUUGUGAAUGAGAUUAUACGCCAAAAGCUAGAGCUUGCUGGAAAGUCAAGACAUAAUUUUAGAAGAUAUAUUAACAAUCAUUUCAAUGCUGUUAUAUGGAAACUAAAAGAAUAAUAUAUAUGUGUGAAAGAAGAAAAUUUUAUUUUUCCUCAAGCAAAUGGUCCAGAAAAAUUUCAAUAAUAAGCCUCAUGGUAAGAACAAUGGAUAAAUAUUAUAAUCAAGAAUAUCUUCCAGAAAAAUUUGCCUUGAUUGGAGCAGGUUCUUGGAAAUCAAUGGAUUUAAAAUUUUUUUUCUCCAGCAUGGUCUAAAACGACGGCCCUUGGAGGCUUGGAGCUUUCUUUUUUGUUUGCUUUGUAUUACUUUUUAUUAAAAAAAAUGAAAAGAAAAUUGGGAAAGGGCAGUGACAUUUCCCGCGGGCCCACACAGUUUCAACUUUUUAAAACGAUUCGUGCUUCUUUUUUCAAUUUCGAAAAAUAUUGCGUGCGAAUAAAAAGUAUACAUAGAAGAAAUUUGUUAUUAAAAGGGUAAUUCUAGCAUUUAGAUAUAUUUUAAAUUGGGGUGUUAUAUAUUAUACAAGAGGGUAAGGUUAUUUAUACUCACUAAAUUCAUUUCUAUAUUUAUUUUUUUUUAAAAUGUAUUAUCUUGAUAUUUAUUAACUUUUGUGUUUAGUAAAAAUUAAUUUUUUUUUAUUCAUUAAAUUUCAUGAUGGAUUAAAAUUUGUUAAUGUUUAUUUUUAAAUAGUAAAUUUUAUUCAUCUUAGUUAAUGAUAUUAAUUAUUUAUAGUUAAAAGAAUAUAUUUAAAUGAGGACGAAGCCAUGGUGCCCCAGGUGGCCACGGUACCCUAGUUUUAGGUUAAUGUUUUUGCAGUCCCUCUAGUUUGCUGAAAAGCGAAAACAUUAGAAGUUUUGAAAUUUUAACAUAUAAGUCUAAUAUAUUUCUACCAUUUACACUUAGAAUAUAUUUCUAUUAUUUAUAUUUGAAUACUAAACCAUAGUUGAUUAUUAUGAAUUUUUUUAGCAUUAUCAUUUUUAUAUUAUUAUUUAUAAAUUAAAAUUUAAUUAUAUUUAAAUUAUUUAUUAUAGAUUAAAUUGAUAUUAUAUUAUUUUCAAAAAAUAAAAAAAUAUUUUAUGUAUUAAAAAGUUUUUUCAAGUUAUUGCUCUUAUACUGUCAUUAAUUUUAACAAUAAAUUAGAUCAAUUGAUCAAAAUAUAAAAUUUAAAAAUAAUCCAAAAUUAUGUGUCAAACCUUUAACUAUUUUGCUUUUUUAAAAAAUAAUAGAGUCAUCAAUGUUAAAAACCAAAGAGAAUAGAUCCAUGCGGUUGAAGCAAGUUCUGUGUUAGAUCUAAAGGCAAAGUCGUAUCUAGGCAAAAUGCGGGGUACAAUGCACCAGGUGCACGGUAGUUGGACCCUCUAAAUAAAUUGAUGAGAGUUUGUGAAAUUUAAAAAAGAAUAAGAGAAGAAAGAGUUAAUUAAGUAAUUUUUUUAAAAAUUAUUUAGAUAAUAAAUAUUUUUAAUUAAAAAGGAGAUGUAGAGAAAAAAAAUUAAUGAGUUCAAGUAGCCAUAUUCUAUAUAUAAAAAAAAGGCAAAAAUAUUUAUUACCCAUUCCCUUUAACCUUGAUUUAAAUUUUGUGUUAGCCCCAUAUGGUUAUUUAGUUUUUUUGUCAUAGCCCACUAUGUUUAUAAAAAUUUUCAUUAUUGCUCCUUACAGAUUUCAUGUAAUUGCUCGCUAAAGUUUAUAUUUCGUCUGUUAUGUAACCAUCUAAAACCAAAAUCCUAAUAUUGCUUCUUGUUGUAACUUGCAUGUAAUCCAUACCCAAAGGCUUACGCAAUCUUAGCCAUCUUCAUUGCAUUAAUACAGAAGACUGUCAAAAUCUUGUUUCUUUCUCGGAGGAUUUGCUUCCCGGCACCAUCAUAGAAUUUUCAGUCCAAAACUGUGCUAAGCUCAAAGGCCUACGAGUUGGCAUGUUCAAUUCUCUUCAAGAUUUACUCCAAGAUUUACUCCUGUGGCAAUGUCCGGGCACUCAAUUCUUCCCAGAAGAGGGGUUUAUCCACCAUCCUAGGAUACCUUGGAAUUUCUGGUGAUAAUAUUUAUAAGCCACUCUUUCACGAAUUCUGUAACGCCCACUUUUAUUUUUGUUUCCUCUUUUACCCUUAUUAAAUUGUUUGUGUUUGCCUAUCAUUAUAAUUAUUAAGUAUUUAUUUGACUUAUAUGAUUUAUUUUUAUUAGUUGUUUGUGUUUAAUUACUUGUGGUAUGAUCUAUAUAAUAUAUGUGUAUUUGUAAUGUUGUGAUGAUAUGAAUAGUCCGUAUUCUGUGCUUGAAAUCGUUUUCUUUAUUUAGAAUCACAUGAAUACGUUUACAAAUCAUGAAACUAGACAUCCUAAGCUUUCCAUUGAUAGGUCUUGUGUUGAAAUCCUCUAAGUAUGCAAAUUGUUAUGGUUUUUCGAAGUUGGGCUACUUGUUCUGGAAAAUUCCGAUUUUCAGCAGUGGUUCUCAAUUCUGGAAAUUUUUCUGUAAGGUUACACAUCCUUAAAAAUUAUGACCAUUUUUGUAUCAAUAGAUCUAUGUCUCCUAUGCUUGCAUGUUUAAUUUCGUAGUUUUAUUAUUUAUGGUUAAAUUAUUAAAAAUCGUAACAUGCGGCUGCUGCAGAUCUGGAAACUGUUUUCCAGAAUUGCAGAAGCUGAAACGUGUAACAGUUUAGGCUAAUUUAUGGAUAUUACAUGCCAUGUUAGGGUUUUAUAAUGAAAUUUCAAUCUUUCCUCUGUAUUUAAAAUCUGGAAUCACGAUUUUUGGGCAUGUAAAAUAAAAAAUAUGAAUUUUUGAAAUUCUAUUUUCAAAUCUGGAAUUUUCUGGGCACGUUAGAUGUUCUCGGAAAUAAAACGCUUUUAAAAUAGUUUCAGGCGUCCAAAAAUUAUGAAUUUUAAUUACAUGCUUUGUGUAUGUGUCUAAUGUAAUUAUAAAAAAGAAACAGAUUAUUUUGAGUACUAAAGAAUAUUUGAUGAAUUUCCUAAGUGAUAAAGGUCUGACUUAGUCAAUGCUGGACAGUUUUGUUACUUUGGUGAAAGGUCAGAAUUCUGACUUGAUUUUCACUUGUGCUGAUUUUUGUGAAAUUUUGUUUGCAAUGUUAUGCAUGUUCACAGUACCUCUGUAAUUUUUCAUGGUUUUUCCGACAUGUGUAUAGGUUAUUAAAAAUUAGUAUGUGCAGGAUACUCAUAUUUAUGUCUAGAAUAUAUAUAAGUAUUGAGCUAGUAUAAGUACCUAUGAUUUAAGGAUGAUUGAGAUUAUGUUUAAGGUUAGAGAUAAUAUUGAUAAGGAUAUUUUUAUGAUGAUUAUAGGACGUAGGUGAGCUCGUUGGUUUGUUCUUGAGGUAUUGAGUUGAUUGCUGUGGAUCGAAUUAAGUAGAUUCAUGCAUGAUGUGCUUUAUAAUAAAUGCAAUUUAUGUUAUAAGAAUAAUGUUUAAAUGAAAAUUUUUACAAAACUAAUUUCUAAAAUAUUUAAAUGAAUUUUACAAAAUAUAAACACUUUUAAAUGAAUUUAUAUAAAUGUAUUUUUAAAAUGAAUUUUUCUUAAGAAAUUAGUUUCUUAAACAAAAAUGUUUUCUUAAAGAAUUUUCUAAAAAAAUUAAAUGCUCAAAGAAAAGUUCUUAAAUAUUUUAGAAGACUUCAAAUGCUAUUUAUGAAAGGAUGUAAGGUGGAUUAAAAAAUAUUUUGGCUCAUAGUCCGUAGUAUUAUAUAAGAUGGAAAUGUUAUGAUGUUAUAUAAUGUUAUGGCCAGCUUGCUGGUAUGAUGAUGAUCUUGUGCACAAGGAUGUUACGAACAAUGCGAGGUAUAGUGCCCUUAAUGAGGAACAAUGCGGGGUAUAGCACCCUAAAUGAUGAAUGAUGAAUGAUGAUGACUACGAGGCAUGAGCUACCAAUGUUUAUGUUUUAAUGUUUUUAUGAAUGUUUUAAUGAUUUUAAUGUUUUUACAUGAAUCCACUCCUUAUGCUAAAUGAAGAUGUUAUUAUAAAAUGUUUAAAGGUAAAAUGACAAAGGUUUUUAAAUAUUGUGCAUGGAUUUGCUUACCGAGUUAACUGCUCACCCUUCGUCUCCAAUAUUUUGCAGAUUGAUUAGAGAUGUAACUUGAGUUCUUAGAUGGAGAAUUUUUCUUAGUGAAUUUUUGGAGUUGCUUUAAAGAUUAAAUUUGGCUAGACUUUUUAUUUUGGAUUGAGACUUUUCUUUGGAGACUUUAUUUCAGAUGUUUUAUGUAAGAAUUCAAUUGGAAUAUUAAUAAUGGUUGUUUAUCUUGAGGUUUAUUAAUAAGAACAAACAAUGUGAGGUUUCAUUCUAAUUUUACCCUUGUAUUUUCAUGGAUAUAUUUUUGGAGUGUUACAAGUUCACUUCCCCUAAAGCUCUCUGCAUUCAUAUUUGCUCAGAGGCAGUGUCCUUUCCUAAUGAAGAGAAGGGAAUGAUAUUGCCCAUUUCUCUUAAUUAUAAUUUCGGAUUUCCCAAAACCGGAACUCCUAUCUUCCACGGGCUUCCAGAAUCUCACAUCUCUUUUGUCUCUAUCGAUUGAAGGUUGUCCUUUAUUGAAAAACAAAUGCAAAAACGGCAAGGGACAAGAGUGCUCAAAGAUAGCGCAUAUUCCUUGAGUUAACAUAGAUGGAAAAUUCAUUUACGAUCCGGAAGAGGAAGCAUUAUGUGUAUUUUGAUCUCAGAAAUAAAAGAAGAGCGAAAAACCAGAUCAUGAUUUCGCCAACCAUUUAUCGUGUCAGGUCUGUCAGCUUCUAUCCCCAGAACCGCUAUUCAGAUUGUUAUGGAUUCAUUUAAGUUGUUUUCAGUUUCACAGAAAAUACUAGUCUUAGAAUUCAGGUGUAUGUUCUAUUAUGCAUGGAAUUAGGCAAUGAAGGAAAGCUGCAUUAAUCUGAUACGCAUUAUUUUAACAGUAAUUAUGGGAUGCCAAUGUGCAGAUUUUGCAGUUGAAUGCAGCAAUAUCAGCAUAAAACUAGCUUAGAUCACAAAGUAUCAGCUGGUCUUAUUACCAAGAGGAUAAUCAAGCUGGUUGCAGUGUCUUCUUACUUCUCUGUAAGUCCUAUCUCCAUAAUGAAGAUAAACAAUCAAUUGUAUGUUACAUGUUAUCCUAGGAAUUAAAGGAUUAAUAACAUUUUACUGGCAAGAUUUUUGAAAAAUAAUUUUCCAUUAUUUGUUGGGACUAAGUAAUCAGAUUUUUUUCUUAUGUACUGAAUCUAUAUAACUCAUUGCAAUGUUAUACGGCAGCCACGCACUGCACACAUCCUGGUCUGCCAUGUCACAUUUGAGUCUUCAAUGGCAGGGUAUCUGUCUGGCAGCUCAUGCUUGUGUCAGCAUCGUCAAAGAAUGAAUGUAGAUGCAGAUUUUCAUAUUUUCAGAAAGGUAAAGAGGCUGCUUAUUUUAUCUUGCCUUGAUUGCAAUUGAUAUAAGAACCUUAGUUAUAUAGUAUCCUCCCAAAGAUAACACGCUCAACUUUUUACACUUCGGUAGCAAAUCAGAUAAGACCAUGGAACUUACGUAGCUAGGAGAAAAAAAAUGAAAAUCUUCCAUGAAUAUUGGCAAGAAUGUCCUCAGAUUCUCAACUUUGUCGAGAACUUUAAAUUUACCCAUCCCAUCACAAUCACCACUGUGGACGUACGAGGAAUGACGAACCUUUCCAAAUACACUUGACUGUCUAUCCACCGAAAAUUAAUCGUCCAAUCUAAAGCAAGUCUCACCAGAAGCCCAUAGAGCCAAAUCAUGCACAAGGUCAUGCAUCACAAAUAUAGAUCCGCCGUUACUUGAUUUUUGGAACAAGGAUCUUGACAAGAGAUCAUGAAAAUACUCACUGCCCGAAUCUUCUAGUUAUUUACUGUCUUCAAAUUGUUGAAUUAGACCUUCUGCUGUCCAUAAAAGAACGAGUUCCUCCUCUUCGAAUUCAUAAUCCUUCGGCAAAACUGCACAAUAGGCAAAACAUCUUUCUAAAUGCGAAGGCAGAUGGUGAUAGCUUAACUUCAAAAACAGAAGGAAUCUCAGUUUCAUCCUGUAAGUCCCAUAUUUUACUGUCCAAUAUAGCUCUCCACUCAUCAACUCUCUGCUUAGAUCGAAGAAUACCACCAAGAGCCCUUGCUGCCAGAGGUAGACGUUUGCAUUUCUCAACAACCCUUUGACGAGCUGACUCGAAGUUUCCCUGUGUGCCAGCAUCUCUGCUCUCAAAUGCAUGAGCUGCGAACAACGACCAGCAAUCAUCAUCAGACAGAAGCUUCAGCUCAUAAUUUUUACCAGAUCCCAUUGUUGAGGCGACAUCCAUGCUGCAAGUGGUCACAAUUAUCCUGCUGCCCGGUGCUCCAGCCAUGAUGGGAGACUUUAGAGCUUGCCACAAGUCAUAUCUCUCGCUCCAAACAUCAUCCAAGACAAUCAAAAACUUCUUCUUAAACACAGCUUCCUUCAACAUAAGCUGCACCGAAUUCAAAUCCUUCAGAUCACAAGAGGAGAGUGUGGUCGACUCCAGAAUAGCCUUGGAGAUCCUGAGAACGUCGACGUCAUCAGAAACACAAACCCAAGCUUUGGGUUGGAAAGCUUCCGUUAACUGUCGUUGUACAUCCCCUGAGCAAGUGUUGUUUUCCCGAUACCUCCCAAACCCACAAGGGGUAUUACUCGAAAGUUGGCAGCAUCACUCGGAUCAUUCUUUAACACCAUAUCAAGUAUCCUAGCCUUGUCUUCAUUUCUCCCAUAAACAGCAGGUUCGCUUGUUAAGCAAGUGGUGGGUGGUCUUUGCCUUACUGCAGCAGUAUGUGUUGACCCUCCACCAAUCUUUUCCAAUCCAAGAACAGUUCUCCUUUUACAGAGUUCUUCAAGCCGGCUACUGAUUGCUUUAAUCUUAGACCUCGUGCUAAUACUGGACUUAACACUACUAGCACCAGAGGAAAAACCUUGUAUGAGGCUACGAACCUUGCUAGAGCUGGCUUCACGUUUCUUCAACAAUCUCAGCCCGGCUUCAGUAGCAAACUCAUCGAGUAUGUCCUCUGCAUCGUAAGCCAAGUCUCGGAGGUCAUCCAGCCACAGCUUCACAGCCCUGUCAGUCAGCUGCUUCUCCUCUGCAUCGAUCAGCACUGCCUCAAUUGUCUUGAGUGUUUCCUCCCACUUUUUCAGCUUUGAACGGACACCCUCUUGGCCGGCUAACUUCAGCAACUCAGGGGACAUUAAUCUUUCGAACAACACCUGAAGAAAGGCAGAAAGAAAGAGCUCCGCCACAGGCAUGGCUUCGCUUUUUUUUGGGGGGAUGCUUUUGUAAGUAAAAAAAGAGAAAGAAAAUCAGAAGAAUUCAGAGGGGUUAUCACACAAAAGAGAGAAUAAAAGCAAUAAGCCAGGGAGACUGAGACUUCAAUAUUUGCAAAAGAAAGGUUACCAGAAAAAUGGAUUUGAUACGUUUUUGUAUAAAUAUUGAUGUAUGCACCUCCAUUAGUACAGUAUUUAUAAUAGAUAAAACAAAAAAAUCAUCUCGUAGAAAUUUUCUUUUAUCUUAAAAUAAUUUUUUUUAAUUUUGUAGUGAUGGUAUAACAUUUAUAGCGGUUACUGUAGUACACAUAAUAUUAUCGAUUUCUUAAUUAAUCUUUCAUUUAAUGUUCAUAUAAUCAUAUGUAUAAUUUUGACUUAUUUUUUCAUUAUUUUUCUAAUUAACCUUAACCCAUAUAAUUUUAAGGACAAUUCAAAGUAUUUUGAAUAAAUAUUAGUAAUUUUACAAAAAAAUAAUAUUUAAGAUUCUAAUAUUUGAGUACUAAUUUGAUUCUUACUAUUAUAUGUCACUCAUAUAAUUAAUAAAAAAACACAUAAAUUAGGAUGAAACUCAAAUAUGGAAUCUCUAUUAUUACCCUUUGCAAAAUGGCAUCACUAGACAAUCUGACCAAUAAUUUAUAAAGUUAAAUUAAAGAUUUAGAAGCUGAACAGAAAGGAUCAAGUCAGUGUCAUACAGCAUUCUAAGCAACUUCACAUGCCGUACUAAUAUUUUUAUCAAUAAAAUGCAUAAUUAUUUUGUUCAAUUUUUUUAAUAAUGAUAUGCAAUUAAAAUCCAUCUGCAUUUCUAUUCGCGGACCGGAUAUUUCCAUCCAUUAAUAUUCAUGAAUGUGUUUAUUUUACUCGUUUUAUUAAGAUAUAGCUAAAUGAUAAGAUGUUAUAUUGAGUAGAAUAAGGUACACUUACACCUUGAUAUUACUGUUGUUAAGCCUUAUUUUCAAUAUUAUUGUUAGACCCUUAAUUAUAACCUUAAAAUUUUAGAAAAAAAAAGUUUCUAAAUCCCUAAAGUUAUUGUAUAAUUGUAUUUAUAUAGUUUCUUAGUUCUUAUUCCUUACACGUUUAAUAUAGAGUGAAAAUACAUAUUUUUUUAAUUUUCUAGUUCACUUUAAAGCUCUUAUUUUUCAGCAAAUUUCUUUUUUAACUCUUAGUCAACAUCUUAAAAAAUGUAUUAAGACUCAUUUUAAAUAUUAUUAUUGUUCCUCACCUAACUCAAAGUUUCAAAUUAUGCGGUGAUUCUGAGGGGAGGCGCCGGAUCCACUGGUGUAGAUGGCCGACGGUUUGUUUUCUAGUAGAUGAGGGCGGCCUCGGCAUUCAGUCCUUCGAUGAUAUGGCAGAGGCCUUUGAGAUCAAACUUUGGUGGCGAUUUUGUCAGCAGAGUUCGCUGUGGGCUUCCUUCAUGAAGUCUAAGUAUUGUAGAUCUACGCACUCGGGCAUUAUCCAAUUUCUCUAUCCUGCCUCUCCUCUAUGGCGAUGCCUCUGUACAAUUCAUUGCACGGCUGGGCCUCAUGAGCGUUGGCUAGUUGGGAGGGGAGACUGUAGUUUCUAGUCGGCUCUGAUCUCAGACUUGCUAGUUCUGCUUUUGGCUUCAAGCCUUCCCAACUGAGGGGAGUCUUGGAUUCCCUGAUUAUGGAGGGAUUGCGAGUUAUGGCUACCCCUAGGAGGCCAAUUCGAUUAGUUGCUUGGAUGAGGCCGCCUCCUAGGGUGGUCAAGCUGACUGUGGAUGGUUGCCCUAAGGGCAAUCGUAGGAUGGCUGCUUUCGGGGGCAUUCUCCGGGAUCACCGAGGCGUGGUUUUAGUUGCCUUUGGAUCUUUCUUAGGCCACAAGCCCAUCUUAUAUGCUGAGCUCAUGGCGGUGUGCGAGGGUUUGGAGUUAUCCAUUCAGCUUGGUCACUCAGUGCUCGAGGUUGAGUCGGAUUCGGCUACGGUGGUGUCAUGGACACACACCCAAGGUCCUGUUUGGUGGGAUUAUGCUUAUCCUCUACAUCGGGCAUGUCGUCUGAUAUCUUCAUCCCUCAUUCAGGUGAGACAUGUCUUUCGAGAGGCUACCUAUGCAGCUGAUUUUCUAGCCAACUGGGCCGGCUCUCAUCAGACUAGUCGGCGUUUCUUUUCUCCUCAGCUGCCUAGAGGCUUAUCGGGUAUUCUUCUCACGAACGCACAAGCGGUCCCUCAUGUCAGACGAUAGGACUUUUUCUUAUUACUUUUUGUAUCACAUUUUCUCUUGGAGGGUAUUGGCUCAUGUCUCCCCUAACCCCCCACCUUUUCUUUGGUGGUUUUUUAAAAAAAAAAAAAACUCAAAGUUUCAAAUUAAACAGUUGCUCGAAGACGCGGUGUCUUAGACAUCAACCAACAUAGAUAUCAUUGCAGAGAAAAUAUUCUUAUUAUUGAAAAUUUACGACUCUCUUUUUGGGAAAAAAAAAAGUUAUUUUGUACUUGCGUACGGAAUGCACUUGACACUCUUAUAUAAACAAAUUGUCUUGAUUGCAGCAGGUUCUUGGAAAUCAAUGGAUUUAAUUUUUUUUUUCUCCAGCAUGGUCUAAAACGACGGCCCUUGGAGCCCUCUUUUUUGUUUGCUUUGUAUUACUUUUUAUUUUUGAAAAAUGAAAAAGAAAAGUAGAAAACUACGAAAGGGUGGUGACAUUUCCCACGGGCCCCACACUUUUUUUAAACUCAUUCGUUCAACAAAAAAUAAUUAUAAUAUGGCUAUGGUUACUAGGGAUAGUAAUUUUUUUCGAUGGGAUUUUUAUUGUAUUUGGGACGGAAUUAUGAUAUAUUUUUAUCCUAUAAAAAAAAUUUAGGGACGAGAGUGAGAUAUUUUUUUAUCCCAAUUAUAUAUGUGGGACGGGGGUGGAAUUGACAAAUUUUGUCCCAUCCCAUCUCAUUACCGAUUAAGAAUGAAAAUUUUACCAAUUGGGAUGGGAUCCCACAGGAUCUCAUCUCUUUUGGGACGGGAUUAUGAUAUAUUUUUGUCCCAAAAAAAAUAUAGGGACGGGAUUGUGACGUUUUUUUCAUCUCAUUUGCAUAUACGGGACAGGACUGAGAUUGGUAAAUCUCAUCCUAUCUCGUUCCAUUGCCAACCCUAAUGGUUAUGUUGAAACUGAUCUAUAAUAGAACAUGAAUCUAUAUUACACACGCAAAGUGAUAAAUAAUAAAAAAAAAUAUUAUAAUUUUAAUCAUGUGGCUAUGAAAGAGUGUUUCAUAAAAGAGCGGUUCCAACAUAACCGGACCCUUAUAAUAAGUUUAUAUUAUGUAGACAAAUCCACAAUUUCAACUUUUUAAAAUGUUCGUGAUGCUACUUUUUUCAAUUUGGAAAAACAUUACGUGAAUAAAAGGUAUAUGUUGAAGAAAUUUGUUAUUGAAAGGGUAAUUUUGGCAUUUAGAUAUAUUUUCAAUUGGGGUGUUAUAUAUUAUAUAAAAAGUGAGGAUAUUUAAACCUAUCAAAUUCCUCUCCAUAUCGAUUUUUUUUAAAUGAAUUUAUUAUCUUAAUAUUCGUUAAUUUUUGUGUUUGGUAAAAAUUAAUUUGUUGAUGUUCAUUUUUAAAUGGUGGUGUUGUUUCUCAUAGUUAGUGAUACUAAUUAUUUGUUGUUAAAAAAAAAUAAAUGAAUUGAUGAGAAUUUGUGAAAUUAACAAUAGGAAGAGAAGAAAUAGUUAAUUAAUUUUUAAAAAAUUAGUUAGAUAAUAAAAUUUUUAAUAAGAAAGAAGACGUUAGAGAGAAAAUUAAUGGAUUCAAGGUGCGUUUGAGAGUGAGAUGCUGUAAUUUUUAAACUACAACUACUAUGGAAUAAAAAUUAUUGCUGUAAAUUAGAAGCUGAUAUGUUUUUGCCGUGUGAGUUUUGCAAUUUUAUUAGUGAAUUUCAUAAGUCCCAGUCCAGCGUUGAAUUAUGCAGCAUUGAAUUUUCAUAAGGCAUGAGAUUCUAUUGCCAAUUCUCAUAAGUUCGAGUUUCACUAAGAGCAACUCUAAAAGACUUUUUAGAUUUUACUCUUCAAAUACCAAUUUGCUUAAUGAUGUGGCAAAUAAGUGGAUAGAAAAAUACAAUCUCCUCCAAAAGACUCAUUAAAUAAGAAUAAGUUAACAUUAUUUUAAUCAAAUCUUUCCACUAUUAAAUUGAAUUGUUGUUAUGUUUUUGAAAGGAAACAUAAAUGAUAAUUAUUGCAGUCUUAUCUUUUCAAUAAAUAAUAAUCAAAUAUUAAUAGAAGGGGGAGAAAUUCACUCGACAAUAUUAAAAAGUGAGAAACAAAUCUUAUUUGAAGAAUCUAAAUUAACGUGUAUUUUGAAGUGUUUAAUAUUAAUAUCACUCUUCAAAUAAGAUGUAGAAUUUUAUUUAAAGAGUAUUUUGGAGAUGCUCUAAGUUUAUUGGUUGAACAUUGUUGGCUUCUUUUUCCUUUUGUGAGAGAGAGAGCGGGAGUGUACUGGAGAGUAGACAAAAAAAACAGUAAUGUAGCGCUGCCGCUGCAUACAAUUAAUUGUCAUUUAACGAUGACCACAACAACAAUAAUAAUAAUAAUUGUUACACCAGUUAAUGAAAUGAUGAAUAUUAGGAUUUUCAUUUAAGAAAUUUGUAAAUAAAUGGGUAAUUUUGGUAUUUAGAUAUAUUUUAAACUGGGGUGUUAUAUAUUAUACAAAAGAGUAGGGCUAUUUCAACUCUAUAUUCAUUUUAAAAAAAUGCAUUAUCUUGGUAUUCAUUGACUUUUGUGUUUGGUAAAAAUUAAUUUUUUGAUUUUCAUUAACUUUUAUGAUUGAUAAAAUUUAUUGAUGUUCAUUUUCAAAAGGUGAUUUUGUUCCUCUUAGUUAAUGAUACCCAUUGUUUAUAGUUAAAAGAAUAUAUUUAAAUGAAUUAAUGAGGAUUUGUGAAAUUAAAAAGAGGAAGAGAGGAAAGUGUUAAUUAAGUAAUUUUUCAAAAGUUAUUUAGAUGAUAAAUUUUUAAUUAAUAAAAAAAUAAAAAAAUUAACGGGUUCAAAUAGUCACAUCCUAUAUUAAAAAAAUAAAAAUAUUUACCAUCCCUUCCCUUUUACUUUGAUUUAAAUUUCAUAUUAGCCCCAUAUGGUUAUUUAGUUUUCUUGUUAUAGACCCACCAUCACUAUGUUUAUAAAAAAUUUCAUUAUUGCCCCCUGCAGGUUUUGUACUUGUAUGUAAUUGCCUGCUAAAGUUUAUAUUUCCCCUAUUAUGUAACCCUUUCAAACCAAAAUCCUAAUACUGCUUCUGGUUGUAACUUGCAUGUAACCUAUAUUGUUACCAAUAAUGCUAAUUCAAAAAAAUGAAAAUUAAAAAAAAAAACAAUUCCUAAGAAGCCACUAGGCUAAGCCGAGUGGUGAGAACUCAUGACCUCAUAAUUUCGAACCCCACAAUGCAUUGUGGGGUUUAAAUUUCCUUUCUCAAUUUGAGUGAAGACAAUGUUCUCCCUUUCGAAAUGUGAGUGGAGUGGACGACACUCGAAUAUUAGAGAGGGUAAAAAUAUGGGCGUGCUUCAUAAGAAUUGAUGUAAACUAGUCUCAGUAAUAGUUUGAUUUGUAAAUGUCAAUUGUAAUCUCAUAUAAUAUGAGUUGUACUCUUGAACAAUAGCCUCAUGUAAUAAAAAAAAUAAUUCCUAACACAAUUUCAAUCUCAAUUGAAUAAGCAUAAUUCGCAAAGAAAAUAAUUGAGUAAAUAUAACGUUACUCAUAAUAUUUAAUAUAUGUGAUGAACAUCCACAAGUACAAAUAAAUAUUACAUUGAUAACAAAUGAGACAUGUUUAUUUUUAUAAACAAAUUUUGGCUGGGAUAUUUUUGCCUAUAAAUUUGUGUAAAUUAAUCUUAUUUUUAAAUAGAUUUUAAAAACAUUCAUAUUAUUAUUUAAAUUUUGAAAAAGAGAAAAAUUUAAAUUUUUAAUCAAUCAAAUCAUUUUCUUUACAUAAGUCUCUUGACUAUUGUCAAUCAUAUAUGUUGUUAUAACAUAAUUUUAAUUUGACUAUUCCACCAUUAUUCCAUAAAUGAUUAAAUUAUUUGAAACACAUAUUUUUGUGCCAUAAAUUUAAACAAUUAAUGAGGAUUUAAUUGGUUAAUUGUUUAAUUUUUUUUCUUUUGUCAAAUUAUUAAAAAUAAUUCAAAUUUUUUAUAAUUAUUUUUUGAAAUGGGGUGAGUUUGCACAAUUGAGGAUGCAAGUAUCGCCACCCAAUAAUCAUUUAGAAUUUUUUUAAUUUAAUCAUAUUUUGUGUUAAGAAUAAAAAUAAAAAUAAAUGCCAAACCUUGUCUACAGUAUUUUGCACUUUAUUAAAAAUGCAUCAAAUUUUUUUUCUAUUGUAGUUAUCCAUAAAGUACAUAUGAAGUUUACAAAGUACACCACUUUUCCACUUUUUGAUCAAAAUUGUUCAAGGACUUAAAAAAAUGAUUAUUUUACCUUAAACCUAAAAAAAAAUAAUUCAGCUAAAUGAUAAAACUAUAUUUUAUUUUCAUAGAUUUUAGGACCAAGAACGCUACAAAAUUAACAAUAUAGACUCAUCAAACUUACUAAUUAAAAUAAAUAAAACCACCAAAAUUAGGACUUAAGCUAAUUUUUUGCUUUGUAUGUCAUAAAUCGAGAAUUUAUGCUUACAUAAUUUAUCCUGAAUAACUUUGACAACAAUAACAGAUCUCUCAGUAAUAAUAAUCACUAAUAGAAAUAGUCAUAAUUAUCCAAAACACAAUCAAAAUAAUUAUAAAAUCAAUUACGAAAAUUUUUGAAUAUUAUAAUUUAUUGCCAUCAAUUAAAAAUAAUAACACAAAAUCACUAAUCAGCUAUGGCAGAACUUAAAAGGAAAAAAUUAUUUUCAUCCCUAGAGUUUCAUACAAUAAUUCAUUUCAUCCCUAAUUUUUAAAUAAUAAUUCAAAAUAUCCUUCCACUAACUCACCAUUAGUUUAAUAUCCUAAAUUAAUUCAUUCAUUGAGGGAGAAAUAAGAUUUUUCAAUAAAGUGAUACAAACUAUAUUAAAAUAAAAUUUUUACACAAUUAAAUAACACUAUAAAAUAUGCAAAUUUUAUUAAUUUGUUUUAAAUGAAAUCAACGAUGAAAUAGUUUGAUAUAGCCACUAAAUGACUGCCAUAAGCAACAGUGAUAUAGCCACUAAAUAAUUGUCAUAAGCAACAAACUAUAAUUAACACAAUAUCUUUAAAUCAUUGGAAGAAAAACUAAAAAAUAUAGCUAAUUUUUAUUUGCUUGCAUGUGCAGAAUAUUUUCUUGAUCUUCAAUCAAUUUUUAUCUUGAGCUUUACCACCACUCUUCUUUGACCAUUAUUGUCUCCCUAAGUCAACUCACAGUGCAAUUAGUGAAAUACUAACUAGGCAACCCAAGAGGGGUGAAUUGGGAUUUUAAAAUUUAAGCUAAGCAAACCACACAACAAUUUAAUCUAUUGCCUUAAUCAAAUUGAAAACAAUUAAUUCAAUCAUGCACAAUAUUAAAAGAGUAAGGGAAGAGAAAACAAACACAAGGAUUUUUACGUGAUUCGACAAUCUCCGCCUACCUCCACGCCUCCAAGCUCACCCGCUUGAGGAUUGCACUAUCCAAAUCCCCCAAGACUUCAAGUUUUUACAAUUGACUUCCAAUGUGUCAAUGAAUCUUUACAAUUAAGAGAUUAUCUCCUCAAUCUCUUCACCCCAAGUGUUUCUCACACAUGUACACUCACAAUUUGAUGAGAAAUAAAAAUUACAACAAUGAAACUCUCUUUAAGAGUGGAUAUAUAAAUGAUAACUCAAUGAAGAUUUAAUCUAUGAUGAUUUUCAAAUUUGAAGCUCAAUAUAAGUUGUGUGCACUUGUUUAUGCUUGCAAAGAUUACCAAAAAUGAAUUAAAUUUGAGUUUAUAUAAUUUAAGCUUAAAAACUAGUCGUUAUGCUCAUUUUGGUGAUAACCGGCUUACCAUUUAUGGAAUCCGGUUAGCUGCUUUUAUGUUACCGUUACAGUAAAAAUUUAAAUUUCAAAACAUCUGGUAUGUCGCUUACAAAAUCCGGAUAGUCGUUUAUAUUCCAGAUGCUUACUGCUUAAAUCCAGUCUACCGCUUGUCAGAAUUCGGUUAGUCGCUUGCUACAGUGGCUGCUACAGUAACUAUUUCCUAAAAUUAUAAUUUUACCCCAAAACUUUAUAUAACUAUACUAUAGCCCCAAACGUUAUCAAUUUUACAAAUAGAUCCAAUUUCAGAGUUUUUAAAUAAUGCUUGUUAUUCUCAACACGUUUUAAAAUUAUAAUAUGACCCAAAAUGUUAUGAAACUUUUCAAAUAAGUCCUUCAAAAUUUCAAGCAAUAUUUGAUGAUUUCAAAAUUUUCAAAAUUCUUUCAAUUAGACCUUAAACUUGAAAAACAACUAAUUUUAUAAAAUCAUUUUUUCAUUAAAUAUAAAACCUGUAUAAUGUGAAAAUAAUGAUUUAUUUAAAAUGUAUAAAAAAUAAUUUGAGUUUAAAAGAUUAAUCAUUCUUAAUUUUGUUUGUUAUCAUCAAAAUCAAAAACAUAUAUGUUAACAAUUAGAGGGUAUACUAAUACAAGCAUGGGAAUUAUGAUUAUUUUUUGAACUUAAAUAUGGGGUUAAUAGGGUUUUCAUUUUUCCAAAAUAGAGAGAAGCGCAAAACAAUUGCUUGAAAUAGAAGUUUUCAUUUUUUUCAGUAUUUCAUGUUUAGUAGGAUUAGAUAAAAAAAAAUUUAAAUAUAUGUCAACUUUUAUUUAUUUUUUCUAAUUUUUUCUUUAAUAUUUUUUUUUUUGCCCUCAACGAAUUACUAAUAAACAGCAUUUAACUAACGUUGAAUUAAUAAAAAGAUGUUUUACGUUAUUAUUUUAAAAAAUAUGGGUAAAAUGGGCUAUUGCAUGAAACAAAAUAGAUUUUUUCCAACCUAUUAUAGUUUGUUUUCUUCAAUCUAAAAUAACAAAACAUUUUAAAAGUAUUCAAAAUCACAAUUAAUAAACAGUGAUUUUAUGUUUAAGGGUAAAGUAAUAUUUUUUAAUAUUCUGUUAAGUCUUUUAAUAUUGUUAAUGAAAAAAUAGAAAAUAGGGCCUGUCUACGUUACAUACUCUGUUAGUAACAGACCUGUGAUCUCAAUCGUUGGAUGUGGAUAGAGAAAGAUGGAGGGUUGGCAAGCGGUCAGAAAAAUAAGGGGAAAGCAAUUCCAUAGCAUAGGGAAACCGGCUUUAAUGGUUAGUGUGCAACCGGAUGUGAGAUGUAACAAAAGGCCACAUGGUUGGAGAAAUUAACACCAGCAUUUAACCUUUCUGAUACGAAUCUGACCAGCACCUAACUGGACCUCGAUAUCGGCGACGAAGCACCGGCGAUCGGAUGUGAGGAUCGAUGAGCCUACCUCCGAUGCAGCCUCGAUUGCUGAAACUGGAACACACACCGUGGAUCCAAAGUCAGAAAAUUUGUAGGAGAUGCAACGUCGCCUCGCUUGCUAUAUCAGACUGCAAAUGAAAUUUCGAAACGCUGCAAUCCUAGACCCACACACAUUUUUCCACUAUCAAACGGCAAAUAUUUGGACUUUCAAAACACGGCCCAUUAGAAACAGCGCCCAUGCUCCAAAUUCAGUGACGGGUUACCGGUUAGCAACCGGGAGAAUUUCAUUUUGUCACCGCAAGAAAACCGAAAUGGCAGGUUCCAUAUAUAACCUCCCAUUCCAUCCGCCGUCCACGCGCCGCGCACCCAUAUAUGAUCUUGUCAACUCACAGUCUGUUACUAGCAGAGUCUGUAACGUAGACAGGUCCUAGAAAAUAAUAUACUUCGUGCGAAUUAGCAGCACCUUCACUGACAACCAACUCACUUGCUUUGGCCAUGGCCGCCAGUUCACCGCUGCUAACCUCCGAACAUUCGAAGAAGACAAAGCCCAACAGGAGAAAACGAACCCGAAAGGGCGGAGAAGCCGAAAAGCUCGACUCUCUCAAAUGGAACCCCUCUUUCUCAGCCGAAGACAACGACCCUUUUGCCUUCCUCGUUGGCUCCAAUGAACUCGACGGAGGUCAAUUAACACUUUCCCCUUUUUUUUUUCUUAAUUUAUCAUUGUUCUUUAGUUUAGUUGUUGCCCACGCGUUUAAAUUUAAGGUUUAGUUUUUUUCCCCCAUGGUGUAUGUGUUUCAAAGUUUAGAGAAAUAAUUAAUGUGGUAGUAUCAAUGAAAUGAGGUCAAUUUUUAGUUAAUUUGAGUACAAAUAUUGUGUUCAAAGUUGUGUUUUUCUCUGAGCUUUUUAUUGGCAGUCAAUUGUAGCAUGGGGGUUUAUGGGGUUUA
This 105061-nucleotide long non-coding RNA is filed under the name Citrus maxima (pomelo). RNAcentral describes it as "long non-coding RNA (CMAX_LNC003691)". The record is from RNAcentral. Lineage: Eukaryota; Viridiplantae; Streptophyta; Magnoliopsida; Sapindales; Rutaceae.